Molecule: long non-coding RNA, 113148 nt
Filed under: Malus domestica (apple)
Lineage: Eukaryota; Viridiplantae; Streptophyta; Magnoliopsida; Rosales; Rosaceae
Description: long non-coding RNA (MDOM_LNC015966)
Rfam family: U2 spliceosomal RNA (bases 98222-98376)
Source: RNAcentral
UUUUUUUUUUUUUUUUUUUUUUUUUUUUUUUUUUUGUAUAAACAUUAUUAUCUACACUAAGACCAUCUCCAACUUUUGGAGAUAAAGCUUAAAAAUUUAAGCCAAAAAAUUUUAAGCCAUAACCUAGAAAUCGUUUUCUCCUCCAAUUCUUAUGGCUUAAAAUUUUAUCUCGAGAUUAUUAACUAAUGAUUUUAGCCUAAUUUUUUUUCAGUAACUUUUCUGAAAAUAAAAUUUAUAUAGACUAUCCUAAUUUAUUUUUAUGAACAUUUUAAUCUAAAAACUAUUCACAUUCCAAUAAGUAAUUAAAAUUCAUACAAAUACACAUACAUUCAUAAAAUUUUAAGUGAAAUUUGAUUUUAAAUAAUUUAAGAAGUUAGAUUUACUUUUGAACCGUCAAAUCUUUUUUAUUACCAUUAGAUUUGAUCUCAUUUAAUCACAGCCGUUAGAUUAUAAGUAAAAACACAAAAAUGUUUGAAAUAUGACAGUUUAGUGGGUCCAAAAUAGUUUUAAGUCAUGCUUAAAUCCUGUGGGAAAUUAGCCCAAAGAUAUAUUUUCUUCCCAUGACUUUAGUUUAGCCCAAUAGUUGGAGAUGGUUUGGGGGGAUUUUAAGGCUUAUAUUUUAAGUUUUAUCUCAUGGGUUGAAGAUGAUCUAAAGAGGUAUGAGAGUGGGCUAAGCCUCACAAUGGUCUAUCAAUAAUAUAGUUCAAAUUCGUUUUUUGUGAGAAUUGAACCUAAAACUUCUCGGUUACAAGUAAAAAAUAAUAUCAUUAUACCGUAUUACAAAGUGACUAUAUAUAACCUCUAGUUUAAUGUCUCUUUGUUGCUUCAAGGACUUUGUAUGUUGUAGUUAGAUGUGACGCCUCUAGUUUAAUGUCUCUUUGUUGCUUCAAAGACUUUGUAUGUUGUAGUUAGAUGUGACGCUAGUGUGUAUUUUUUUUGUUAUUGAUGUCUCUUGAUGAUAUCAAGCAACGUAUUUUUAAAUAAAAAAAAAGUUUUCUAAAUAUUCACCUUUGAGUUUGGAUGGAUUUGUAUACUAUCCUAUGUUCUAUCUUAAAUUUUUUAAUAAAGCAUCUUACUUAACAAAAAUUUGAGAAUAAUAUACUCCAUCUGACAUGGCCCAUUUUUUAAGACAGAUGAACAGUAAAUGGUAUAAAUUGUUUCUUAAUUUUAACUUAAAUGAAGUAAUAGUUUAUCAAUUAAAAAUUCAUGAUCAUUGAUUUUUUUUUUUGAAGUUUUAACGAAAAACCCAUGGUACUGUUCAUUUUAACGAAAAACCACAUUUUUACACUAAAAAGUCAAACAUAGUACUAUUCACUUUACCUUUUAUUGUCUUUAUCAUUAAAACUCAAAGUUUUCAAGCAUUUUUCAUUAGUUUUCCUUUUUUUUUUUUAUGUUGAAAUGACCAUUGGUCUCUUAAUUCAUCAAAACGUGCAUCUACAGUUCUUUUUGUCAACUCUGUCAGAGUUCCGUCAAAAUGAGUCAUGUAGAAAAUAUCAUGGCUAUAAUUGGAUUAAAGUUGAUGGACUAUUGCUCCAAUUGAGUUAAAAUUGAGAAAUCAUUUCUCCAAUUGUGUUAAAGUUAAGGGACCAUUGAUACAAUUUUCUCAUUUGGUUUUUCAUAUUUGCCCUUUACUAACGAAACUGACGAAAAAAAUGGUAGGUGCACGUUUUGAUCACUAUUGCGUGGGCAGCAAAUAGUUUUAUCUUAUAUAGCUGUGAGCAUAUAGACUCAAUGAAACGGAUUAUUAUGAAGGAAAACUAAUGUAAAGAGCUUGAAAAUUUUGAGUUUUAACGAUAAGGACAAAAUAAAAGGUAAAGUGAAUAGUACCAUGAUUGACCUUUUAGUGUAAAAAUGUGGUUCUUCAUUAAAGUGAACAGUACCAUGAGCUUUUCGUUAAAGUUCCCUUUAUUUAUGAGGUCAAUCUUUUGAGUUAUAUGGCUAUUAGAUCGAUCCAAAUGUCAAUUAUGAGAGACACUGAAGAAGGCACCAUAAAUGUCAACGAGGUAUGUAAUAACGUAGUAGCUAAUGUCAUUCGUAUUCAUUAGAUAGAUAAUAUUGUAAAUAUUAUGUGGAUGGCCCACAUGAAUAGUUUGUUACUAUUUAUUCACAUUAUUUUCAUUAUUCAUUUGUGGAAAAUUUGUAAGGUGAAUAGUGUCCUUUGAUUAUAAAAUGAAUGAGAAGAAGAGGAAGACUGAGGGUUCACGGGAAAGAUGGGAAUGAAAAGAAAGAAAGAAAAAGAGGAAGGAAUGAAGAGGAAGAGAGAGAAGGAAGAGGAAGAGAGAAAAUAGAGGAAGAUGAGAAGAGAUAAUAGAGAGAGUUAUCUUUGUACUCCUAUUAUUUCAAAUUAUAAGGAAAGCACCACUGCUGCCCCGAGGAUGUACUCCAGUCACACUGACUGUAGAGGAACCUCGUAAAUUUUGUGUCUUGUUUCAUUUAUUCCACUGCACCCACAGUUGAUUUCACAACACGUUAUCAGCACGAAAAGCUCUCAUGUCAGUGGAAAGUACAACACCAUAAAUCUGGUGAAGCAUUAUCUACCUCUCACCUUGGUCAACUAAAAUCUCAUAGAGUAGAGACGGCAAGCCAGACAUGUCAAACAGGGAAGAUCAUCUUGUCACAAAAAUCCAUCAACCUUUCUUUUAUCACUUUUUCUUUUAUCACUCUAACUAUUGAUAUGCUAAUCCUUAUCUCUGCUAGACCUGCAAUCUAUUUUUUCUCGUGGACAAGAAAGAUGGAGAGAUCUUACAGACAAACAAAGGUGCAGCAAAACAAGCAAAGGUAUGUCCAUUUUUCGGUUCUCCUACCACGCCAGAAGCGUUCCACCGAAUUUCGGUGCGAAUUGAAAUUUAUAACGACCUGAAGUCGUCACGAGAUAAGAAAACUCGUACCUGACAACUGGUUUCCAGAGAUCUAGAAGAAUCUCAUUAGACUUGGAAACCCAGAUCAUGUCGUUCUCAAUGGAUCUCGAGGACCUCCAUAAAUCCUCAGUUGUCUGAGAUGGUGAUGGCAUGACUGACUCCACACAGGCCUCCCUCUCUUGUGCCUUCGUCAACCUCACUGUCAUCUAUGUCUCUAUGGAGAGGUUCUUGCUUUGCGAUGCCAUGUUCUUUGGGCCAUGCAAGAACAAUGUCAGUCUCUGGUAGCCUUUUUUUGGAUUGAAUUGGUUUUGUGUAACCCCCAUAACAACCCAGCUGGUACUGGGUUUCGAGACUGGUAGAGAUAGACAAAGAAAAGGGGAAAUGAGGCCAAUGAUUUAGAAAGGUGCGUUGCACCAUGUAAAAUAAAAGAAAUAAAACCAAAAGUUUUUGGAAUGUUGUAGCAUGUGAAUGAAUAAGAAAAAUAAUAAUAAAGGUAAAGGUUUUUGGAUGGUGUUACACCAUCUGAAAAGAAAGAAGAAAAUAUGUAUAUAUUUAUUUAUGUGCAUGGUGUUGGUUUAAAGCCCAUGUCACAAGUUCUAUUUACUUUAAAACAAUUUAUUUAUCAUGGACGGUUUUACCGCCUACUGCUUUAAGUUUUGAUUUAUGUGAAUGGUGCUGAAUUAAAGCCCUUGUCACAAGCUUUAAUUUAUUUAUUGCACUUAUCUUUUGUUACAAUGAGUAUAUAUAAGACCUAAAGUUCAUGAUCAGAUCAGAACCUGCAGUUUCUUGAUCAUCAUCAUAUAAAAAUGAUUGGACCUGAAGUUUCAUCAUACAAAAAGGAUCAGGCAUGAAGUCCCUUGAUCUUGAAGAUCAGGACAUGAAAUUCCUUGAUGAGUAUCGUAAGUUUGAAGUGCAACAGUGCCUCAACUUAAUUGUAAUAAAAGACGUAAGAGUCUCAGUUCACAUACUAUUAAAUAAGGACCAGAAGUUCCACAUGUCUAUACUCAAAAUGGUUUAGCAGAAGCAUUUAUUAAGUGGGUGAAAUUGAUUACCAACGCUCUGCUCAUGAAAACGAAAUUGCCAGUUUUCUACAUGGGGACAUGUAAACUUUACAUGAUGCAUUAUUAAUUCGGUUGAGAUAUGUUAUCAACCAUCAAUACUUCUCAGUACAACUCGGGUUUGGGAACCAACCAAACAUUAUACAUUUACGAGUUUUUGGUUGUGUUAUCUAUGUGCCUAUUACACUGCCACUACGUACUGAAAUGAGGCAUCAUCGCUGAUUGGGCAUUGAUGCUGAACACCAUCUAUCAUUCAAUAUUUGGAAUUCUUGAUUGGGGAUAUGUUUACCGCAUGGUUUGCGGACUGUUAUUUUGAUAAGACAAUUUUCCUGCCAUUAGGGGGAGAAAAUAAUAUUGUUCCAGAAGAACGAUGAGAAAAUAUCAUUCCAAAAGAAUGAUGAGAAAAGACCGUUCCAGAAGAACGAAGAGAAUUUGUCUUAUUUUGAUUCACGAAGCAAUCAAUGAGAAAAUGAAAUAUGAAUAAUUGAAUGAUGCAACGAAAGUGAUGAAAUCAUAUAUACUUACUGCAAAUGUGCCUACAAGAAUUGAUGUCUCUGUUGGAUAAAAUAAUGAGACAGUAAAUGAUUUAUCUGUUGCACGCCUGAAGCGUGGCAGAUUUUUAGACUUAAAAGGUUCAGUUAUUCGAAAGAAGAAUAAUAUGGCACUACUGAACUAUUGCAUUCCCGAAUCAUAAUUGUUGCAUGCCAGAAGCAUGACAGUCGCCGCAUGGAUACACGUCCCAGAUAGGACAAUCCACAGACAUGGGAAUGUUGAUGUCUCAUACAUGGAGCAUAAUAGACAUAUAGGUUCCAAUGACUCAACUCCCGGGAAGUGGAGAUUAAAAUCCAAGCUCUAUAACGCUCAAGAGGAGGUUAUGAUCCACAUUCUCUAAAUUAUGACUAUUCUGGAAGAGAUAGCGUCAUGCCCUUGAAGAGGCAAUGGAUAUCCAAAAAAAUGAAAAGCUUUUAUGCAUGCGCAUGCACAUGAGAAUAUGGGAUCACGGAUUGAUGAUAACCAAUGGUAAUUUUGGUUUUUACAAGUAGCUACUAAAUUCAUCAAUGAGCUGUGUUAAUAUUGAGUCACGUUCUUUUGUUCGUCGACAAAAGAAAAAUUAUUGGCCAAAAUGGAGAAAGGCAAUUCCAUUACAAUUUUGUAAGAACGUGGGCAAAUGAACCUAUAUAUAUUUGAAUACAAUACAAAUAGCCAAAAGAUGUUGAACCAAGGAGGUUACAUAUGGGUAUUUGUAAUACAGUGUAAUACACUCACAUGAUAUGACACAAGGUUACUAAUUGAAACCUGAAAUUAUACUCUUGUAAACAAGUUCACAUAAAUGGAGAAUUAUAUACGAAGGGUUGUGAGUCGCCCACAUUAUAUCUCCAUAAGUAAAUCCCUCAAGUAUACAUGGGAGCAAAUUGCUCUGUAUAAAUUCCAAAGGAAAAUGUGUCAUGAAGUGUAGAAAACCCUUGAAGGAUUCAAAUUGCUUGAAGUAAGCCUCUGAAGGGUAAAACAUAAAAUAUGUACUCAAUACCAAUGGAUGAUAUAAAUUGCCUUAGUGAGUACUAUCAUUAUGAUAUUGUUGCAACAUACUAAAAUCUCUUGCAAGAGUCAAUGACAUUAAAUUAUAACUCUUGAAGAGUUGAUGAUAUUAAAUUGGGACUCCUGCAGAGUCUAGAAAAAUUAUAAAGUGUUGAAGGAAUUAUUGUCUCGAGCUGCAGAUCGAACAAUCUACCAACACGAAUCUUAUCCAUGAUAUUUAUGAUAUUAAAAGAACCAUAUGGAUUGAAGAUUAUGAGUUGAAUACUCAUAUGAUGAAGACACUAAGAAUAAUCAUUUAUCUUCGUGAGGGUAAAGAUAAAUUAAUAUUUGGUCCAGAAGUACCACAUCUUAGUGAAGUAUAUGCUUUAUUGUAUUUGGCACAAUACAUUGAAUGAAAUAAAGCUUAUUUAUUAAUAUCUCCAAGAAAUUACAGAUAUGUACAUAUACAUGAGUUAAAACAAACAAACAGGAUGGAGCCUUCACAAAGGUUGCUCAUGUGAAGCCUCAGUACUUGGAAGUACCCCAGAAGGGGGAGGCACUGGAGAUUGAUCAUGUGGCACCCCAAUACUUAGCAAAACACCAGAAGGGGAAGGCAUCAGUUGCUUUCGGAAUCUAGCAACGAACCUCUGGUGAUCACUUUGAAUCCGACUUUCGGAUUCCUGCAGUUGGACGAGCUUUCUUUUCAUGCUCGUAGAGUAAUUAUUUGCAAGCACGUGUAACACCCUAUUCUCGUGCUUGAGCCCUCUGAUCUCUUGUUUAAGACUUGCCACAUUCGCCAUUAAUGAUUCAACUUGGCGAGUUUGAGCAAGUAGGCGUUGGCCCAUAUUGGAAACAGAGCCAGCACAUUGAACACUGAGAGCCAAGGAGUCUUGAACGGCCGACUCUUCAGACUGUUCUGAAAGGAUCUUGUUAUCCCUUGGAGUGAGAAGAUUUCUAGCUACCACAGUAGCGGUUAUGUUAUUCUUCAUCACAUAGUCCCCAACCGUAAGAGGACCAUUAGAAGAUAAGAAGGACGGGCGCCAUAUAUUAUCCUGACGCUGCUCGUCUGUAUCACUCAUAAGACUCAAAUCUAAGCAAAUGUUAGAUGGGCAAGUCAUUUUUCAGAAAUGAUGAAGGAAAAACAGAGGUCAAAUAAAAUUUCAAAAGUGCAAGAUAAGGGAAAUUUCUACAGGCAGCAACUUUCUGAGCAUACUCUUGAACACAAUUGAUGUCUUUAUAAAAGAAGAGGCAACAGAGCCACUCAUUCAGAGAUCGAAGAUGCACCACUCUCCGAAUUUCAAAAGCCAGAUUUUCCUGAAUAAAAUUCGUUGGCAUUUUUCAGACGUAAUCUCAGUUUUCUCAGAUAUCGCGUGCAACUUUGUCAAAGAUCUCUGACAAAGUUGAAAACGCGUAAAUCUUACUGUUCUAUUUACACCACAGUUGCUGACAAGAGUAAAAGCACAGCACCACCACUUGCUAUUGAGAAAUAUCUAUAUAUGUCGACCUCUGUUCUCCAUAACAAGGCAGACCUGCAACACUGCAAGAAUACCUAACUCUUCUUCAUCUCCGAGAAUGCAUCUUCAACAUAGCAUCUCGAAAUACUCAGUUUUCUUCCUCUCCGAGAAUACCUCUUCAAACAUGUCACACCAGAGCAAGAUUAUCACAUAUCUUCAGGGACCAGAGCAAGAUUAUCUCAUAUCAUGCAAUUUCCCUGUCCUUUCCUUUGUCCUUAUUCUUGCCUGCAAAGAUAAAGAUAAAGAAACCAAUAUGUCGGAACCUCCACUCAAACUCCCGGUAAGGAACCGACUGCCUGGAACAUUUCCUGAUUGCUUACCUAGUAUUGCUCUCGAGUAGUCAUCUUCAACGGUUGGAGCUGGGUCUCCAGUCACCAAGAAGUGAUGAACCAUUCAAAUGCAAGGGUUUGCAUUCCUUUCCUACAUCAGGGGACAAAUCCUACAAGAGAAGAUGCCAUACAUGUAGGGGAAAACCAGGGAAAAUACCACUUAAGCAAGGGGAGCAAGUAAGACAAGUGAAAAUGAUACAUUGAAGCAUGUGGAGACAAGCGCAACAAACACGUGCUGAUUCAUCCCUGACAAAACCGAAGAUCACUUGCCAUAUGAAGCUCUUAACGGUACAAUUUCAUUCAAGAUCAAGCCUCGAAGUCUUUGAAAAAAUCAUAAGUCCGAUUCAAGAUCAAGUGUCCACCAUUUUUGAAUCAAAUUCCGCUCCAGAUAAAAGGUGUAAAUUCAGAUCUUCGAUGCUAGUCUAGCAGAAAGUCCUACAACCCAGUUCAAGAGAAAGCCUGUGGAAAGUUAACAACAAGUAAAGCAACUCUUUCAGCAACUCUUCUUACUAAGAGACUAAAGCAGAACGAUCAACGAUCAACCUAAAUGAUUUGAAAUCAGGGGGAGAUACUCAUCAUGGGGAGCAUCCAAGACAGAUCAAGAUUUUAACGAGUCAAUUGAAGACUUGUGGCCAUCCAAUGGGGAGUAUUGUAAAUAUUAUGUGGAUGGCCCACAUGAAUGGUUUGUUACUAUUUAUUCACAUUAUUUUCAUUAUUCAUUUGUGGAAAAUUUGUAAGGUGAAUAGUGUCAUUUGAUUAUAAAAUGAAUGAGAGGAAGAGGAAGAUAGAGGGUUCACGGGAAAGAUGGGAAUGAAAAGAAAAGAAGGAAGGAAGAGGAAGAGAGAGAAGGAAGAGGAAGAGAGAAAAUAGAGGAAGAUGAGAGGAGAUAAUAGAGAGAGUUAUCUUUGUACUCCUAUUAUUUCAAAUUAUAACGAAAGCACCACUGCUGCCCCGAGGACGUACUCCAGUCACACUGACUGUAGAGGAACCUCGUAAAUUUUGUGUCUUAUUUCAUUUAUUCCACUGCACCCACAGUCGAUUUCACAACAGAUAAGAUAUUGUUAAUAUGUCGUUGAUUUUUAAAAUUAAUAAAUUUUUGGAUAAAUUACAUUUUACACCCUCAAAUAUGGGGUUAAUUACAACCUCAUACAACAUCUUUAAAACAUUUCAAUUUCAUACAUUUAGUUAUAUUUUCUUUUCAGUUUCAUACCUCUGUUAAAAAAUCUGUUAAAUUAACUGUUAAGUGAUGAAGUAGCAAAUGUAGGGUCUAUAUUUACGCUGACAUAGCUGUUAAAUUUGCAUCAUGUGAAUAAAAAAUAAUUAUUUAAUAAAAAAUCAAUUUAUAUUAUUAAUUAAAAACUAAAAGAAAAUUGAAAGGGGUAUAUGGGCAAAGUUUAGCCCAAUAACCCCAUCUCUUCCUCGAUUUCAUCCCAUCUCCUCUGUGCUUGUCUGCAACCAAUAAUCCCAUCUGGGUUUGGGAAGCUUCUUAUGUCGCCCUAUAGAACUUCAACCUUUUCUUCUUCGUCCAACCUUCUUCAUCCCUGCAAAUCUCACGCAUUGCACAAGACUCCCUGAACUUCCUCCCUCCAUCGCCACGCACCAACACACUGCAAAUCCCUGCCUCGAGAUGAACUAAGUCCGGGAUGGCGCCGGAUAAAGAAUUUGAGGACAACUACACGUUAUUUAGUGAAAUCAGGUCCCUGAACGAAGUGGGUAUUUCACCAUUGAUGGAAUUGGAGGAAAGGUUUAAGGUUUCAAGAUUUUCAAGGAGUGUGAGGGAACUGGUAUCUUCCCCCGAAGCUUAUUGCCGGAAAAAUCGAUAUGGGUAAGGUUUAAAUUCAAGUGUUUCAGAAUGUUGCCGGUUAAAUUGACGUCGGAAAUGGUGAUUGACCUGAGCUUCUUCAAGCUUCCGAUGAUGAUGAUGAAGGGUUUGGAAGCCUUGACUUGGAUGUUGGAGACGAUGAGCUCGGUGAGGUUUUGGAAGCGAGCGAGCCAGACGCAAGUGAGGCGGCGAAGGAAGUUGAUGCAGGUGAAUGAGUGGAGGGAGACGACGAGGUCGGAGGGGAAGCCGAUUGGAGCAAUGGGGCAGUUGAGGGACUUAAGGGAUUAGAGGGUGGAGAAGGAUUUGAGGGCGGUGAAGGAGAUGGCAACGUCAUCGGAGCAAUUGGCAAGGCGGAGGGAAAAGAGGUGGCAGAACGGCUUGGAGGAGUCGCAGCGGGUGGCGUUUGGGUGAAGUCGCCACCUCUUCUGUUGUUAUGCCAUGGCAGAGCCGCCAUCUCCUUCGUCGAUACGCCACCACACCCACCAUUCUCUCUCCCAUGUGACCACUUAAGUUCCCUAUUUCAACCACGGAGGCUCUCGAUUUCUACUGAUUCAUGAAAUUCCUAAUUUCAAACCAUGCUAGAUUUGAAUUGUUAGGUUUCAAUUGCUGCGAUUUGGUUGUGGGUAAGGGUGUCGUGUCGAGGGUUAAUGGUGAUGGAAAGGCGUGUUCUUGGUGGUUAUGAAGAUGGGGUUGAUCAGAGGGAGAAGAGGUGUGGGCAUGGUAGAGAAGCGAAUGAGAAGUUGACCAGAGAGAAGAGGGGUCGGGUGGGGUUGAAUUUUUUUUUGUUGACAUUUUAAUUAUUUAUUAAAUAUUUCAAAUAAUAAUACUUUUUUUUAUCCACAUGGCGCAAAGUUGACAUCCACCUCAUUAAAAAGUGGGUCCUAUAUCUGCCACAUCAUCACUUGACAGCCAUUCUAAUAGAUUAUGUAACGGAUUAUAUGAAAUUGCAACUAAAUCAUAUUUGAGGUAUGAAAUUGUAAUGUUUUACGGAUGAUGUAUGAGGUUGUAAUCUCACUUAUACUCGAGGGUGCAAAAUGUAAUUUAUCCUAAAUUUUUAGUACUAGUAUGGCAAUUUUUUUUUUUGAAAAAAUAAUAAAUAUUUGACACAUUUUUUCUUUUGUUAAAUUAGAUAUUAAAUUAAGAAGUCAACGGGAUUUGAACUCACUGUCAAUGUUAAGUUGUUAAAAUGACACAGGUAAUGCAAUAUCGUCGUUAGAGUUUUUAGCGGGUAGAUUUGAAAAAGCCCACUCAUUAUAGAAGCUUGGGAGGGCCGGAAGGGCCCAUGAGUUGAGCCCAGACCGCGAGGUGUGAAUUCCCCAUCCUCAGCAGCUGUCAGUCAGCACAUCACCAGCUGCAGAGAUUUCUCUAAAUGCCAAAACGAACUCCAAACAAACCUACGAUUUUCUCUUCCCUCUUCCUCCUCCUCCUUCUUCCCACUCUCCAACUCAUACACCAUUUCUUGGUCUGCACACGAUGAAGUGAAUUGGGUCGGGUCUUCCACCAAUGUCCGAAGAAGAAGAUGAUGAGAAAACCCAUGGCCGUCAUCUGCCACCCACCUGAGCCCUUCCUCUUCCUCCUCCUCAAACCCUUUUAUUCCAUUUCCUCCCCCGCCACCGCUCCCCUUCCCCUCUCCCCCGAACCGCACGAUCUCUCCGCCCAGCUCUUCUCCAUUCUCUCCCGCCCCAAUUGGCAGCGCCACCCUUCCCUAAAAAAACUUGCCCCCUCCAUAUCCCCUUCUCAUGUCUCCUCCGUCUUCGCUCUCAAACUCGACCCCCAAACGGCCCUCGGAUUCUUCAACUGGAUUGCCCUUAAACCCGGAUACAAGCACACUGUCCAGUGCCAUUCUUCCCUCCUCAACAUUCUCCUUCCCAAUGGGUUUCUCCAGGUCGCGGAAAAGAUCCGAAUUUCCAUGAUUAAGGCGUCCAGUUCCCCACAAGAUGCCGUUUUUGUGCUCGAAUAUUUGCGGGCAUUGAAUGGCGCCGAAGAGUUCGAGUUCAAGCUCACCCUCAGGUGCUACAAUUUUCUUCUAAUGUCAUUGUCUAAGUUUUCCCUGUUUCAAGAUUUGAAAGCUCUGUACUUGGAGAUGUUAGACGAUAUGGUUUCGCCAAAUCUGCAUACUUUUAAUACCAUGAUCCAUGCUUACUGUAAAUUGGGUAACGUGGCCGAGGCGGACUUGUAUUUCAGUAAGAUAGGGCAGGCGGGUUUGCACCCCGAUACGUUUACCUACACUUCAUUGAUCCUGGGGCAUUGUAGGAAUAAGGAUGUGGAUAGUGGUUGUAGUGUUUUCAAGCUAAUGCCGCAAAAGGGUUGUCAAAGAAAUGAGGUUUCCUAUACUAAUUUGAUUCAUGGGUUUUGUGAGGCUGAUCGGAUCGAUGAGGCUCUCAAGUUGUUUUCUCAAAUGGGGGAGGAUAAUUGUUUUCCGACUGUGCGUACAUUUACAGUUCUUAUUUGCGCCUUGUGUAAAUUGGGAAGGAAAAUAGAAGCUAUGAAUCUGUUUAAAGAGAUGACGGAAAUGGGUUGUGAACCAAAUGUUCAUACUUAUACUGUGCUCAUUGAUAGCAUGUGUAAGGAAAAUAAGCUUGAUAAGGCAAGAAACUUGCUAAACAAGAUGUUGGAGAAAAGGUUGGUUCCUAAUGUUGUCACGUACAACGCAAUGAUUGAUGGGUACUGCAAGGAGGGAGCAGUUGAGGCUGCACUUGGUAUUUUGGCUUUGAUGGAAUCGAGUAAUUGUUUUCCAAAUGCUCGGACGUACAAUGAAUUGAUUUGUGGAUUUUGUAAAAGGAAAAAUAUACACCAGGCAAUGGCACUGCUUGGUAAGAUGCUUGAUCGGAAACUCUCACCAAGCCUAUAUACAUAUAACUCAUUAAUCCAUGGGCAAUGUAAAAUAGGUCAUUUGGAGAGUGCUUAUAGGCUGCUUAAUUUGAUGAAAGAAGGCGGUUUGGUUCCUGACCAAUGGUCUUACAGUUCUCUCAUAGACACACUCUGUAAGAAGGGGAGACUGGAAGAAGCUCAUGCCCUGUUUGAUUCUCUCAAAGAGAAAGGCAUAAAGUUGAAUGACGUGAUCUUUACUGCUUUGAUUGAUGGUUAUUGCACGGUUGGGAAAAUUGACGAUGCCCAUUCUUUGUUUGAUAGAAUGCUUGUAGAAGACUGUUUGCCGAACUCAUACACUUACAAUACCUUGAUAGAUGUGUUGUGCAAAGAAGGAAGACUGAAGGAAGCAUUAUCACUGGUAGAAAAGAUGGUAAGUAUUGGUGUGAAAGCUACAGUACAUACUUAUACAAUUCUAAUUAAACAAAUGUUGAAGGAAGGGGACUUUGACCAUGCUCAUAGGCUUUUAAACCAGAUGGUUAGUUCUGGUAAUCAGCCUGACCUAUUUACUUACACCACCUUUAUUCAUGCAUAUUGCGGCAUAGGAAAUGUAGAAGAGGCAGAGAAAUUGAUGAUUAAGAUGAAUGAAGAAGGAAUUGUAGCAGAUUCGUUGACUUACACAUUGCUAAUUGAUGGAUAUGGACGCAUGGGAUUAAUUGAUUGUGCAUUUGAUGUUCUUAAGCGCAUGUUUGAUGCUUCUUGUGAUCCUUCGCAUUAUACCUAUUCCUUUCUGAUCAAACAUCUUUCAAAUGAAAAGUUGACAGAGACAAGGAAUAAUAUACUGGGAAUGGAUUUGAUCUCAAAUGUCUCCUUGAUUGAUAUUGCUGAUGUGUGGAAGAUAAUGGAUUUUGACAUUGCUUUAGACCUUUUUGAAAAAAUGACUGGACAUGGUUGUGCACCCAGUACCAACACUUAUGACAAACUUAUAGUAGGUCUUUGCAAAGAGAGGCGCUUGGAAGAAGCCCAGAGGUUAUACAGUCAUAUGAAAGAGAGGGAAGUUUCUCCCAGUGAGGAUAUUUAUAAUUAUCUUCUUAACUGUUGCUGUACAUUGCAAAAGUAUGGAGAGGCAGCAAUCUUGGUGGAUGCGAUGAUUGAGGAUGGUUAUUUACCGACAUUGGAGUCCUCCACGUUGCUUGUAUGUGGGCUUCUUGAUGAAGAGAAGAGUGAGAAGGCAAAAGCAGUUUUUCGUACUUUGCUUCAUUGCGAAUAUAAUUACGAUGAAGUAGCUUGGAAAGUUCUCUUUGAUGGUUUACUUAAGAGGGGUCUUGGCAAUAUAUGCUCUGAGCUCAUAAGCAUCAUGGAGAAGUUGGGUUGCCGGCUUCAUCCUCAGACAUAUUCAAUGUUGAUUGAGGGAAUCGAUAGUCCGUAAAACUGCUGGGUUUUUUUUCUUCUGGGAUUUAAUUCUUUAUCUGUGAGCACUACUACAAGCAAAGUGAUUUUAAAACUUAUAUUCCCAGAUAUCUGGUAAGCACUAUGAAUUGUGAAUACAGAGUGUUCACACUAUAAGAUGCUACAAAGAUCAUUAUUUAUGUCUCAGGAGAAUAUGAUACUGGAUUUGCAGUCUUUAUUUGCGCUGUGAAUGUACCGUCUCUUCAGUGAGUGCAUAUAUGUUUCUCUGGGACGAGGACCUUGGCAUUGAGGAUUUUGACUCAAAAUGGUCAGUAUAACCAGUACAAUCCGGUAAAACGUUCUUAGCAUCCAUGUGGUAAGUGCUGUUAUAUUUCACUGUUUUGGCUGAUUUGAUGUUUUAGAUAACUGAUGCAUGAAAUACCCACAGAUUUAUGCAUGCUUAUUUCCUGCUCACCGGCCAGUAGCCACUAGGUACUAACUGCAAAUUGGGAAUUGGAAAUAUUAGAAUUUUAUGCUUUUGUUUGAUGUGGGUGCACAAGAAGUUAAGACCUAAAAUGGUGGAAUGUCAAAUUACCGUUUCAAAGCCAUUCAGUCAACGCUUUAUAUAAAAGAAAAUUGGGCACUGGCUUUAUAUUUGACACAUAGACAAAUGUGAAUGUACAUUAAGGCAUGAUAAAUUUCCCACAAAAAAAAAAAAAAAAAAAAAAAACUCCACUCAAAUGCAUACCAUGUAGUAAUAUCUCAUAUUGUUUGCCCUUCCCAUAAAAAGUAAAAAUAAAAAAUCUCACAUUCUUGGAAAUGAAGGCAUUAUUUUUUCCCCCAAAAAAUGCAUUUAAAUAUCAUAUCACUAGGUGAUUUUCGGAUCUUCUACUGAAGAAAAAGAACUUUGGAAAGAAAAACUAGUACAGGCGAUGAGGCCAAAACCAAUUUUUGUAUUUUGUACAUACUAGACACAAUUUCACGUAAAUGAUUUCUUUGUUUAUCCUUUUUGUGCUAUUGCAUCAUGAACACGUUAAAUUUUGUGUAGAUAUCUAAAAGUACCACGGGAAGAUGGACUUGAAAUAUCAGAGCUAGCUAUUGAUGACGCCAAGUCAGAGCUGUAUCAUUCAAUCAAUAGAUGUAUGAAGAAAUCAGAAGUGCAGAGGUUAGUGUAUUUCUUUUUUCUGGACAAGUGGAUUUGUACCUUUUUUUUGUCUUUUAAACCAUAAGCAUGUCUGCCUUCACUUUGUUCAAGUCGAAAGUUUUGUUAUCACUAGCCUUAUGGUGUCAUUGUACUGGGGAGAGUCUCAAACCCCAAACCCUAAAUUAAGGUUAAAGUUUUUGCUUCGCAUUCCUCUUAACAGCGCCAUCUUAGUUUCUCCAAAAUUAUCUCACAUUUGAUCAUCCUACUCCCUGUUAGGCCAAAAUUAAUAAGGGGAUAUUGAAAGGUGUUUGAUGUAUAAAAGUGGUGGUGCAAGUACAAAUCCUUUGCUGCUUCUGUUUUGACUUCACUAUGCUUGGCAAGGAUUUGUUUUGGGAGGUAAUUGAUUGCUUAUUUUGUGCUGGCAGGAUGAGCUCAGCUUUGGCGCUGAUGUUCGAUGUUGUUCACUCUUCAUUCCAUCUAUUCAUUUGCACAAGUGAGUAAAUUAGUAAUGCCCUUCCUCCUCAGAAAAAGAUUCAAAAACAUGUGUGUUUGAAUUCUUUGUUAAUUUGUUUUCUUGCAUUGACAAUGGAAACACGUCGCCUUUCAUUUUCUUCCAGUGGAACCACUUAUCUAGUUAGUGUGACUUAUCGGGUUGCUAGGAUGCUGGUCCGGUAUUGCAAUGAAGAUCUCGUGCGGUAAAAGGGGUUAACAGUGUUUGGUUGCCCCAUGCAUAUGCCAACUAUAUUAGCAAACCAAAUGCAAGAAUGCAAGGUCGGUGGUCGCCAUUCAUAUACUCAUCAGAAAACAGAAAUCAGUACUGUAUGGCUGUGAUUGUGCGUGCAGAUUAUCGGGCGCAGAACCGGCUGAGCUGGGGGAGCUUGGAGGGAAGUGGCUGGUAUUUACUCGAUCGUACAGCCUCACCUGCUGACAUGAUAUAUCUCAAACAAUGUAUAGAAUUUUCGUGAUGAUUUCAGACAGCAGAUGACAAAUAUUUCAAGUCUGACGAGCAAUCAAUUUACGAUGUAUUAUGUUCAUGUCAAGUUUCAACGUAAUGCGAUCCCGUUUAAAAAGAUUGUUCAGUAGAGGACGUAUGGUUGUACAUUUCUUCAGGUAAAUUAUUAAUGUUCAUCAAAUUGCAUUUGUGUAUACAGCAACCUCAUCAUCUCUGCUCCUACAAGCUUUUUCUUUCUAUUUGUAACAGGUUCGAUUUGUGCGCGUCGUCCUCAUCCUCGUAGUUUUAUCGACCCCACCCCGACUCAUGAGGACAUCACCAAUCCGGAUCCUCGAUCAGAUUGGUUGUUGGCUAAUUAAAACAAACUAAUUGGUAAUCAAUACUACUAAUUCUCAACAAACUGGAUUUGGAUGUGGCUUACACCAAGAAACCAAAGUUGAUGUAGGCGAUCGUUAACGAGACAUUGCUUCAAAUUCCGAAGCAUCAAGUGGCAGAAAUGAGAGAGGAAGUCAUAAGAUUGAUUCCGAGAGUGAUAUAUGCAGAUCCAAGGGCAUCCUGAUUGGAGACAGUUGAAGAUGCAUUCGAAAUAGCAGUUAAGGGAGUGCUUGGCAAAGUACAGAAAACUAGGAAGGACAUGAAAGAGGGUAAAGAUCCUGGCAAUGCUUUCUGGGAAAUAAACCCUACUGAAUUCGAUAUGCCUAAGCUCGGGAUGAGGGGAAGAAAAUUUAAACAGAAGUAUAACCGAUUGUUUCUUAAUAAGCAACAAUCGUGUUACAAUGCAAGUAUUUCCAAAAGUUAAAUCACAUUUGAAUUUGGAAUUAGCUUUCUCUACAUUUAUAUAGUACCUUCCUUGUCCUAAGUGUAUACCAGAAAAGAACGUAGAGUGAUGAAUGAUUACUUUUAUCCGCCAUCGAGGUCCUUGGCAUGAGCCAGCAUACAUUAGGUUACAAUGUUGGCAAACCUGUCUCCUGUUUGAAACUUCUGGACCUCGGUUUCCACACCAGCAAUUAGCUACUGGAGCCAAUUAAUCAAACCUUACAGCGAGCCGAUUUAGCUGCUACUUUGCUUUGCAUCGCGGAUGUGGAACAUAAGCUGCAAGAUAUGCAACUUCAGACCAAUCAUAGAAAUAGAGCAGACACACGCACUAUGAUAUGUAUACAAUUGUCUGCUUAUGGAAAUGUUCGGGUUUAGGGUUUAUAUCAGAAAGAAAAUUGAACGAAAUCCUGAAACGUCAUUUUGAUACAAGAUAAAUAUAAGCCCAAAAUACAUAAGAAAAUAUCUGAACUCCUAAUGACUGGGUUCCAUUAUAUUUAGGCAUGAGAAGAAAUAGUGAAAUUACUAUAAAAUAAAUUUUUUACGCAUUUUCCAUCUCAAAACAUAUCCACAUUGCGAAACUAAUUCUAAAAGGCGACAUAUUUAAACUUCACCGUUAAAGAAAUAAGCAGAUAAUUGUGACAUUACCUUUGUCCCUACAUAAAAUGUCAAAAGCAUGCCUGCCAAAACCGGAAGUCCUGUACAAAGAAUAUCAUCAGUCCUCCCAGAAGCAGAAUUGUGUAAGGAUAACAAGAAACCUCAGGACAUGAAAAUUCAAGUUACCUUCUCGUUUAAGGAAUUGAGAAAUCAACCAACUAAUCCCAGAUGGUCCAAUAACAAAACCAACAAGGUUUGCUACCUGCAGAAACAUUGAAUGCUUGUAUUGUUAGCAUUUACGAAUUCUUGUAAACACAUAAGGUGAUUCCCAGUUUGCAAUACCCACUAGUUUGGCAAAUGCGUAUAACACGAUACAUUUUUAAGUGCUAAGUACACUGAAACCAGUGGGAUGUGCUAGAGAACCAUUGCAAAAAUGAAACUCUUAGGCUACCCUUCACUCUUUAAACACAUAUGUUUCAAUAAACUGUCACUGUAAAAAGGCCUUAAGUGGUUUGAAUCAUUUAGCCUUUCAAAAGAGAAAAAGGCAAACGAAUUUCGCAAAGGGAAGGAAAAGACUACUAAAUGUUUAUAUUUGACAAGCAGAGAAUUUCAGAUAUAUAAGCAUCAUCAAAUUAGUCUAAAAAAUAAAGAGCAAAAUGACCUUAUUAUUACUUCCUUUUCACUCAAGCAAAAGUGCAAAUAUCAAAAGUCAAUACCAGCAUCAACAAGAAUAUAAAAAUAGUUAUGAUUGAUAUAUGCUUUAAUCAAAUGCAGGAUACAGACCAUGAGACAAGUGAUAGUAAUUGCACCAGCAACCGCACUAAGUUCACGAACAACAAAUUCCCCAUGAGUACUCUUAACCUGACAACAAAUACAUGACAAAAUCAAAAUUGUUAAGCUCGACAGAUAAAAAUAAAGGUUAACAUACUCCUCUUCUCUUCCUCUCCCUCCCUAAGCUUCGUAUGUGUGUAAGUAUAAAAUAAUGAACUACAACGAGAGAAAUCACAAAGCAAAAGGGUUGCCAACAUGGUUGAGUUCUAGAGCAAGUUUGUGAUUUUUCUUACAAAACCUUCAGGUGCGUUUGUUGCAUCAGACUAUCUCGGACUGGACUAGCUUUAUAGACUAAGCUGGACUGACUUAGACUAGACUAAGUUGGAUUGACUUAGUGAAGUGCUUGGUGCAGAGUCGGACUAAGAAGCAUAAUUAAGGACAAAAAGGAAAAAAGUCUUUGUUAACAAAACUUUCUCCAGAAUUUUCUAAUGCAAAGAAAUUGAACCCAACAUCAAAAAUUUUUGUAGAAUCCAACUACACCUAGCAACCAAAUUUUACAUUCUCUCAACCCAAAAACAAAACUUUCCAAUAAAUCAAUGGAACCCAAAAGCCCAGCUGAAAACCCUUCGAAUUUUUCAAUUGGGAACUCAACUUACUCAUAUGAAUUAGAAGAACCCAGAUAAAAAUCACAUUGAUUUUUCGAACUUUCAAAGUCAUAUUUCCAUUGAUUUUCAAUCUUUCCUCAUUUUCCAAAUUACCCCUCCACUCCUUUCUCUCCCCAUCCCCCCUCAAACUAUCAAAUAUGCGACAAAAACUUAACCCCUUUUCAGGAAGCCAAACAUCCACUUUCUAUAAAAGAGAGAAAGCACUGAAAUUUCCACAGAGCUCCAAGACUUGUCGGUCAUUUGAGUUCUUCAAAUUCAAUGUGAUUUUUCAACUCGGGACUCAAAAUUCAACUUGGAAGUGGGCGUCUGCCAUGGCCAAACUCUCGAUCUGCUUCUUGGCUCGCAGAGUUGGCAGUUUCUCCAUCAACACCCCAAUUUUGGCUGUAACAUCCACCGACAGCGGCGCCUCUUCAGCUGUGAGCUCCCCCCCUGACUUAGGCAACGAAAGAGCAAGCACUGCGAUGCCCUGGUGACGAUGCCGCAAAAGAAGCGGGGACUGGAUGUUAGUGAGCAAAACUUGGGGAUUGGAUGUCGGCCUUCCUUUCUAGUCCCCCUUAAUACCAAGCGAAAGCUUGGGAUUAGACUUAGCGAACCCCGGAGGGCCUCAUAGUCGAGGCGAGUCCCACUUAUUUUAGUUCGAGGACAUACCAAACACAGUAUUAUAGUCCUACUUAAGCUAGUCCCUCUUAAGGAGGUGAAACAAACGCACCCUCAAAGUACAAGAUUAAGUCCACGAUUUUUUUUCGCCUAAAGGUUGAAAGUCAGGGUCCAGGCUUCAAAUUGAUUACCAUCCAACAAAUCAGAAACCCCUAAUCCGCAAGCCAACAACAGCUAACUGAUUGGCUUUAUGGGAGGGACGAGAAUUGGGAUGAUCAUCCUCCCAUAAGUUAAACCAAACAAUAGAAAAACAGCAAUGGUAAUAGGAACAAAGAGGUCACCUGAAAUGCAUUGGUUGCUGAUUUCAAUAUCAUUUCCGGAAUAAAGAAUAAGCAUGUCAGCCAUGCCCACGAAAGAAGCUUCCUAAUGCCAAAGAUAGAAAUUAAGUUAGAAUAAGGAACAAAUUUCAAUAAGGCUCUACUCCCAUUUGACAGAAAGCUAAGAUGUAUUCAAUAAGAAAAAUUCAACAGCAACAAGUACCAUUCUAGAUCAUGCCAAAUGGCAACAAAUGUGAAUACAACCCAUACAUUGAGAAGCUUCCUCCGAGUGCCCCCAAGAGGAAUGUACAAAUACCUAUUGUUUUCAUUUCCCAAACAAACAUGUCAGAGUUAGAAACAGGAUUACAAGAGAAAUUUGAAGCACAACAGGUUGAAAGUUUCACCUCACAAGCCAUUUGUUGUAGGAAGCAUGCCAGUUCUUCCAAAAAGUUUCCAAGUUGUAGCAAUUAUUUAUACACCUCGGCAUAUUCUCAGGGACCUCAAUGCCACAUAUCUGCAGUAAUUAGAAAAAAAAUCAUUGUCCCACUGCAAAGCAAUAUCAAUACUAAAAGAUACAACUAAUUUAUAGUAGACGGACAACCCAGCAGUAAACGCCAAAGUUCGGAAGAAAUGGAAAUAAAAAUUUAUUGACAUAUACACACCAGUGACCAGAACCGGAAAUAGCGCCAUAUCAGAAAAAACUUUAGCCACAUGAAGAUUAAAACCUGCACCAUCAUAAGAAAGUAAAUCACCUUUACCUAAGCUAAAACAAAUAGAUGAAGUCACCUAACAACUAGAAUGGAAAUCCAGACAAGGUGAAAGGAAAAUACUAAAAGACCCAAUUAAAAAAAGGGUCUGAUAAAAGUUCACCAAAUAAAUUAUUAUAUCCAGGUAAAGUAACCAAGUAACUUUACUUUGCAGCAGACAGCAGAGUGUAUGAAUAUGGUGAGGAACUUGAAAAUACUUGCAUAAGAAUUCUUACAUCAUAUCUAUGAGGAAUGUAAAGAUUACAAUUUAAUGAUUGAUACUAUUACAAAUGAACUUAUUACAAAUAACACUUUGGGGAUUGAUUUAACUUUUAAUAGCUAACUCUCUCAUGCAUUUUUCUUUGCUCAAAGAAGGUUAUGGAUACCACGUAUUUUAAGAUAUACUUGUUCAUUAUUUUUUAUAUUCUCAUAAGUAGGAACUAUCACAUUAUUAAACAUUUAGUCCAUGCACAAAGAGUCUAAGGUAGGUGUGUUUUGUAUUUUCUGGAAUUAAUUACUACAUUACCACCUCAAAUUAAAAGAACAUUAUGCGGCUUCACAAUGUAUUUCAAUCAUAUAAAAAGCUUGAGAUACUAAAAUUCUAAUCAUCAAAGACCUUGAUACUGUAAGGAUCAUCUCUUACCCCAUAUCCAAUAAUAAACACAUCCAUAGGGUAUAACUCUUUCCACAUGCCACUAAUAGGUACAGAAAAAGAGAACCUAGUUAAUAUCCAAAAGAUAGAAUACACACAUGCGUGGGUGUGCGCACAGACACACAUACACAAUACAGGGUGUAUCUUUAACUAGACACUCACCUGAUUGCAAACGCAUUGUAAUAGAAAAGAUGUGUCAUUAGUUCCAUCAGAAGAAGACUGAACACCCAGCGCAAACCAUACCAAGCAAUGUCCUUAGCUGAAAAGUUAUUUUGAGGAACAUCCAACUGAAAGAAUAUUGCAAUAAAGGUAAAUACUGAGACUCUGCAGAACAUACAAGCAUGGACUAUCAUCUCCAACAAUAUGGAAAGCACAUCCAGUGCACUUGGCAAUCCAUAAAUGACCAAAUAUUUCAAAUUAUUUAAAAAAAACAGUACCAAUAUUGAAAGUGACAGACCUGUGAGGCAAAUGCAUUGAAGCUUACAAUUGGCCCAGUAAGAUAAAGAGGUGCAUACACCAAAUACGCAAGGUAAGUCGUAAAGGCAUACAUGUCAUUCUGGACACCUGUCUCCUGAGUAUAACAAACACAAUUAUGAACACAUGGAAAAUCCAUUUGGAUGAAAGUUGAUUUAAGGAUCCACCAACUGCAAUAAUACUAGGCUUGCACUUAAGUAGAAAGCAUAAGCUAACCUGUAAAACAUGGUAACAAGUUUUCCCUGAUUUACAAAUAUUGCAACGCUGAAUGUGUUUCUGCAUACAAGACCAAGAAACAUUAGCACUUUGUAAAUAGCUAAAGUGCAAAGUAUUAAAUCCUUGACAAUAAUCUGCAUGCAUGAAUAAGCAGAGAAAAUCCAUCAGAAUGAACUAGGAAUCACUAAGAUUCACGGUAAUAGCUUUACAUUAAACAAAAGAGGGUUGCUGAAAAUAUGUUAAUGGAUACUGGCACAUGAAUUGGUGUAAGAAUUUGUAGUUAAUACUAUAAUAAAUUCUGUUAACAUAGCAAUUGGCAAGCAUGUGAAGGACAAUGUUAAAGUACCAUUGAGUGCAACCACAGAAAACUAACUAGAUAUCAACUUCAAAAGCAAGCUGCAGAGCAAGAACAUUGAAACCAUGCAGGGUUGAUUGAUGUGAAAGUAAUAACCACUCUUGACUCUCAUCCAUAGAACAAGCUGGAAAGAAAAAUACCAUAAAGUUCUAGAACAAAAAGUAACACAAGCUUGUUAUUAUUUCAGGCCACAAUCAUAGGUGGGCUGGAGACUAACCUCUAAGUCAAACCAGUUUGGCUUAUACAAAGUGGCCUAAUAGGCUUUCAGAGGAAAAAAUUAAUCUCCUGAAAAGGUUUUGAUGUAUUAAUUACAUGGUGUAUUUUAGGUUCAUUGUUUUGGACUCUCAUAUUCAAUGUCUUUAAGUCUCUUAUUGUCACAUGAUUAGGUGUUGUGAAUUUUCUUUUAGGAUUUCAAAGUGUAUUAGCUGUGAGGCUAGAUUUUUUUUCUAAUUUCUAUGAAAAAUGAAUCCAAUACACCAAUGGUUUUUGCCAAAGGCCAGAGAGUGAUCCCAGAUCACUCUUUUCUUCCUUUCUCUUACUAGUGGCCCGCAUCACCACCAUAACCAGAAGCGUUGGACGGUUAGUAACAUCGUUUCCAUGUAGACUCCGUGACAAAGUAAUCCAAUAAAAUACAUACCAGAAAAAAAAAGGCGGAGGGACAGAACAGAGAAGAUAGCAUACACAUCACAGCUCAAAGGAACACAAAUACCUUAUGGUCAAAACGAGAUUCUCGAUGUGCCCAAUGGUAAUCAUAGCCAAAGCUUAUCAUCCGCAAAACAACUGUCACAAACAACCAGAAUAAGAGAUUAAAAAAAACCAUAUAAAAGAAUCACAAAUAUAUACUAAUGUAUAAAAGCAGGUUGCAACACUACUCAUAGUGCUUUGUGAAUCCAUUCUUUUUUUCUAUUAACUUCCAUUCAUAUUAUCUCAAUUGAAAGUUUUACUUAUUUUUAUACAUGCAAUUACUGAAAUAAGAAUCUAGGUACAAUGAACUCGUCUCCCAAAGAGUCAUCUUGACAACAAAAACUUCACUGCCUACUUCAUAGCUUAAUUGGAGGCUCCAAAACCACAAUUUUACACCAGCAGACAUGAAAGAGAUCAUAAUUACCAAAUACAGCCAUAACUCGUUGAAACGACUCAAAUUUUCAAACAUAUUCAUCCACCAUUUUGGUUCUGAUAUAACGAGCCUUACACACCCUUGACCUAAUCCACAAGGCUCCAAUCUGUGGCAUUGUGGGUCUGCUCCAAACUGCAGUAAUCAUGGAAUAAGUUGACUGUACUUGGUAAUUAUGGGAACCCGUCUUUGCAGUCUGAGAACCCAUUUCCAAACUGCUCCAAGCAGCCAACUUAAUAUAUAAGAGUAUUCAACUAUUAGAUGUUGGGGAGUCCAAUCUUAUGAGUAGGAUUCUCAUACUGUAGAGAUGGGUGAUGUCAUUAGGUUCUCAGAAAGUUAGCUGCUUUUUCGGUCUCACAGAUCAUAUUGGCAAACCCGUCUGGGUAUUUUGUAGGAUUGCAUACAUAGAUUUGUGGCUACAUAGUAGAUUUGUGUCUACAUAGGUAUUCACAUAUUUCACGAAAGGUCAUAUGCACAUGAUAUGGAAAAGAAGAUGAAUACACAGUAAUGAAAGUAUGAUAACUAGAAUUAAAAUGUCAAAAUGAGGAAAGCACAAUACCAAAGUUAAAGCAAAUGUGCCAUCUAAAGGUGCCCCGAAAGUUGUCCAAAUAUGCCCAGCGUUGCCUACAUAAUAAUAUGCAGAAGCAGAUAUAUCACAAUUUAUCUGUUAAGUACCCAAUGAAGUACUAAAUAGCCUAGCCUAGCCAACAAAACUCACCCAAUUAUGGAGAAUGAAUAUCCUUCAUAAACACGAUUGCACAGAAGAAAGAAUAUGUUGAAAAUCCAAAAUACAAAAGGGAAAUACUUUGUUCGUGCAAAUAUCUGCAAAAACACAAGUCCAGUAAUGUAUGGCAAGAACUCAAAACAGUAGGGCAUAACUCUAACAAAGCAAGAAACAAAAUGAACUCUUGGAAUAGGCUCAAAACAGUAGCCCAUAUAAUUGUACAUUCCUCAUAAGAGUAUUUUUCUUUCUAAAUAUAGAAAGUGUGGAAAGCACUUUUAGAUUUUUGGAGUGACAAUAACAAUUCCCUAAAAGAAAAUGCAUUGCAUUAUGUAUCCAAGCAUGAAUGGAGCUCACCUUUACCAAAAGAAAAUUCAUUGAAGCGAUUGCGAGGAUAAAUAUAAUGCUUGCAGAAACAACGGAAGUCAGAUAACUGCACCUCCUAAGAAAGAGCAUAUAAUCCAAGUACAGUUAUGAAGGUAAGACAUACCAGGCUCCAUGCAGAUAUGCUAGGUAUGUGAAAGAAAUCAAAAUCCAAAUAAUGGACAUCCCUCUCGCUUUUAAAUGAAAGCUUGUCCUCAGCAAAUUAGCAAUCAACGUGAACAUUGUGAAGACACCAGUAAGAACAGGAAAAUUUCCUCGAAAGUUUCUCCAUUGAGCAUCAGAAACAUCCUAAGCAGAAAAAGAAAGGUGCUUUUCAGGUAAGAACAGGAAUGUCAAAAUAAAACUUGUGUAGUUUUGUUAGAACUUUCAGUACAUCCAAUGUUUUUAACACCAUGGUACUGCAGUAAAUCAACACACGAACAAGAGUCGUAUAUAGAAACGGAAUAAUGCUUCUGGAAUUUGAAAAUCUAUCUGCUAGUGAUAACGUCUGCCUCAAUCUAAUUCACAUUUCCAGCCUCAGGAAACUUUCCAAAGGUUGAGCAUUAAUGUGCUCUGAUCCCCUAUUUUUCAAACCAUUAUUUUCUACGAUUAUAAUUGUGAAGGAACAGAAUUUACAUACAUACGUGUAUCACGCACACACACACAUUAUAUAUAUAUAUUUAAACACCAUGCCAUUUGAAUGGCACCAUUGGCCCUUCGGGCAACACUCUAAAUUUCAUCAUACUCCUUGUUUAGCCAGCUCAAAACUCAAGAGCUAAACGCGGAUCCCUAAAACCCGACUCCACACCACAACAACAACAACAAAGCCUUUUCCCACUAAGUGGGGUCGGCUAUAUGAAUCCUAGAACGCCAUUGCGCUCGGUUUUGUGUCAUGUCCUCCGUUAGAUCCAAGUACUCAAGUCUUUUCUUAGGGUCUCUUCCAAAGUUUUCCUAGGUCUUCCUCUACCCCUUCGGCCCUGAACCUCUGUCCCGUAGUCACAUUUUCGAACCGGAGUGUCAGUAGGCUUAAAACUAAUCGAAAAACUUAAAAAAGAACAGGGAAACACACACAUACACAGAGAACUAGACCGCCCGAACAGCGGCAUGUCACAGUCCACUUCAGAAUUUACAUAUACGUAACAGUUACACUGCACCAGAGAACUUUCCCAACUGUCUAAAGUAAAAUUUCCCAAGUUAUCUUUGAACAAAAACUGAAUUUUAUAAAGAGAAAGUAAAAAGUAAUGAAAUUGAAAGAAGAAACCCACAUUGAGGCGAUGAGGAAUGAGGCAUCCAGGACGCAAACCGAAGAGCUUAGCAUGAUGAUCUGCGUAUCAGAAAAAUGGGUUUUCAAUAAAUAAAUAAAGACAAGAAGAAAAGAGAACAAGAAAUGGAUGAUACCGCACCGCGAGAGAGUUGGAGGGAUCGAUGGAUGAUGAAGGCAUAGAAAGCAGCUGCGUAGAGAAUGAGAAAUCCCACCUCUCCUUUCAACAACUUCAUAGCUUCUGCUGCUGCUGCUUCUGCUUCCUCUCUCUGUCCUGAAUUUCAAACUUUGAUUUUGUUGUGUGGUUUGAUCUUGGUGGCCAACAACGGCACCAUCUCUCUCGUUUCUGCUCUGCUCUCUCAGCUUUGUUUAAAGGGACCUUCUCCUGCCACCUAAUAGUAAAAGAGAUCUCAUAAUACCAAUAAUUACCAGUCUGCCACUAUUUUCACUGCCAAAAUUCGGAAAUUCUUAUAGGAGGAAAUUGUAGUCUCAAUUAAAAAUUCGUGAUUAUUGAUGUUCUAACUCAUCAAAAUGUGCAUUUAUGAUUAUUUUCGUCAAUUCCUUUUGAACUUUUGUCAAAAUGAGUCAUGUGUCAUGCACGUGAGGCUGAAUCAAAAGGCAAAUAAAUAAAUCCAAAUAAGAAAAAUUAUAACAAUGUUUCCUCAACUUUUAUCCGAUUUGAGAAAUGAUCACUUAACAAUUUUGAGAAAUACUCUAAUUGAGUUAAAGUUGAAGAACUAUUUCUACCAUUUUCUCUUCUAGGGACUUCCAUUUACACUCUCAAUUUUGGGAAAAACAUUUUAAUAUAUCGGAAACACGACUUGAAACCCUAAGUAUCAUAAUAUAAUUAUUUAAUUUUUUGUAAGUAUGUAAUUACUUGUAUUACAACAGAAGUACCGAAUCGUGUCCUGGAUGAAAAAUUCUACAAAGCGAGUGGUUUUUAUUUACAUUAGCAAGCGUCCACACACACUGUAUAAACAUUUUUAUUUUAUUUUAUAUUUUAUCAUGAAGUGGGAUUAGUUUUUAAAAUUCUAAAAAAAAAAAUCAGUUAUGAAAAUUGGAGUAAUUAUGAGAAGUUUCUUGGAAUACUUUUUGUUUUUUACUUUAUUUUUUGUUUAAUUUUUAAAUAGAACAUGUUAUACUAAUUUGGUUGUGAGGGGUCAAAUUCAGAGUAAAUUGUAGCUAUGGUCCCUUAACUUUAACUAAAUUGGAGCAAUGGUCCCUCAACUAAAAAUCCAUUACCUUUGGUCCCUCAACUUAUCAAAACGUGCAGCUAUGGUCCCUCAACUAAAAAUCCAUUACCAUUGGUCCCUGAACUUUAAUUCAAGUGGAGAAAUUGUCCUUUAACUUUAAUCCAAUUGUAGCAAUGGUCCUUACAAUAUAACUCGUUUUGACAAAUUUUUUGACAUAGUUGACGAAAAGAACUAUAAUUAUACACUUUGAUGAGUUGAGGGACCCUAAUUAUAUAAAUGGUCAUUCCAACAUAGCUUAUUUUGACAAAAUUUUGACAAAAUUGAUGAAAAUGACUAUAGCUACACAUUUUGAUAAGUUGAGGGACCCUAAUUAUAUAAAUGGUCAUUCCAACAUAGCUUAUUUUGACAAAAUUUUGACAAAAUUGAUGAAAAUGACUAUAGCUACACAUUUUGAUAAGUUGAGGGACCAAUGGUAAUGAAUUUUUAGUUGAGGGACCAUUGCUCCAAUUUGAUUAAAGUUGAGGGACCAUUUGUACAAUUUACUCUCAAAUUUAUGUUCAUGUAAUUACUAAAUUUGUCCUUUUUUUUUAUUUGAGUCCAGUUUUGGUAAUGGAGUUAAAAUGGUAAUUUUAUAGUAUUUUGAUUGUCAUCGAGGAUUUAUUUUAAAAAAACUAAACAAAAGAAUUUGAAAAUUUUAAAUUUGAUCAAUAAAGACAAAAUAAAUAGGAAUAGACCUAGGGUGGGUGUGCCUAGCAAAUGAACGGGUUCAGUUAAGAGCCCUCGUCUUCCUUCUUCGUUAGUAUAAAAGACGCUCACAGUCGGGGACACACAGAAAGUGAUUGAAGGAGCUGGGGAGAGAGAGAAAGCGCCAGCCUCUCCCUCGGUCCGUACAAAAGCGCGCGGAUUAUAUCUCCAACAACCCUAAAACCCUAAUCCCCCGAAUCCCAUUUCUGAGACUCUGACAAUUUUGAUUGAUCGAUUCGAAAUUCUUUUGAUUUUUGAGAAAUUUUGUGCCCACCAAUCGCGAACAACAAGAAGAUGUCGUCGUCGUCGUCGUCGUCGUCGUCCAGGCGAGUCGUGAAGCGUGUAAAAUACAAGGAUGCAGUAAAAAAUCCUGGCACUCCCGGCGUUUUAACCAUGGUGCCCGACUUUUACUUAUUUCUUCAAGUUUUUCUCUCAUUCGAUCGCAUUGCUUUUCGCGUUUCACUAAUUACUGCUGUUGUUGUUCUGCAAAUAUUGUAUUAUUUUCUACGAUUGCUGAUUGAUGGUUAAGAUUUAUGGGAUUAGGGACAUAGUUCAAAAUUUCUUACAUUUAAGGACAUAGUCGAUGUGGAUAAAGCUUGCAAAUCAUGCACCAACAGUUGGGUUGUAUUAAUGAGUUUUGUCCUUGGUUGUAAGGAUACCUUUGCUGCAAGUUUUGAGCCAAGAUAAAGUUUUUGCCUAAAUAUGCGACGAUCGGAUUUCAUUGGUUUAAUGUUAUUUUUGUGAAUAUGUUGGUCUGUGUAGGUUGAGAACAGGUUUGUGUUCAAGCCAAACGAUCCCACGUCUGCCAGAAUGCUUGAUGUGGAGUUUAGACAUAUUAAAGGUACACCUCGUAAUCGCUGCGGAUUUAUUUCUAUGAAGCAAACACCUUGAUGAUCAUUAUUUUGCUUCUUUUUUUUCAAAGUCUUGGUACUUCCAAACUAAAAGACCCAUAUCUUUGCUAAUCUUGAUAUUCAAUCAUUCAAUUUCUCUGGAUUACGUGCUCGCUAUUGGAGGUGUUUUUUUAAUUCCUUUUUCUUGUUCUCGCUCUUGAACUUUCAGGUCACAAAAACACUAAGGAGGGAUCCAAGCAACCACCUUUGCUUAAUCUCAGCAGCAGUCGUGAGGUUUUCUUUUAGUUGUAAUUUAUGUUACAUCCUACCACAAUUUAGAGCUACUCUGAUGCAGUUUCUCUAUUCUUUAUUGACGGGAUUCAUGCAACUGUGAUGUUCCAGGGUAUAAGUUACAUUUUUGAGUUUCAAAGUUAUCCCGAUCUUCAUGAAUGCCGAGAUUUUGUAGGUAAAUCCCAAUCACAUCCAGAACAUGUAUGAAAUUCUAUGAUGUUGUGGUUCAAAGGCUUAUUUUCACAUUCUUCUUUUGCUCUAUAUUGCUUCUUGUUGUUGUAACUGUUUAGUCUUGUGUCGACUGCCUUUACUGGAAUGGACUGCAUCGUAAGAGAUAGCCAGUAGCCAUUGUUUUUCUUUAGAAACCACUCAAUGACUCAUUCAUCUGCAAAUCUAACAUUCUGCUGAUUAAUUCAACUUCUGUUGUUUAGUUGAAUUUUGAGAGUUUUCCAUGCAAAUACUGCCUGUAGAUGUGGCUGUAAGAGGAGGACUGUUUUGAUGCCUUUACCUUUUGUAGUUAUCUACAAGAUUCUACAUAACAUUCAGUUGCCAACAGUGUUUUUUUAUGCCACAUCUUUCCUUACGAGCUUUGUCCACUGAAACUUAUUUUGUUUUGUUCUUGUUAGAUUAUUUGACUUUUCUGUCUGGGUGUGUUUUAGUUAAUUAUUUACUCUUAGUCUUAGAUUGUGCUAUGUGGUGUCUUUGAAUAGGCAAUGCCCUAUCUAAGGCUACAGAAACUGCAAAAACUGCUUCUGAGAGAGAUGGAGUUACAUUCCCUGAUGAACAACUCAGUGCAGCAGAAAUGGAGCUCCGUAUGAAGUUAUUGCAAGAGGACAGGUAGCUUUGUCUCCUCCCGAUCAGAUAUCAAACACCAGCAUCUCACAUUUUGUAGCGCCAUGGAAUAGUUUUAAAUUAAUUUUAUUUCCUUAUAGAGAUGUUUUAUUUUUAAUAAUUCUUUGGUUGAACUAUAAUAUGGGUUUUUACUUUCAUCUUAAUGCUAUAGAAUCUCAGCAGGACAGAAUUAGGAUAACCCACCCUUUCUACAAGUUCACACAUUUUUAUUUUCUAUUUUGUACCAUAUUAUAUAUUACAGUUUUCUAGUCAUAGACUUCUGCCCAGAAUAAACUACUAAAGAUUGUUAAUGACAAAGUAAAUCUGAUGAUAGCUAUUUAAGAAUCAGGACAAUACACACCACCAACUCGUAUGUUGUUUAUACAAGAUUGCCACUCGUUUUUAUUUUUUAUGUACUUCUUCUAUAAUAAUUCUUACAUUCUCCUAGUCAUAACUUACCCCUAGAAUCAACUUUUAAUGAAAAAUGUUGACAUAAAUUAUAUAAAUCUAAUGAUAGCUAGUGAAGAAUCAUGAAAGCGCUCCAUCAACUCGUAGAUUAUAAGUUCCCACCUGUUUUUCUAGUCAUAAGUUUUCCCCCAAAACCAAUUAAUAACAGUUGAUGUUGAAAUAAUUUAAUGUAGAUUCUGAUUAGUUUGAUUCCUAGCAUUGAUAGGGUACAACUCAUACUCACAUACAGACCAAACCUGGAUGGACUCCACUUCCAAAGUGCUUCAGUCCCUUUUCAGUUUCAGAUUGCUGAAUUCAAGCAUUUGGUUGCUUUCUUGUCUUUUCUGCAAAUGAUUUGGCCCCUUGGUGUGUGUUUUCGACGAACCAUAUCCUGGUACAAGGAGUCCACCAAAAAAAUAAAAAUAAAAAAAGCAACUCCACAUGAACAAAAAUACCCAACUAUCAUGUUGCCUUGUUCUGUCUACAAGUUAUUUUCUUUGGCCUUUGUUUUCUAGGUGGAAAUUUGGGCGGUAAUGAUAGUUAUAAAAUCUUGUAAUUUAUGUUUAUGAUGAGCUGAGGUUUUGAGAAGGUGUGUUGCAAUUUCUUGUUACUAGAUUGUUUGCUUCUGAGCUUUCUGUGUAUAACUACUGUUUUAUGUCACUAAAUUUUACUCUUCACAGUGAAUUGCAGAAACUUCAUAUGCAGUUUGUAAUCAGUGGUGUCUUGACAGAAUCUGAGUUCUGGGCAACUAGGAAGGUGAGAUACCGUAAUGAAGACAGAUUCUUAUUCAUGUUUAUAUAAGUUGUGUUAGUUUUUCUUUUCAACUGCAAGCCUAUACAUAGUGUUGGUUCCCCCCCACCCACAGUACUACACUGACAAUUGAAACAAAUUUAGCAGAUAGUGUAUGGUGGUUACUGUGACAUUUCUGCCUUUCCAAAUUUAUUGCAGAAGUUGCUUGAUGGAGAUAGCCGUACAAAGCCAAAACAACGGGUUGGUUUUAAAAAUUCAAUGAUUUUGGACACCAAACCUACAAGUGACGGUCGGGUAGAACAUUGAACUCUCUCUCUCUGAUCCAUGAUUUGUUUGUUCUUGCCAAUAGUUACAGUUGGCACCUCCUUGAUGACAUUUUAAUAGAACUAAUUUGUGGAUAAUAAAGGGUUCCUUUAGGUAUCCAUAACUUUUUCAUAUCAUCAACUUGUGGUUCUGAAACUAACUACUUUUGUAUUUUUGUUUUGGGAAUUGUCCAGAUGAACAAGGUUACAUUUAAUUUCACUCCAGAGAUUAAAUAUCAGGCAUGGUUCUCCAUUUUACACUUCUUUGAGAUAAUAGUUCUUUCAUUUUCAACAAAUAGAAGUACUCUGAAUGAUAGUUUAGCUAUCCAUAUUGAAAACCUCUCUUUGGCGCUUACACUUAAGUUUUUGUUACAUUGCUUUUCAGAUCUUUGCUCUCAAACCAGCUGUUCACCAGGCAUUUCUUAAACUAGUGCCCAGUAAGGUAGUGAGGAUAUCCAAACAAUUCCUUACAUAACCACACUAUUCCAUGUUAGUCAUCACCCUUAGUUUGUUUGAGGAUGAUAAUCUGAAAUUGAGUAGUUUGUUAUUGGCUUUCUUACUUCGUGCAAAGCAUUUUUUCUAGCUUUUCCUGUUUAUAAUUCCAGAUGACAGAAAAAGACUUCUGGACAAAAUAUUUCAGAGCUGAAUUCCUCCACAGUACCAAGAAUGCUGCUACAAUUGCAGCAGAAGCUGCUGAGGAUGAGGAACUGGCAAUUUUUUUAAAGGAGGAUGAAAUAGUGGCAAGGGAAGCUCGUUGGAAGGUGCUCUUAAAAAAAUUGUUUCCUUUGCCCUCUAAGUCUUGAUUUACCUUGGAUGCUGCUGGUGCAUUUGUUUAUAUUCAUAUUUUUAUGUCUUUUUGUUUUUCUAGAUUCGACGGGUUGAUCCAACUUUGGAUAUGGAAGCUGACCAAGGGGAUGAUUAUACACAUCUUCCUGUAUGUUUUCUAGAACCUUUCUUGAGUCUUUUAUUUUAGUAGCCUCUAUGUUUUCAUAAAGGCAGCCUUCUAAUUUUCUUCAUACCCCCAAAUUUUAUGGUGGUUUGUCAUAUGAUUUGCAGUCAUAGAUGUGGUACAUUGGAGAAACAUUCCUCAGCGGUUCCCGUAUUUCAUAUUGAUAUUCAGAAUACCCACUUAUGCCUUUGAUCCACAAUGAAUUUUUGUACUUGUGAUCCUUAACGUCGUCUCUAGGGAUGCCAUAAAGUUGAUUUCAUUUUUACCGUGUCUGAUCUGGUUGAUACGUCUUAAAAAUCAGGAUCAUGGGAUUUUUCGUGAUGGUAGCAAAGACAUCACUGAACUGCAGAAUGAGCAGUACAGGAGGACUUUAUCGCAAGACCUUAACAGGCAAGGGGCUGUUGUUCUUCAAGGAAGAACUGUCGGUUAGAGUUUCUCCUGAAUCUAUUCGAUUUUCAUUCCUACAAUUAAUAAAUGUUGUGAGCCACUUCUAUCUACUUGCAUUAAGUAUAAAUGAUUUUGGUGUUGUUUGAUUAACUGGCUGAGCUAUAUUUUUCAUCUAUUAUUUAGUAGAUAAUUUUGAACCUGACUGCAGAUGGGGAUUUAGAAGAUCCAGAAAAUGUUGCAGAGGCACUUAUGCGGUCAAGACAGGGUUAGCAUUGUCCUUUGUUUCCCCCCUUGGUUUAUCCAUUGGGAUUUUCUACCCAUGCCGCCCUCCCCUCAAUAUUUCGUCUUUUGUCUGAUGGCAUAUCAGCAUCUGUGCUUAUCUUUCACCGGUUGUUUUUGCAGAGCCUGAUGAGAGUGCUGUGCAGGAGAGACUAGAUAGGAUUACUCGGAUGAAUGAGAUAGAUGACCUUCGAGAACCUCGCGAUCAUCCUGUUGCUCAAUUAUGUAUUAAGGUUCACUUUGACAUCAUUCUUCCAACAGGCCAACGGUUUUAAUGCAGAAGUUACACUCUUUUUGUUUUCUUCUGACGUUGCAGAUCUUUCAUUUAUUCUGAAAACAGGAUCCUCGAGACUACUUUGAUACGCAACAAGCUAAUGCACUUAAAACUUCGGAUGACUCACGAAUUGGAAUUGAACAAAAAAAAUGUAGCAUGACUACUGAGGAAGCAUAUGGCUCAUUGAGGGAGUCUAUAUCUAAAAUUAAGAGCAUUGGAUUGAAAAAUUCCACGGUUGAAUCAGAAAUUGCUCUUACGGUAAUAUAAGUGGCAGGUCUUUUUCUAGAUAUGAUAUGUACAGUUAUAAAAAUGUAUACUUCAACUGCCAGAAAUUUUACUGCCCAUUUAUGCGGUGUAGGUUCUUAAUGGGCUGACUCAGAAUAUUUCAAGUACCAAGUAUCAACUUGGAAAGAAUCCUCGGGAGAGUAUUCUGGACAGUUUGCCAAACAGAACGAAAGAGGAACUGUUGCAUGUGAGUGAAUAACAUUCGUUUAUUUUCUCUAUACUAUUAGCUGCUUUGUAAGUAAAGUAUUAUAGAAAAUGUUAACUGCGGCUGGCUCUGUUCUUUUUGACAUAGAGUUGAUAAAGUUGCAUUAGGUUUUGUUUACUUCACAGUUCUUAUUUGAUUUAUGGGUACGUUCUUAUUCCAGCAUUGGAUGUCCAUUCAAGAAUUACUGCGGCAUUUUUGGUCUUCAUAUCCAAUUACGACAGCUUAUCUUUCUACAAAGGUUAGCUCUGUUUCCUUUAUGCUAUAUGAAAAUCAUUACUCAUGAACAUCACUGUUUGAAUCUCUUCAACAUGGGUUUUUUAUUUAAAUUAUUUUUGUUCUUUGUGGAUUCAUUAAAUUAUUCACGCAGGUAGGCAAACUGAAGGAUGCCAUGUCACAAAUCUAUCGACAGCUAGAGGUAUGAUUCCAGCUAUUUUAUCUUUUUCUCAUUUGUUUAGUUUCCGGGCUAUUUAAACAUAACCCACAUGCAUUUUCUAAGCAUAUGAAACACCUUAUUGUGGUUUAUAAAAAUGGUUGCCAGAAGUUCAAAGCUAUAACCGAUUUUGGUCUCCUUUAGUGUCAUUAUUGAUGUUGAGCUGUUUUAAAUUUUUCAUGUGGAAUGUGGAGUAAUUUUAUAGUAACUGCUGAAACCAUCCUACUAGUGUUGUCUGCCUCAUCUAUUCGAGGCUCCUUCACCUCAAAAGUAGUUAGUUCUCUUGGUGCCUUCUUUGCCUCUUGGCUAACAUGGUAUCAUCCUCUAUUAAAUCCGGUCUCCAUAUAGCUUUAUGACAAUCAGUUGGGGAUCUUCUGUGAAUGUGUCUUAUAUCAAACUGCCUGUCAAUGGAAACCUGGGUGUAUGGUGGAUCUUCAUUGGAAUGGAUAGAUGCAAAGAGAUUUGGAGAAGAGAGAGACAUUGGUUUCUUAUUGGAGGAUUUGAUGCAUAAUUUAAUUUACUGCUUUGACUGCCCAGAGAUUCUUAGCUAGUGGUCCACCUUUGCAGUUCAAUAUCAUCUUAGUUCUGUUUCAUGAAAAAGGGUGUAGGAAAAACAGAAAAAGAAAAAAAAAUUCAUUUUGGUCAUCUUUUGAAACUCUCGUUUUUUGUUUUUCAUAUAUGCAAUAUUGAUUUCAUGUUUUAAAUCCUGCAUUUUAAUCAGGCUUGAUUGUUUUGAAAGAGGGUUUAGGAUCUACUUGGUUCACAUAUCGAUUGAAAUUUUCCAGGAGAUAAAGGAAUCAGACUUCCGGCACCAGGUUUCACUCCUUGUUCGUCCAAUGCAUCAGGUCAGGACCUCGCUUCCAUUUUUAGUUUUAACUUUAAGUGAAUGAAUUAAUUCACUUGAAUAUGAAUGCCAAGAAGCUAUCUUGUUUAUAGGAUUUUUACGAGGUGUUAUCGAUGACCGAGUAAGUUGGAAACUCUCCAAUGCUUUAUAAGAUCAACCUUUUGUAACAUGCUUUGCUGCUUGUUCUGUCGGCCAAGUGCGCUCUUUCUGUUUUGUGUAUUCUUUCAGCGAAAAAGAGUAUUGUCUUAAAGAACCAAUCCACUUGCGCAAAACUAUUUACUUUAGUGUUUAUAUUUGAUUGUUUUGGUUGCGGUUAGUGGCCUUUAUCUAUAGGCUCUUGAUUGGUAGUGGCCUUUAGUGUUUAUAUUUGAUUGUUUAGUGGCCUUUUUCUAUAGGCUCUUGAUUGGUAGUGGCCUUUAGUGUUUAUAUUUGAAUGUUUUGGUUGCGGUUAGUGUUUAUAUAAUGAUUAUUUUGGUGCAGGCUCUUGAUGCGGCCUUUCAACAUUAUGAAUCUGACUUGCAGAAAAGAGCUGCAAGGAGUGCAGAGAUGCCGAAUGGAAAUGCGUAGGAGAAAGUUUUCCCUUGAUUGGUUCACCCGAUGUCCCGCGUUUUAUCUUGUUGCGAUCGUAUACAGCAUCCAAUCAAUUUUGCUAUGAGGUUGUGCUAGAUUGACGAGGUUUUUUUGACGUUGUAGAAUAUACAUUGAUGUUCUUGAGUACUGACCAAUUGUGUCCAAUUGUUCAGUAGAGGAGUCAACGAUUGGGUGGAAGUGUUCUUGUGUGUACUAGCGGCUUUUGCGCAGCAUUAUGUGUUGCUUCUAAUAAUAUACAUUUUUCUCUCCUCCCUUUUUGACUCCCAAGUUUGCGUUUGCAGUAGCCUACUCGGUGGCACUAGUAAGUGCACAAACUAUUUGGGAAGGUUUUUAACCGAGGCUCACUACAUUAAUGUGAAGAUUAAAAUUUAGGAGUGUGCUUGUGUUUCUUUUUUUGUUUUUGUUUCUAUCGUUAAGACAACUUUCAUUACAACAAAAACUAGUACAAGGCCCAAAAAGGACCGGGUAAACAACUAAACAACUACAGGGAAAGUAAAAGGCCCAAGCAAAAUAAGAGCAACAACUCAAGAUACAAUGGGAGGCUUGCACAAGCUUAGGCCCAAAGGCAAUAGAAAACAUACAAUAAAAAACCCUAAUCUCCAGCAGCAAAGACCACAUCGCUGCCGCUGUCACAUCCUAAGAGGAAGCCAGAUUCCGAAUUGAGAAAGUAAACACUAGAUCCAAGUCCCCUUCAUGAACCUCUGCAAAUAUAUACAAACAAAGUAACAUAUGGGAAGAGGUUGAGGCUAAGGGGUAUGUAAAAUAUCCAACACUUGGCCUCAAUGGAGAUUCGGCAUGUUGGUUGGAGAGGGGGAAGUGAAGGAGGGAAGUGGAUCUGAUAUCCAAUUUCUGCCAGCCGAUCCAAGCACAUGGUGGGAUGGGGAUGAAGUAUCGCAACUAGGGAGGAGGAAGGAAAAUAAAAGAGAGAAAAACAGGCAAAAAAAAUGCCGGAUAAGAGGCAAGAAGCCCCAGAUAGUUGAGACUCAGCUUAAGGAAAACUGAGAUUAAACUCAAGGGAGAACCAAGAAUUAAAAAGGAAGGGAGAAAACUGGAAGAAAUGAAGGAAGAGGAGAAGGGAAGCAGAGAGGGGGAGAAGCAGAGGAGAUGAGGGGGAAAGAAAAUAGGAAAAGUGCAAAGGAAGGAGAACGAGAACCUGAGAAAACUCAAAGGAAAAUGAGAAGAUGGAGGAAAAAAAGAAAGGAAGGAAGGAGGAAGGGAGGAUGCCUCCGGCACCCAAGCCAAAGGCUAGGGCUGGCGGUGAAAUUGCUAGGAGUCUUUCACAUAGAGAAGUUUAGAGAGAAAAUGGGAGACUUUUUGUCUACGUAAUUCGUCCAUUCCUAUGUUUCUUUUGUUAUAUUUCUUUGUUUCGUCCUGUGAUAAUGUUUAAGUAGUGCAUCUUUUAAUUCUGAUGUUUACAUUUGAGUUUUGAAUGGGCUAAUUUGGUCUCUUUACUUUUGAGUGAGAAGGCGAGGCUAGAGCCCAACAACUUGCAAGAUGACACUAUUAACACUCAAAAUUGUAAGGUAAACAAUCUUAAUUAAAUAACAUAAGACGGGCGAUGGGCUAAAAUUAAAUAGACUCAAAUAUGUAAGUGGUUCACUCUUUAAAAUUGGGCUACAUCCAUUAUGUUGCUCUCAAUAUAUUGAUUUCAAGACUAAAUAGCACUCAGCUAAUGCAUUCACUCUAUUUUGUCCAAUUCGUUUGACCCUUAUUAUGGAGGUCUCUACUCGCCCCCUUAAGGCCUCUUAAACCGACAUUUAAUGUGCCAACCACUUGUUCUAUCUUUCUGACCACUUUUCACUUAUUCGUCCAGGUUUCUGUCAAUGAAGUGACGUUUUGGCAAUCGAAAGGCACACACCCUUCAAGGGUCAGGUGGCCUGAGCAUCCCACUCUGACUUCGGUUAAUCUGCCUUGCCUUGCUGAGCAAUGUCUCAAUUGCCCUUAUGUCCCAUCCUAGGUCUCUACCAUUGUCUGCAGGUCGCUGAAUAGCCUAAGUAGCACAAUUCAGUUUUUGGAGAUUUGUGCCAUAAAGUUGUGAACACACCCAUGUGAUCUCAGUCUGGUAGUCCUUGUUUCGUCUCGAAUGGUAAGGCUGGCUCUCUCCGAAUUCCUUGGGCCUUGGUUUUUCUGGCCUUUCCUUAGGCUUAUGUCCGUGGGUGGGCCUAAUUGGGCCCAUCGUUAACAAACGCGAAGCCUUGAAACACCUAAAACAUCAGUCCGAAAGAAACCUAAUACAAUAAGGGGGCGUUUGUUUGCCCUCACUACGUGGUACUGGACUAGACUGGACUAACAAUUAGUCCAAUCCAGUGUUUGUUUUGUACUAGGAUUAUCUUUAAUGAGACUAAGAAGGACUCGCACGGACAAACUCCUUCGCUAGGAGUUCUUGGCCAGACCCCCCAAUACCCAUGGGAUUGCUAAGACCUCGUCUACUCCGUCCUCAUCGUGCUCUUAUCUCUCUUGCUCUCUGUUCUCUUGAGCACCGACAGCCACCAUCACACCACAACUCGCCAACUCCAGCGAGACCAUACCACCAGCCCACCACCACUUUCUCCCUCUCUCCUCACCCUAAACCCAGAAUUUCAAACUGAGGAAGAUCCCGCUCUUACCAUUGUCUGUCCAACUCUAGCCGUCCUCUGAUCCACCUUCGAGGAAGAUCUCGCACUCGCCGUCCUCGAUUCAAUACCAUCGAGGAGUUGUGUAGGUUAAUUUAUUUCAUUUCCUGUAUUUUUUUUUUUGUUCAAUUUCAAACACGUGAUGCAACUCUAAAAAGGGCAGCAAAGCCUUGACUUGCAGCUCCAACACCGUCCCCCUUCUCCAGCCCCACCAGCUUGUUAAUCAGUUUUGUGUUAAUGGGUUUGAUAAAAUUAUGUUAAUUUGGAUUAAUUUAUUAAUUUAUGGUCAAUUACUUGGCUUGAUUUGUGAUUUUUGCUUUGUUUUUGCUACUUAGUUUCCUUGUCGUCACUUUUGAAAGAGGCUAUGGUUUGAUUUUGACCAUAAUCCAUCACCAGCGCCUUACCUUUCUAGAAGUGGAUAACCCCAAUUAAAGUCCUUAAAUAAGUUACUCAGACCACAGUAUUUCACUGGUCAAUUGAAGGUCCUUGAAUAAGUUAUUUGAGUAUUGUGCAAUCAUACUUGUUCAGGUUUUUGUCAUGUGGAAACAUCACAAAUCUAUGGUAUCAAUCUGCUUAUUGUGUUAAACUUUUGGUCUUUAUUUGUUUUCCUUGUAUGAAUGAAUUUGAAAAUUCUUUUGAAUGUAGCCAAGAUGGAAUGUUUGAGGUUGUGAUGUUGGUCUCCAUAUGUGGAGGAAAUUGGUGUGUUUUGGCAUUUGGUCUUCAAUGGUCAAGUAUUUUGGGAUCAAUUUUGUAGAGUAACUCAGACCGUGAAGAUUUUUGUUUGAAAAGAAAAAUGAUGAAUUGCAGCACUACUGUUUCACAUUCUUUUUUGUACAAGGAAAGCUAUCUUAGCUAUGAGUUUGGCUAUUGUAGUUGAUAUGGUUCUGAUAGCAUGCCAAGCAUUCUUUGGAUAUGGGACAUGUCACAUACGCCAUCUUGAACUCGUUGCUAUCUUGGUGCAGAAAUAUCUUAUUCGUGCAACAGUUUGGGAUCCUACGUGCACUCGUCCUAUUUUUUUGCACAGGAAGUUCUCAUUUGUACAUGUGGACUCCUGGUGUUACCUACAGUGUGAGUUGGAAUUGAGUUGAUCUAAAAUGGAAUUGAGUUGGAAGCUGUCUCCUCUUGAAGGAUAAAGAGUUGUUUUGCUGCGCUUCUGUUGCAGUUUUUGAAUUGAGUAAAUAUAGCUCGGAUGAUUGAGGCAGUUAGUUAUUUUCCAGAGUUAUUGUAAAAAAUUGUAGAAUGUACAAUUAUGCAGUUUACCUUUUUCUGCUGUGUACUUUGUUAAUGUAGUAUUGGGAUCUUUCAUUUGUUCUAGUUGGAACAUCCAACAGUUUGAUUAAAUUGGUGACCUUUCCCUCUCUCAUUUGUUUUUCCUUUCAUUGGAUUAGCACUAGUGCACAUGGAAUUGACUAACUGACUUGCUCCGUUGUGAGGGAAGACAUUUUAAUUGCUUAGUUUAAUAUACAAAUGGAAUGCAUAAAUUGUCCAUAAUCUCUACCUUUUGCAUAUUGUUACUAGUUUUCUUCAAACUAGUUGGAGCAAGCCAAUUUACGUGCUAGGAAUCCAAAUGUAGCAAUGAUCAAUGCCCAGUUAUCCAUUUGUCAUUGUGCCUCGCAUCAUUGUGGUCUUGGGAUUGAAUGCAAUUUUCACGGUAUGGACUGAAAUUGGCUUAUACAUACAAGAGCAAUUCCAAGUAAUUAUUUCACAAUUGAGUAAAAAAUUGAACUUGUUAGACAUCAAUUUUCGUUCUACUCAAAUACAAGUAUUUACCAACACUUUUAACUUUAAUCUACAACUUUAAACCAAAGGUGAAUGAUUAAGAAAAGCAUCCUGAACCCUGUCGAUUGUUGGGAGAACACUUUGUUAUAUUGAUGUUUGGAAUAAUGCUACUCUUUAAUCAUGUAUUUUCGUUUUUGUAUUUUUAUUGAGUCUCACUCUCAUCCAAUAUUAUUAAUUUUAAUAAUAUCUUUAAUAAAAAAGAAACUAAAAUAGAACAAUAAUGUAGUCCUAGUCUGAGCAAACACCAAAUUGAUUACAGUACUGCUUUCAUUAUCCUGCUUUUUAGUCCGAUACUGCACCAAACGUUUCACUAAGUUAGUCCAGCUUAGUCUAGUCUAAGCCAGUCCAGCUUAGUUCCUAAAGCUAGUUCAGUCAGAGAUAGUCCGGUGCAACAAACGCACCUAAGGGCCACUUCCUAGGUCAGCAAACGUGAAAGGAGAGGUUUUUUUUUUGGUCGGAAAAUAACGCGGGCAGGGCAAAGCAGAUAACCACCAAACCCCUUCUUCCUUCUUCCACUUUCAUUUCCCAGAUUGCUAGGGUUUAAGUAUUUGCACCUCUCUCACCGUCACAGUCUCACAGCAAUGUCAUUCUACCGCCUGCUCCACCGCUCUCUCCGCCGCCCUUCCACCCCAACAACCCUACCCCUAACCCAAUCCCUCUCCUCCCUCCACCUCCACAACCCUAACCAUCACAUUCCUCUCCAUCUCACUACCCCCACGCGCACCUUCGCCUUCUCCUCCGCCGAAGAAGCCGCCGCUGAGCGCCGACGCCGCAAGCGCCGCCUCCGCAUCGAGCCCCCGCUCAACGCCCUCCGUCGGGACUCACGCCCCCCUCCCCCACGGGACCCGAACGCCCCCCGCCUACCUGACACCACCUCCGCCCUCGUCGGUCCCCGCCUCAACCUCCACAACCGCGUCCAGUCGCUCAUCCGCGCCGGAGACUUGGACGCGGCCUCCGAGGUUGCGCGCCGCUCGGUUUUCUCCAACACUCGCCCCACCGUCUUCACCUGCAAUGCCAUUGUGGCUGCAAUGUACCGCGCCAAGAGGUAUAAUGACGCUAUUGCCCUCUUCCACUUCUUCUUCAAUCAAUCAAACAUUGUUCCUAACAUUGUAUCUUAUAAUAAUUUGAUUAAUACUCACUGCGACGAGGGCCGUGUCGAUGUGGGCCUGGAGAUUUAUCGGCAUAUAAUUGCAAAUUGCCCCUACAGUCCCUCGCCCGUGACAUACCGGCAUUUGACUAAAGGGUUGGUCGAUGCUGGGAGGAUAGGUGAGGGUGUGGACUUGUUGAGGGAGAUGUUGAAUAAGGGCCACGGAGCGGAUUCUUUGGUUUAUAAUAAUUUGAUUAAGGGGUUCUUACAUUUGGAGAAUAUGGAGAAGGCUGUUGAGCUUUUUGAUGAGCUUAAAGAGAGAUGCUUGGUUUAUGAUGGGGUCGUGAAUUCAACGUUUAUGGAUUGGUUUUUCAACCAGGGGAAAGAGAAGGAGGCGAUGGAGUCAUACAAGUCCUUGCUUGAUAGGCAGUUUAGGAUGGUCCCGGCAACUUGUAAUGUUCUCUUGGAGGUAUUGCUUAAGCAUGGGAAGAAGAAGGAAGCCUGGGAUUUGUUCGAUCAAAUGUUGGAUAAUCACACCCCGCCAAACUCCCAGGCUGUGAAUUCGGAUACAUUUAACAUUAUGGUUAAUGAGUGUUUUAAGCUUGGAAAGUGCGAUGAGGCAAUUGCCACCUUUAAGAAGGUGGGGACAAAGGUGAAUUCAAAGCCAUUUUCUAUGGACGUUGCGGGGUAUAACAAUAUCAUUGCUAGAUAUUGUGAGAAUGGGAUGUUGCCGGAGGCUGAGACAUUGUUUGCAGAAUUGUCCUCAAAGUCAUUGACCCCGGAUGUCACGACUCAUAGGACGCUGAUUGAUGCAUAUUUGAAGGUAGAGAGGAUAGAUGAUGCUCUUAAGAUAUUUAGCAGGAUGGUGGAGGUUGGUCUGCGAGUGGUUGCUAGUCUUGGUAGUAGGGUGUUCGAUGAAUUGAUUAAGAACGGGAAGGUAGUAGACUGUGCGCAGAUUUUGAAGAAAAUGGGAGAAAAAGAUCCAAAACCAGAUGCCAGUUUUUAUGAAGCUGUGAUCAAGGGGCUUUGCAACGAAGGUGCGCUUGAUACAGGCCGUGAUUUAGUGGAAGAGAUGGUGAGGUAUGGCAUUGGUGUUCCUCCAGCAUUACAGCAGUUUGUAAAUGAGGUUUUUGGAGAAGCUGGGCGUGGUGAAGAGAUUCAGAGAGUAUUAAAUACAAAUAUGCGGGGAUACCAACCACUACCUAGAGAGGCACCACCUCGGCAAUUCCAACCAAGAUCGCCUCAAAUGGCAGGACAGGAGCCUCCGUCAGGACCUUCUCAAAUGGCAGGACAAUAUCGUCCGUCUUCGGCACCGCCCCAAAUGACUAGACAAUAUCAACCGCCAUCUGGACCCUAUCAGCCACCAUCUGGAACGUAUCAGCCGCCUUCUGGACCCUAUCAAAAGACUGGAACUUACCAAUCACCACCAACACCUCUACAGAUGGCUACAAGCCAGCACCCCACAGCUCAAUCCCCUCAAAUGGCUGGACAGUAUUGCUCUUCAUCAGGAGCCUCCCAAACGGCAGUACCACGCCACCCUCCGUCCAGACUCCCUCAUGUGGAAGCUUCGAACCCGCCAUCUGAAGCUUUUCAGAGCUUAGUACCACCUGCUCAAGGGACAGGAUCUCACCAAUCACCAUCAGAACCCCCUCAAAAUACAGAACAGGUAGCAGCUGCUUGAUCCUUAGAUAUCAAGUGAUUGAUAGAGAUGCCGGCAAUUUUGUCUUGAUUGUUAAGUUGGCCAAUGCUACAUUGAACUUACGUUAAGUGUCUCUCCAUGCUGUAAGCUUAAAGCGUUCAAUUGGGUGUAUAAGGGGCUCUCGUGACAGGAUUCUCUUUUAUAUGGUCUAUAGCGAUUAAUAGGAUAAGUUAUUUAUUCUUGUGCUCGGCCAUCUUUAUGGUUGUUAAAGAUUAUAACUUAUAUGAAAAUUACCAUUCAGUUAUCACGUCUUGUGCAUGUUAAAUAUGUGUGUUGAGAUUCACAGCCUAAAGAUGCACGGUAGGUGAAUACAUCCUAGUGAAUGGUUCGGUUUAGUAGUUUGAUUGUUUUUCUUCAAACUGGUUCCUUGUGGUGACUUGCAUUUAUGCACCAUUUGGCACUGCCCCAGCUUUAGUUUUUCAGGGGACUAUGGAUUCAUUUUAAUUUCGGGUCAAUUCAGUACAUGGUGCUGUGACUUUGGCUCGGUUGAAAUCAAUUUUCCCCCCAUUGCUUAUGUAUUUAAUUGUUGUCUAUGCAUUCUAUUGUGUUCUUAUACAGUCUUGUUUCAUUAUUUUUUAUUGAUAGAAGAAAAUUAGUGACUCUGUUAUGGCCCCUCAUUCUACAUCAUUUUCAGUAUUUUGUUUUGAAUCAGUAUGUCUCUGUAUAUUUCAUUUUUGCUCCCAUUGACUUGGCUCCUUUUUAGUCGACUAUGUAUUUGUAUUUGUAUUCAGGCAAGUACUUGGCCUUGGUUUGAGAGAUGAAAAAUCAUAAAAGACCGUCUUAUCUCUUACUUUUCGAGCAGGACUUGUUAAUGAACUUGUAUUGAGUAAUGUUUCAUUUUUCGCUUCUUUCCUUUGUUUAUAUGUGCCUGCUAGUUAACUACAAUAUACUGUAUACGUAUACACGCAUUAAUGCAUACUAUUUGAAAUUCUAGGACCGCUGUAGAAUAAUGUACUGCGGGUUGUGUUUCAUAUGCGUAUAAUUCUAUGAAUGCAAUGCAUCCUCUCGUCUUGAGCAGUUGAGCUAACGGUUAGGGUUGGGGGGGAUCAUUUCAAUUUUCUUAUGAGAGAGCAUUACAGAUACGAAUGAUACUCCCCCUUGCUGCAGUCUAAUGUUGGAACACAAUAUCUAGCUUGGAUUACAGGUAAAACAGGAUUAGGGGUUCCUGCCAAGACUUGAUGGGAGUUUCCGGUAAAUACCCGCUGUCGCUGUGCCAGGAUUAGGGGUUCGCUGCAGUCUAAUGUCGUCGUCAUGUUGCCGGAGCAACGGACAGUCUCCGCCCUGCUGCUGAUUAGUCCACUAUAUUCUUCUCCAAAGCCGCUUCUCCUUCCCCCAUUUUCUCCCAAUAAAGUCGAAGUUAUUAUAUUCUGAAAAAUGUAGGGGGAAUGUCAGUCAUGAUUCGAAGAUGUAUUGCCUUUGUUUGGACCGAGAUUUUGGUUUCCAUUGUUGGUCAGAUUUUGCUUGUACGAGUGUUUUUGUAAAUGUGAACUUAGAAAAGCAGAUACCUGAAUUGUAACGCUCGCUGACACUCUAAUAUAUGUAAAUUCCACAUACGGAUAUAACAAGAAUAAUAAGUCAAAUUACAUGCACAGUCGCUGUAGUUUCACGAGUAUCCCAUUGGUUGUCAUUUGAUUUCACCAAUACAACACAAGCCAAAAUUCGAGGCUUUCUCCAAUGUUCAUCAAAAGUGCAUAUUUAAGUUACACAUUAUAACAGUCACUUAGUACUACGGUUUAGUAAUAUUUCUCUUCAUUUGUAAGUUAGAGGCUUUAUGUUCGAUUUAACUAAAGGUGGAUUUGAACCACAUUAUUACUAGACCAUUAUGAGACUUAGCCCGUCCCCUUCCCUUUUAGGAUAAAUAAUAGGAAACUUUCAUGAAAAGAGCUUGAGCUAAGUUUAUUUUAAUAAAAAAUCAUGUUAUAACUUUAUUUAAUUAAAAAGACUUAAAUUUUAAUGAAACACCCUAAAAUUUUAAUAAAAAUGACAAAAUAACUUAAAUUUUAAUGAAAAAGACAUAAUUUUAAUAUUAAAAAAAAAUCUGACAUAAGGACAUCCUCACACAAAUUGUUUAUGAAACUUAGGACACUAUUUAUGAAACUUACUGCAUUGUUUAUGAAAACUUACGACAUUGUUUAUGAAACUUACUACACUGUUUAUGAAACUUAACAAUACUACAUUCUUCUCUCUCCUCUUCUUGAAUUUUCUUAGCACAUUCUCACCUUCCAAACACAUUUUCUUCUUCUAAUUUUCUUCGAUACUCAUUAAAUUUUGUCUAUAUCUCUUCAAUUUUUUAACUUUCUACACCAAUUACUUAAUUUUCUUCUAUUGUUCGCCCAUCUGCGGCUUCCUCUUCUCCUCCACCAAAUGAAAAUGUUGUGCCCUACAAACACAACACUAAUAUCAAAUUAAAGUAAAUACUUCAGUGCCUGUAAAUUGACAUAAUUAUUCAUUUUUUGUUACAAAUUCACUAACAUGAAAAAGCAUUCGAACCCAACGACUUGACAAUUCAAACUUCACCAUGUCAACCCAGAAUACACAAAGUAACAUCCAUUGAACACCCAUUCAGAAUCAAUCCAGCUAUAUGCUGCAACGCUUUCUCAGCAUCACUACUCGAAUCAUCACUAUCCUUUGAGCUUAUUAUAAUCACACGUCCCUCAUGUCUCUGCAAAAAAAAAAAGCAACAAAAUCAGUCAAAAAAACCCAACCGACAAAACCCUAACGAAACAAAACCGAUAAAGUGCUACACACAACAAUGGCGUCGGCGAUUUUGAUAUUGGCCUUGGUCUCUUCGCGAAUCUUCUGGGUGAUUCAACACCCUUCCUUCCCUAUUACUUUUCUGAUCAGCCGAGAGGGAAUUUUCUUCAACCUCCUCACCAAUCUCAGAACUUCCGGUAGAUUUUCAAUGCUUUCUCCAUUUCUCAACUUCCGACCCGCCGAUCGGUGUUAGGUUUUUAUUUAUUUAUUUUUUUUUCUCUCUUGUCUUUAUCAUUAAAUAAAGGUAGCAGAUGGUUUUUGGUUAAAACUCAAGGUUUUGAAGCCCUUUUAAUUAGUUUUUCUUAAAUAAUAUCGUUUGUUAAAGAAAAAGUUACAUAUUAUAACAAGAAUGGUUAAAUUAUUUGAUUUAAUGGAAUCUAACGACUGUUGUUCUAUUGUGUAACUUAAAUACGCAAUUAAUGUGCAUUGGAGAAAAUUCAAGCCAAAUACAUUUAUAUUUAACUUUUGUAUAAUAUUGAUGAUUUCCUUCCGAAUUUUGAGAACCAAUUCAUCCUCCCAACUCAAUGACGGAGAGAACCAACUCGAUAAUUUCUCAAUAUCCAAAACUACCUGCCUGUACAUUUUUGCAUUUGGGACAAAAUCGACUCGAGUCCUACCAAAAUUCUCCGCUGAAAAAGCCGGAAAUUCUCAAUAUUCCAUCACCGCCGCGGCGAGCUUGAGCAGAGGCUCCAAUGCGGUUGGUGCAAACUUCCGAGCAAAUAGGUAACAUAUGGAUGUCAUCUCCGCAUUGUACUGACACGGCUCUCCAUUGUUCCUUAUCGACUGCAUGAAAUCUUCUGUAAUGUUGUCUCCUCCGUACGUUGCAGGGUGCGGACCUCGCAGUGACCAGUCAACCCACGUCACAGUCCGAUUCGAAUUCAGCGACCCUUGGAGCAUGUUGAUGUAAGUAGGCAGGUAAUGCUCAUCCGGGUAGCAUGCAGGCAAACAAUAGUUGCUGAAGAUCGUGUAAUACUUUGUUUCCGAAACUAUAUAUACAGAUAACGCACGGCUAAGUUCAAACCACUGCGACCCUUUCCUCCACUGAUGCAGUUUAAUAUCGGGAAACAUUUUGCGCCUGUAACGCCCGCGGCCAUAACGCCCAGGAUCAUCGUAUGACUCGACAUAGCUAUGGUUUGAACCAACGAGAUACUCGUAGACCGUAGUGAAAUUAUAGAUCGGGAUGCAGCUCUCCGAGAGAAGAACAAAGCGCUCAUUUGAGAAGUCAAGCAAGGCAUUCGCUAGAAGGCGCCUCUCUGCAUCAAGCAACGUUACUGUCCCCCAUGAAACCGGCUGCAGAGAAGAAAUUUUUUAAAGUUAAGCAUCAGGUAACUCAUUAAGAACGUAGACCAUACUAUCUUCACGAAUGAUAGAUGCACACAAAAUAACAGUAUAUGCUACAUACUCUCGGGCCUUUUUUUUCCAUCUCCGAUUACUCGAUAAUUCAGAACAAUCUCGGGGUACAAGUUUAAGACAAAUCUAAGUGAUCUAACAAUACUGUAUACCGCUACCCAACUGAUACGUGGACAUUACGCCCAUUGAAACUCUCUUAAACAAAGAAGAAGGAAUUACAACACCAUGCUAAAACUUAGUGUUACGAGGACAAACAACUAAAUCUACUGUAAGGAUCACGAAGAUGAAAUAACAAGACAUGGAUUCAGAAAAAACAAGUUUUUUUGCACCAAAGCAAUAAUGAUUCAUAGAACUUCAGUUGAGGCUAUUUGUACCUGACUGGGGAUUUGGCGUAGAUAAAAAGGAGAGGUGGUAGAUACAUUGAGCUUAUAACCCGGAAUUACGUGGACGUAAAUUGAGAAAUACUUGUCAUGGCCCUGAAAGAACCUCUCCCACAAUGGCAGCAAGGGCAAAGGUCCUCUAGUCAAAAACAUGAAAGCCACUUUAGGCACUCUCUCGAAUGGAAACUCUCGCUUUCUCGGCACCAUUGAAGCUCUCCAAAAAAGCUCAUCAUCAGACAGACCGUGUGUCAAAUUCUUCGGCUGAAGAAACGUCUCCAUGCUCAUGCAAUCAACCUUGUCACUAACUGGCACAAUUGUACAAGUCUUCUCCUCGUGCGGCAUAUUGGCAGAGAGGUGAUUGAUAAACGAAUAGUUCUCAGUUUGGGAACCAAAAUACCGGCUCAUAUGCGCCCUCGUUGCUAAUCCUAUAACGACCCCCAUAACAAAAACUAUCAAGAAUGAGAGAGUCUGCAAGAGUUUGAGCAAACCCGGGUUCUUCUCAUAGUCUUCUCUGCCUCUUGCCAUGUCUUUCCAGUUUGCAGUAAAUAAAUUCAAAUCUGAAUUCCAAGUAUAAAUUCUCACUACAAUUUAUGUUAUAUAUGAACACACAAACACUUCAAUUCUGGAGAAUCAGCAAUGAUUUAUUACUGAAACUGUGAACGAAUAGUGCCUCAAACCACAAUUAGAAAAUCAAAGGAAUAUAACAUAACUCAAUGUCCUUUGGGUACCUCUAACUCAAUCGAUGAAUGAUGGAUGAUGAAGAUAUCAUCCAAAAACUAUAAACAUCCCGGGGCAAAUUCUGGGGAGGAAGUAGAUGAAGCAGAGAGAUUUGAUUUGGCGAUGAGAAGAACAUAGAGAGUGGUUCAGAAGGAAGAUGAGAGGGAGUUUGAAAACAAGAACCUACAAAUCCGAGCAUAUACAAAGUGGGGUUGGUGAUGAUUUUGACUGGGAGAGAGAGAGAGAGAGAGAGAGGGGGAGCGUGUACUUUGGGGGCUGACUAUGACUGAAUCCGAGUGCUUUCUUUGUUUGUUUACGGUUGAAAGAAUGAAAUACAGCACCAGCAAAGUGGAAAGUGGAAAGUUUUGGAAUUUGGAUUUAGAUUUACUUUCGGGGGAGGAUUAUCUCCUCUCCUUAUCUCUAUUCUCUCAUAGUUCCUCUCAUAUUUCCUCAUAUUUGAAUAGUUUGGAUUAAGUUAUAUCAACAUCUUAUAUUGAGUUUUUCUAUAAAAAUAAUAAGAUAAAAAAAAUAAUAUGUAAGAGAAGGGAAGAGAAGGGUAUGUGAAUAAGGAAGAGAAUCUUACUCCGUUUUUCCUGACUUGCGCUGCCCACUUUAAACCCCCAAUUUAUUUAUUUUUUAACAACCGAUAUUAUCUACGUUAAAGAUGAGUAUGUAAGAGAAGGGAAGAGAAGGGGAUGUGAAUAAGGAAGAGAAUCUUACUCCGUUUUUCCUGACGUGCGCUGCCCACUUUAAACCCCCAAUUUAUUUAUUUUAUUUUUUAUUUUUUUAACAACCGAUAUUAUCUACAUUAAAGAGGAGGGGUGGACUUAGCCUCACAAUGAGCUAUUGAUAAUGUGGUUCAAAAUCGUCUUUGGCGAGAAUUGAACUUAAGACUACUCACUUACAACUGAAGAGGAAUACCACUAGACCGUAGUACUAACUGGCUUAUUUAUUUUAAGGAAAACUAAUGAAAAUGACUUGAAAACUUUGAGUUUUAAUGAUAAAGACAAAAUAAAGAGUAAAGUGAAUAGUAAUAUGUUUGACUUUUUAGUGUAAAAAUGUGAUUUUUCAUUAAAAUGAAUAGUACCGUGAACUUUUGGUUAAGACUCCUUUUAUUUUAUUCACUUCGUACAAAUUACAAAGAGCAGCUUAAAACAGUCCAAUUAAAACUCAAAUGUGUAUAUCAAAAAACAAAUCUUUAUAUUAAAAAAAAAAAAAAAUCUUGUUGCGUAAAAACGAUAACGAGGCAUAAACAUACAAAGAAACACGUCUCGCCUCUUCAAUAUCAUAUGUCAAUGCAUAUAGCAAACUUCAAGUUAGUCGUAGUACGCUAAUUUAGUAGGGCUUAAUAAAAACUUCUCAAAGAAAAUCGCACGUAACAAAAUUUGGGUAGGAAAAUUAGCAUUACAUAUCACUGUGAAAUUGUGAUUUGACAUUAUUUUAUAUCACUUAAAUCUAGAUUGAGAUAUGGAUGAUAAAAAAAAUCAAAUUGCAUUGUAACUAUAAUUGAAAUUCAAAUUCAAAUGAGUAUCAUGAUUAUUUCACGUACACUUGUCUUUAAUUCAGAUAAUCAUGACAUGCUGCUAAAUGUCACUCAUGAUUUAUGGAAUUAAGUUAAUUUAUAAUUCAAUUUCCUAGACAAUUUUUAGGUGAUGCAAUGAAAGUAAAAAUUUUCUAAUGAUUACGUAAAUAUAUAUUUUGUAAUAGUUACUUAGUCUCAACUUGGCAGAUCUAUUAGCUAGGAGUCGCUGCUGGGUUUGUUUUGGGGAUCGGAAGGAUCUAUGGUUCACACCGGCGCUUGCAUAGCCUCUUUGCUCGGACAGGGUGGCUCUCGCAAGUAUCACCUUACCUGGGAAGGCUCAGGUUCUUCAAAAAUAACCGUGACCGACGGGAUCUGAUUACCUGUGGUGCUGCUGCUGGUGUUGCAGCUGCCAUUCAAUUCGUGUCCCAGUUGUGGGGUCCUUUUUCCACUAGAAGAAGCAGCUUCAUGGUCUCUCUCUCAUGCACGUACACACACACAUAUCUGUUCUGUCGUGGAGGAAAAUUUGUUUCCUUUAGCAAAAACUUCUGGGUGGAGGAUAUUGCGCGCACACACACACAUAUCUGUUCUGUCGUGGAGGAAAAUUUGUUUCCUUUAGCAAAAACUUCUGGUUCUGGGUGGAGGAUAUUGCGCGCGCACACACACACAUAUCUGUUCUGUCGUGGAGGAAAAUUUGUUUCCUUUAACAAAAACUUCCGGGUGGAGGAUAUUUUUUCACAACAGCUGUAGUAGCGGUAUUGGGGAAGGAGGUCUUAUAAUGUUUGAUGUCAAUUCAGCAAAGGUCAGCUAUAGCAGCGGGGAUCUACGGCAGUCAUAAUAGAAUUCUAUGGCUUAACUUUCCUGUAUUCUAUAAUCCUGAAUAAAAAUAUAUAUAAUCAUUUUUACAAAAUGAAACAAAAAUAAAGGACACAAUAUCCUUCCUAAAACAUGACUCUAAUAAUUACAAAAUAUUUACAUUCUUUUUCUACUAAAAUAUAGAUUCACUGCCAAUACUCCCCCUUAAGUUGGAUGUAGCAUAGAUGUUACACAUGCUUAACUUGAUAAGUGAGUCAUCGAACCUCCUACUACACACGACAUGAGUAAGGAUAUCUGUAAGUUGUUCCUCUGAGUUCACGAACGGUAUUGACACAAUCUUCUUUUCUAGCUUUUCUUUGAUAAAAUGUCUAUCAACCUCAACAUGCGUAGUCCUGUCAUGCUCUACUGGAUUCUUAGCUAUUUCUCUAGCAGACUUAUUGUCACAAUACAAUUUCAUUGCCUCCUUCUGUUUAAAACCAAGACCCCAAAGCAACUUUCAUAGCCAAAGGAUCUCACACACACCAUGUGCCAUAUCCUUAUACUUGACUUCAGCCGAGGACCGUGAUACCACAUUCAGCUUCUUGCUCUGCCACGUAACCAAAUUACCUUUAACAAAUGUGAAAUACCUAGACGUAGACCGUCUGCCAAUCACAUCACUUGCCCAAUCAGCACCAGUAAAUCCCUCAAUCCUCAUAUGUCCAUGAUGUUCAUACAAAACCUUUCCCAGAGCAGACUUCAAAUAUGCCAAGAUUCUCAUUAUUGCCACCAUAUGAUCCGCACUUGGUGAGUGCAUAAACUGACUAACCACACUUAUGACAUAGGCAAUAUCCAGACAAGUGUGAGACAAAUCAAUCAGCCUCCCCACUAGCCUUUGAUAUUUACCCUUGUCAACUGGUUCCUGAUCUGGAUAAAUCCCCAAAUAAUGUUUCUCUAUGAUGGGAGUGUUCAUAGGUUUACAUCCCAGCAUGCCUGUUUCCUUUAAUAAAUACAUAACAUAUUUACGUUGAGAGAAAAAAAUACCUCUAGAUGACCGAGCGACUUCCAUUCCAAGGAAAUAUUUCAAAUCUCCCAAAUUCUUCAUCUCAAAUUCAGCGGCAAGACUUUGUUCUAAUUUCAUCAUCUCCUCCGAAUCAUCAACCGUUAUUAUCAUGUCAUCCACAUAAAUAAUUAAGGUCGUCGCCGUACCACUUCUUCAUUUCACAAAUAACGUGUGAUCAAAGUGACUUUGAUAAUACCCAAUCCUCCUCAUAACUUGAGUGAAUCUACCAAACCAUGCAUGAGGUGAUUGCUUAAGCCCAUAAAGUGACUUUCGCAACCUACAUACUUUGGUUUUCCCUCCGGCGUUAUAUCCUGGAGGAAAAUCCAUAUAUACUUCUUCUUCCAGGUGCCCAUGAAGAAAAAUAUUUUUUACAUCAAACUGUUUCAGUGGCUAAUACAAAUUUGCAACUAAAGAAAUAAGAACUCGUACUAUAUUCAUCUUUGCUAUUGGAGAAAAAGUUUCCUGAUAAUCAACACCAUAAGUUUGUGUAUAACCCUUUGCUACUAACCUUGCUUCAUACAUGUCCACUGAUCCGUCUACCUUGUAUUUGAUUGUAAAGACCCAUCUACACCCAACCGGUUUUUUUCCUUUUGGUAGCUCUGUUACCUCCCACGUAUCAUUCUUAUGUAGUGCCAUCAUUUCUUCAUCCAUUGCAGCAGCCCAUGUAGGAUCCUUCAAGGCCUCCUCAACUCGGGUUGGUGCUUGGAUUGCUUCCACAUUAUUUACCUAGGCUUGACGUUCCGGUGCAAGGUUCGAGCAUGACACAUAAUUAGCUAUUGGAUACUUCACUUUUCCUUCAAAAGAAAACAUGUCAGGUGGAACACCAUUGUUAAAUCCCACCCCCAUUUUAUUUAAAAAUGGUUUUUAGUUCUUAAUUGGUGAGCCAAGGGGCCCACCCUUUUAUUUUUGUAUCCCCCGUGACCCUCUCCUUUCCCUCUUUCCCUCUUUCUUCGUCUCAACCCUCCCGUGCAUCUCUCUCUCCCUUUCUCCCUCAAGCUCUCGUCUCUCUCUCUCCCCCUGGAUUCUCGAAGACCUUAGCACCAUCAGGAGGGACUCCCCACGAAGCAGGGACCCCUGCCCUGCGAGGUAAACGGCACGGAGCAAAGCUCCGACGAGUUUUCUUCCUUUUUCAGUAGGGGUAAGUCUCGAAUCUCUCACUCUCGUACCUAGCUAAAUGUUUGGUCGUGAUUUAUAAGCGUGAACCUUCCAUUUUUACGUAGGUUUUACCUUGGAAACGUUUUGGGUGAGCACACCCAUUUUUCCGGCGAACCCGUGCACUCCGAGGGCAUUUCUGGUCACCUCCGACCGAGUUACGGUAUUUGGAAGGUAGAAAUCUCUUCCUCUCUCUUUGUUCUUCAUUUUCGUACCAAGAUCGGAGCUUGAAGCCCCCGUUUUCAGGUGACCGGAGCUGUAGCAGCUCCGGCCUUUUUCUUCCUCGGCACCAGGCCGUCUGGCCUCUCCCAUUUCCUCCUCGGGCCUUAGGCCCGUGUGGUCUUAAACCCAAAUCCCCAGCCCCUUUUUCUUUUAAUUUUGUUAGUUUAGUUUUUAAAAACCCAAUGGGCUCGGGCCCUAGUUUUGUGAGGCCUUGGGCCGGUUUAAUUAAAGGGCUUAAGCCCUGUCUUUUUUUUAUAAGGCCUUAAGGCCUUUAUAUUUUGGUGGUGUGUGUGUGUGUGAUUAGGCAUGCACAUGCAUGCUGUGCAUGUGUGUGUGUGUUUGUUGAAUAUAUGUUUGGGCUUAAGCCCAAACUCCUUUCUUUCACCCUAAUAACCUUUUAACCCAAAACCCUAAACCCAUCCAAAUCCCAAUCCCCUAUUUUAAUUUAAUUCAAACUCAAUAUUUUAGAAAAUCCUUUUAUUUAUUAAUUAUAUUUUUGUACUUAGGGACAAUUAUUUUGAUGUUCUGUCUUCGCUAGUGGCGCAGCUUUUGGCGGUUAAGUACUGUGAGUGGACCCCUUCUAAAAUUACAUGAUUUUAUAGUAAAUGCAUAAUUGAUUAGCAUGCCUACGAAUUUAUGAUUUGAUUUAUGUGGAGCCUGUUGUUUUAAUAUAUUGAUUAUCGUCUCGUGUUUUUGGUGAGGAAUUAAUUGUUGGCUUAUAUUGAGCUAUAUUUUAAUAUAUCGUAUUUUCUAUUAAAACCAUGAACUGGUAGACUAUCUGAUAAAUGGCGAUAGGAUGCUAGAACAUGAUUUUGAACCCCUCUUUAUAGUGUAGACGAUGAUCGGUAACCUACGCUAUGAAGUGGUAUUUACGAGAGGCGUAACAUUUUGUGCGUAUCUAGUAGACAUUAUGCCGCCUGGGGCGAGGAUCUGGUGUUGGCAUUUAGGCCGGGAGAAAUAAUCCCUAGCUACGGGCUGAGGGACAUGAAGAGGCAUUGGGCCGGGUGGUAGUUAUCUCUGGCUACGGGCGCAGAGACUUAGGUGCAGGCAUUGGGCCGGGAGUUAUAUUUAUUCGGUGAUCUUACUAGCAGCACACCGCGUUUACGAGACGAUCUACGAGAUGUUUUACGCGAUGAUUUAUAUGAUGUUUUCCGCGUUAUGGCUUUUGAGAUAUUUUGGCAUGCUAGGAUUUUUAUUAAAUCCAUCACUUAUUAUGCUAGUAGUUUUCAUUAUAUAAACUUUGGGGGUUUAUACAUUGAUAACUGUUUUAUUAUUAUUAAUAUAAACUUGGUCCACUCACCUUUGUUUUGCGCCCCCAUUCAGGACUUAGAAUCAAGGCACCUAAUCCCGACGUCAAGGCACUUCCGCAGCAGCAUCUUCGGAUCCUCUCGAUGUAGGACCCACUCAUCUAUUCAUUAAAUUUUAUCUUAAUUCUUUUUAGUGAUUAGGUUUAGUUGUAUGCUCUGAACACGUUCCUAAAUUGUUAGUUCAUCGUAUUUCAAAUUUCUAACCCUUAUUUAUUUCUUAUUCUUAGCUUUUGUAUCAAUUAAUGGCUUUCGUCACCCUUGGGUGUCGGCCAGCACGUAUCGGUCCUGGUAUUCGGGGAAUAUCAGGGUCGGGGCGUGUCACCAUGAUUUUGCCUUGGCGGCAACUUAUACGUACUCAUAAUAUUAUCUGGAUUAGUUACAUGAGCAUGAGUUGAACUUACCUCAGGAAUAUUUAGAGAAGACACAUUGGGUGCACUAUUGAGCUCGAAAGCGAGGGGGGUACGAGUUCGGUAGCUGCUGGUUCGGCAGGCUCCUAUCAAUACUCUGCAUCAUACUCGGCAGACUGUUGCCGAGAAGCAUCAACUGUUUCGGUGCCUGACAACUGAACAUUAGUCCAAUUUUCGACAGGUUGUUGCCGAGAGCUCUCACUGUCUUCAUUCUUGGCACUGUCUUGCCGAUAGCCUUCACAAUUUUCGUUUUCAACACACGCUCCUCCUGAGUUACAUAUUACAUUGUCUGGUAUCUCCAACCACCCAAGAUCACCACUAGUAUUCUCCCCCUGGUGAUCAGAAGGUGAUGGAAUCGAAGCAUAAAAAAUACUCGGAUUCUGAGAAAGUAACAUCCAUGGUCACAUACAUGUGUCGAGUUUCAGGGUGGUAGGACUUAUACCAUUUCUAUUGGGGAGCAAACCCAAGAAAGACACAUCGGAGAGCACAUGGAUCUAAUUUACUACGAUGAAUCUUGUGAAUAUGAACAUAGGCUACACAUCCAAACACACUAGGAGUGAGAGUAUUAGUGGACACUACGGGAACAAAUUCUGUCAACACUUGGAGAGGUGUACGAAAGUCCACAACUCGGGAUGGCAUACGGUUAAUCACAUACACGACAUAAGUAACGGCUUUAGGCCAAAACCGUUAAGGCACAGAUGCACCAAUAAGCAAGGCACGAGCAGUUUCCAAGAUAUGACGAUUUUUCCUCUCAACAACCACAUUUUGUUGCGGAAUAUGUGGGCAGGUAGUUUGAUGAAUAAUUCCACGAUCUUGUAGAAACCGGGAUAACUCAGAAUUUAUGUACUCUUCACCAUUGUCAAAAUGCAAAAUUUUAAUAUUAGAGGAAUACUGAGUUUUAAUCAUCUGUUGAAACAGACGAAACACAUCACAAACCUCACUUUUAUUUUUCAACACAUACAACCACGUCAUAUGAGUGCAAUCAUCCACGAAAGUAACAAACCACCUAAUUCCUGUAGUAGUACUAACAGGGGAAGGCCCCCACACAUCAGAGUGUACUAGCGCAAACGGAGAAGAUCUUCUAUUCAUACUUGGACGGAAUGAAGCACAAUGACUUUUGGCUAAAAUACAUACUUCACAUUUUAAUUCUGAGUCUUCAAUACCACUGAACAUAUCAGGUAAUAUAUGUUUUAGAUAACCAAACGAUGCAUGCCCCAAACGACGAUGCAAUAACAAUACCUUCUGUAGAUUACUAUUACGUGACACAUGAACCAAAUUAGCUCCUCCAGGAACCACGUCAUCCACAUAAUAUAGCCACUCUCUCUUAGUGCCAUGCCCAAUGAUCUCUUUUGUUUGAAUAUCCUGAAGCAAGCAAAAUGAAGGAUAUAUUAAUACAACACAAUCCAAUUGUUCAGUGACUUGAGGUACAUACAAUAAGUGAUGGGACAAUGACGAAACCAAUAAACAAUUAUGUAAGGGAAGAGAAGGUGUAAGAGACACUGUUCCCGCUCCAACAACAGCAGUAAUACCAUUGGCAGUUGCCACACACUUUCUAUAAGGAUAUUUCAUGGACUAAAACAAAGUUCUAUCAUACGUCAUAUGAUCCGUUGCACCGAAAAUCCAACCGGUAUUGGUCAUUGUAAUAACAACUGUCACAUCCCGGCCCGGGGCGGACCACUUCCCGGGCCCGCUCCACCACCGUAGCACGAUAUUGUCCGCUUUGGGCUUACCAUUCCCUCACGGUUUUGUUUUUGGGAACUCACGAGCAACUUCUCAGUGGGUCACCCAUCCUGGGAGUACUCUGGCCUCCUUCUCGCUUAACUUUGGAGUUCCUACGGAACCCGAAGCCAGUGAGCUCCCAAAAGGGCUCGUGCUAGGUAGGGAUGAGAAUAUACAUUUAAGGAUCACUCCCUUGGGCGAUGUGGGAUGUUACAAUCCACCCCUCUAGGGGCCCGACGUCUUCGUCGGCACACUUCUGGCCAGGGAUUGGCUUUGAUACCAUUUGUCACAUUCCGGCCCGGGGCGGACCACUUCUCGGGCCCACUCCACCACCGUAGCACGAUAUUGUCCGCUUUGGGCUUACCAUUUCCUCACAGUUUUGUUUUUGGGAACUCACGAGCAACUUCUCAAUGGGUCACCCAUCCUGGGAGUACUCUGGCCUCCUUCUAGCUUAACUUUGGAGUUCCUACGGAACCUGAAGCCAGUGAGCUCCCAAAAGGCCUCGUGCUAGGUAGGGAUGAGAAUAUACAUUUAAGGAUCACUCCCUUGGGCGACGUGGGAUGUUACAACAACUGCACAACACAACAAACUACGCAAUUGCAGCUAACAGUUGCAGGCAACCACGCGACACAAUACUGCAAUUCCAGCAGUAAACAAGCUGAUCCACAAACAUAAAUAAUUAGCACAAAUUGUAGCCCACAAUAUAAUAUAACAAUUCACGUGCCGCAAGAGCAGCAAAUCCCCUUUUUCUUUUUCUUGCUUUGGUCAACAUAUUUACAUGUUGCAAUCAUGCAUCAAAAAGCAUCAAAUCCCUUUUUAUUUUUUUUAUCACUAGCAGCAGCCAAAUCACAGUAUAAAAAACCAAAGGCAAUUAUCUAAGGAUAAUUACCCACUGCACGCACAACAAUCACAAUUGUUUACCGGGAACAGUGCAACUACAGACUGCAACACAACAUUACACGGCAGCAGCAGAAAUCUACGUCUGUAGCUCUUACACGGGCAUAUAUCAUAGCAAUUGCGAAUCGUGAUUACAAGUAGCAGUAAUUGUAGAACAAACACACCAAUACACGACACAAUUGCAAAAGCACAGCACCACACACGGUAGUAGCAAGAUCACACUGUUGCAAUAUACACGGCUUGACCGAUUUUUGCAACAAGCAACCCAGGAACAAGUUGACCGAACACAGCAGCGGAAGAAAAAAAAUUGUUUUACAAUUUAUAGGGUUACGACAAACUUGGCUUUGAUUCCAAAUAGAAUUUUACGGCUUAACUUUUAUGUAUUCCAUUAUCCUGAAUAAAAGUACAUACAAUCCUUGUUACAAAAGGAAAAAAAAAUAAAGGACACAAUAUCCUUCCUAAAACAUGACUCUAAUAAUUACAAAAUAUUUACAUUCAUUUUCUCCUAAAAUAUAGACUCACACCUAUAGUCAUAUCCCUUGGUGAUGCGGGAGGCAGGCCUUGAAGAAAACAAUUUGAAGACCCAAGGGCCAAAGCAUAGUAAUGGUCUUCAAAUUGUUUUCUUCAAGGCUUGCCUUUAGUUGUUUCUCCUUCUAAAAUCAAGCGUUUGGUUUGGUCGUGCGAGGAAUCCACGAUUAUGUUGAGCAAGCUCCGUUGACCCUGGUUAAGCAAAUCCCAGGCGACCAUCCCUCUUCUCUUCGAGACCCUUAAUUCUUUCUUGCAUCACUUGGAGUUAUCGGAGGCAUUUUUGGAGGAUUUGGACAUUCAGGAGGAAGAGAUGGAGAUGUAUCUUGAUCUCCACUCCCUUUAUUAAUACCUCACCAUACACCAUAGUUGAAAUAAUGUCCCUUGCUAAACCUUCUACUUUGUUUCGGGAGCUUGGCUUCAGGCACUGGCUGGUAGUGUCUUAAUUAGACAAAAGGGUAUGUCUCUCUCUGUUAACAAUUCAAUAUGCAUGUGUCUAGUGUUUAGUGAUUAUUACACCGAUGAAAAAGAAGGUGAAAUGCCAACUUACUGACAGUUUAGAGUUGUAACAUUGUUCUGAAUCAUAACAUUUUGCAGAGGCCUCCAACCGUUAGAAUCUUGAUGCGGCACGAUUUCAUGCCGGAGCACAUAUUGGUACUUUUUCCGCAGUUGAAACCUCACGAGUAAAAGUAGCAAUGCGCGUAAGCAAACUGACAUUUUCAUUAAUUCUUGUUUUGUAAUGCAAUGCUAUCUUGGAUUAUACAAAGCCUUGUUUGAUCAAAUUUUAACCUUUAAGAGUCAAUAGUAUUUUCAUUUAUGGAUUACUGUGAUACACAAGUUUUAUUAGUUUCUAUUGGCUAUUAGGAUGUAAGAUCUCUUGAGUUUCAGAAGCUGGGAAAUGCAGGUAGCUCCAGCUGCCCGGCCACCUUUGUCUCCACCUCCAUCAUUAAUUCGACUGGAGAAAUCCAAUAACAAAAACAAAACUGCAAAUUGAAAAUAGAAACGAAACCACAACAUGCAAAUCAUUUAAAACAAAAAAACAGAUCGAACGAGAAAGAGAGCGUUUUAUACUGCUAGGGGAAAUUGAGCUCCAGAUGCGCAAUGCUGAGAAGCUCGCUCACGCUUAUCGGAUCCGAUCGAUUCAAUUCAUUCGAAAAAUGGUGGAAUUCGAAUUGAAUUGAAAACGAAAACAGAGAUUGGGUUGAGAGAUGAGAAAGGAAGAGAGAGAGAUUUGAUUGGUUCGAUUGCAAAAAUGGAAUAUUGUUUUCGUGCAAAGAAGAGAUCGAGAUAGGGCAGAGAGAUCGGGAAAGGAAGAGAGCGUUUAAACAGGCAAAUGUUUGCCGUCAGGGGCAAAAUUGGGAACUCAUUAUUGCUUAGGUCGGUCUUAUUGGGCUAGUUUGAAGUUGGAUUUGUUUUAGCCAUUAAAUAAAGUUAUUAAAGUGCUUUUGGUUAAAAUUCAAUGUUUUGAAGCUCUUUUCAUUAGUUUCUUUUAAUAAUUUUGUUAUAAGGGAGCUGAGACAGAAAUCUAGUGGCUGACUUGGGAGAAGAGAGUUGCUUGUAGACAGUUGUUGAACUUUUAUUGUAGAAUACAAGUUUUAAAUGUUGUUGUUUCCCCUUCUUGUAAAGUACUAUGUAAAUUACUUUGUUUAGUGAAAUGCUUUCAUUCAACACUUUCACCUGUUAUUAGUUAAGUUUAAGUUAUCCUUUAAUUCACACCUUAAAAAAAUUUAAGAUGUGAUGUGGAGAUUCAAUACAUAGCAUCGAAAGCUCAGGUUGUAGAUAUCUUUACCAAAUGCUUAUAUAAUCCUAGUUUUUACAAAACUUCAACAAUCUUAGGCGAGGAAUCCCCAAUUGAGAGAAUCUAAGUUAAGCCAUACAGAUCGAGUGCAUGUGUCAUGGUCUUAUGGUACAUUACUUGAAUUCUAGUUCCUGCAGAAGAAAAUGCUUUGACUAUGUGUUUUAUUCUUCUCAUUCAGAGGUAUAUAUAAUCAUAUACAAUCCUACUGUAAACAGAAAAGAAUAAUUACAAGAUAAUUACAAGACAAUAUCUCCUAAACUAGGAAACCCAAGAUUAAAGGGAUCUCGAAAUAAUAGGAAAUCUAUACAAAGGCGACACCUGCUGUGUCCUUAAAUUGAUUUGGCUCAACCCUGGAAGAUUUAAUUAAUGGUUCUUCAGGUGUGUUUUUACAUUUGGGGUUGACUGCUGCAAUAUUUUUAGGGAUGUGCUAUCCACACACCUCAUUUUACUUCUCACACACCCUUUGAUAAUUUAUGUCUGUUGAUCUUCUUCAAUUCAUCCGAUCCGACGGUUGAAAAUUGAAAAAGUGUGUGAAAAGUAAAAUAGGAUGUAUGGAAAUCACACCCCUACUUUUAUGUUUGUUUUGUUGAAGAAGGAACAGCGGUUGCUAGGAAGCAGCGCUGGGGAAGAGGGAUUUAAUAAAGAAUAUCGGAACAAACAAUGACUUUAUUUUGUCAUUACGAACAACUAGAAUUAUUGUACCGUUUUUGUUUCUUGUGUUUUCGGAAAUAAAAAAAAGAAAAGAAAAGGGACAGAUGUCAAUUUGAGAAGCAGCAAUUGAUCCUCCUAGACUAGAGACUCCCGUGAAGAGAGCGGCUUCCUUGCUUCUUCCCACUUGCCUCCAUUCAUGUCAGCCAAAUCUACCAAACUAGUCUCCUCCCCACAAAUCCCAUUUUAUUUUUCUUAUUAUACCCAAAAAAAUAUCCCAAUAUUUAAAUAACCUCUUACCAUUCAAUCAUAUUCCACCACGUAAUCUACCACAAAAUUGUAGUUUGGAGAGGCACGCGAUGCAUAUGAACAAGUUAAUUUGAGCAUCUCCAGUUGAUUGCUAUCCAAUUGUUGACCUCAAAUCUUCUGUACUCGUGACCCUUCUAUGCCAUGUUUAUUUGAGUGAUAAAUGUCUAUCUACUAACUUCGACUAACAACAACAACAACAACAACAAAGCCUUUUCCCACUAAGUGGGGUCGGCUAUAUGAAUCCUAGAACUUCAUUGCGCUCGAUUUUGUGUCAUGUCCUCCGUUAGAUCCAAGUACUCAAGUCUUUUCUUAGGGUCUCUUCCAAAGUUUUCCUAGGUCUUCCUCUACCCCUUCGGCCCUGAACCUCUGUCCCGUAGUCACAUUUCGAACCGGAGCGUCAGUAGGCCUUCUUUGCACAUGUCCAAACCACCGGAACCGAUUUUCUCUCAUAUUUCCUUCAAUUUUGGCUACUCCUACUUUACCUCGGAUAUCCUCAUUCCCAAUCUUAUCAUUUCUCGUGUGCCCAUACAUCCCACGAAGCAUCCUCAACUCCGCUACACCCAUUUUGUGUACGUGUUGAUGCUUCACCGCCCAACAUUCUGUGCCAUACAACAUCGCUGGCCUUAUUGCCGUCCUAUAAAAUAAAAUUUUCCCUUGAGCUUCAGUGGCCUACGACGGUCACACAACACGCCAGAUGAAGUCUUACACUUCAUCCAUCCAGCUUGUAUUCUAUGGUUGAGAUCUCCAUCUAAUUCUCCGUUCUCUUGCAAGAUAGAUCCUAGGUAGCGAAAACGGUCACUUUUUGUGAUCUUCGCUAGAUUGCUUCGGUUAUUAGUGAGGAUAAGUAUAUAAAUGGAUAGAGAUAGGAAAGCAAACACAAGAUGUACGUGGUUCACCCAGAUUGGUUACGUCCACGGAAUAGAGGAGUUCUCAUUAAUUGUGAAGGGUUUACACAAGUACAUAGGUUCAAGCUCUCCUUUAGUGAGUACAAGUGAAUGAUUUAGUACAAAUGACAUUAGGAAAUAUUGUGGAGAAUGAUCUCGUAACCACGAAACUUUCUAAGUACCGGAGUGUAUCGUCUUGACUUUCCUUAUCUGUCUCAUAGGUAGAUGUGGCAUCUUCUCUGGAAGUACUCUUCCUCCAUCCAGGGGUGGUAUCUGUAACUGGUGAGAGAUGCACAAGGUAAUGUAUCAAUGUCACUUGAAGCUUACUUGUAGUUUCAGGCUUAGUCAAGCGCGAUACAAACCAUGUGUAGUAGGAGUCCCCCAAGUCGCCGAGCUAGGGAUCUGCUGAAAGAGGUGAUAGACAAGGUAAGCAAUCAGAGCUCCGGCUGAUUGUUCACAUUCUCCCUAUCUUGCAGGCAGCAUGAAGGAUAAAGAGAAGAAAAUGAGAAAGAUGAUAUGGGAUACUUUUGCUUUUGAAGAAGUAACUUUCCACAGGCUUAUUUCUUGAACUGGGCUGGAGGGUUUUCUGGUUUCAUCCUCCAGAGUAUAGGCCGACUGAAGAAUUUGAGGGUCAAAACAAGUCCAUCAUCAAAUCUAGAGUACGUUCGACCCUGAUGAUAUGUGAUACUUUUGACAGAGCUUUGACAGAGAGGAGGUAUCCGGCACGUGUGCUGUUACGCUGUCUCCACAUGCUUCCUUGUAUCCUUCUCACUUGCCCUAUCUGUUCCUCAGGCAGAUGCGGUAUCUUCCUGGAAGCAUAAGAUGUUGAAGAUGAGUACUCGAGAGCAAUGCCAGGUAAGUAAUCAGGUAAGGGGUUCCAGGCAGUCAGUUCCUAAAGGCUGGAAGCUUGAUUCCAAGUGCUGACUUAUUGCUCUCUUUCUCCUUCUUGCAGGUAAGAACAAGGCCAAGGAGGAAAGACGGGGAAAAAACAUGAUAUGGGAUACUCUUGCUUUUAAACCCGAUGAUGAUAUGAGAUAUUCUUGCUCUAGUAUAGCUUGUUUACAGAGGUAUUAUCGGGGGGAAAGAAAGCUGAAUAUUUCGAAAGGCUUCGUUGGGAGUGCUCUCUCAGAUAAGAGGAAGGGUUGAGCAUUUUUGCAGGUCUGCCUGUCCGUUGGGGAUGGAGGUCGACAUAUAUAGGAGUCUCCCUAACAUCAAGUAAUAAUGCUAUUCCUUUACCCUACUUGGUCAUAGCACGGUAGUGGGAGCUGCCAGCUUCACAAGUUUUAACUCUGUCAGAGCACUUUGAAAAAGUGGUCUGUCGUAUCUGGAAAGCUGAUGUUGCGUGUGAAGAUUACAGACAAGCUUUAUCCAAGGAGAUCCAGCUCUUGAAGUUGGGAAAGUGGUGCCUCUUCGGUUUUCGAACAAGCAAUCCUGUCGAGGAUCCGGCUCUCGAGAUUCGGAGAACGAUGCCUCUUCGAUUUUUGAGAAAGCAAUCCUGCUGGGGGUCUGGCUCUCGAGAUUCGGAGAGCGAUGUCUUCGAUUUUUUAGAAAGUAAUCAUGUUGGGAGUCUGGCUCUCGAGAUUCGGAAGGCGGUGCCUCUUCGAUUUUGGAGCAAGCAAUCUUGUUGGGAGUGUUUUCUCGAAUGUGAGUAAAGGUUGGGCAUGUUUGCUAGUCUACCUUGCCACGAAGCACAGAGGUUGACACACAGGGACUUUCCAAUUAUCCAGCAGUGGUACUGUUCCUUUACCAUCUCUUCGAUUUUUGAGAAAGUAAUCAUGUUAGGAGUCUGGCUCUCGAGAUUCGGAGGGCGGUGCCUCUUCGAUUUUGGAGCAAGCAAUCUUGUUGGGAGUGUUUUCUCGAAUGUGAGUAAAGGUUGGGCAUGUUUGCUAGUCUACCUUGCCACGAAGCACAGAGGUUGACACACCGGGACUUUCCAAUUAUCCAGCAGUGCUACUGUUCCUUUACCCUUGUGGGUAAUAAUAUGGUAGCUAGACCUUCAAAAAUUAUGUGUCUAAACUUUGUUAGUGUUGUUUUUUUGCUAUUCUUUUACCCUUCUUGGUCAGAGCGAUGUAGUGGGAGCUGCAAGCUUCACGUGUCUCAAUUUUGUCAGAGAACUUUGGCAAAGUUAUAUGUGGUACCCAUGAGCUACUGUUGCGUGUGGGAAGUGGGUGAUUGAACAGUAUAAUUCAUGUGCUUUCUACUUCGCCAGAAAUCUUCGACAAAAUGCCCAUAAUUUCCGCAAAGCUGAGUGUGCGUGUGACAGGUGCUGACAAGGCUGGAAAAGUAGGUGCCUCUUUGAUUUCUGAGAUCGGCCCUCAUGGUCUCUGAGCAGCCCAGCUUUUGAGAAAGCAAGCCUCUUCGAUUUCUGAGAUCGGCCUUCGUGGUCUUUGAGCAGCCCAGCUUUUGAGAAAGCAAACGCCUCUUCGAUUUCUGAGAUCGACCCUCGUGGUCUCUGAGCAGCCCAGCUUUUGAGAAAGCAAACGCCUCUUCGAUUUCUGAGCAGGCGCCUCUUCGAUUUUUGAAGCUUCGUCGAGUGCAGAUUUUUAUAGGGGCUGACAUUAAGUUCCAAAACACACUUGAAUAUCCACCAGUAGAAAGCUCCAUUCUUGCACUUCUAAAGAUCUUGAUUUGUCCGACCUCUUCUCUCUUCAACACCUUUGAAAAUGUCUGGCCCCUCCGACCGUCGUUUUGACUUGAACCUUGUUGAAGAGGCAGCCCCGCCUUCUCCAGACAACAUAUGGCGCCCAUCCUUCGUCUCCCCUACUGGUCCUCUUACCGUUGGGGAUUCCGUGAUGAAGAAUGAUAUGACCGCUGCGGUAGUGGCUAGGAACCUUCUCACUCCCAAAGAUAACAGACUACUUUCCAAACGGUCUGAUGAGUUGGCUAUUAAGGAUUCUCUGGCUCUUAGUGUUCAGUGUGCAGGUUCAGUGUCUAAUAUGGCCCAACGCCUAUUUGCUCGAACCCGCCAAGUUGAAUCAUUGGCGGCUGAAGUGAUGAGUCUCAAACAGGAGAUUAGAGGGCUCAAGCAUGAGAAUAAACAGUUGCACCGGCUCGCACAUGACUAUGCUACAAAUAUGAAGAGGAAGCUUGACCAGAUGAAGGAAUCUGAUGGUCAGGUUUUACUUGAUCAUCAGAGAUUUGUGGGUUUGUUCCAAAUGCAUUUAUUGCCUUCGUCUUCUGGGGCUGUACCGCGUAAUGAAGCUCCAAAUGAUCAACCUUUGAUGCCUCCUCCUUCUAGGGUUCUGUCCAGUACUGAGGCUCCGAAUGAUCCCCCUCCGGUGCCUUCUCUUUCUGGGGCUCUACCGACUGCUGAGACUUCUCCUAAGCAACCUUUGUGAAGGCUCCCUCUUGUUUGUUUAUUUUGACUCAAGUAUAUGUACAUAUUUGUAAUUUAUCGGGGAUAUCAAUAAAUAAGCUUUCCUUCAUUUCAACGUAUUGUGUUAAAUACAUCAAAGCCUUCUUCGCUAAGUUCUUUGAAUUUUCUUUUGUUGAAGCUUGUAUGUUGAAGCUUUGUGAGUGGAGCAUGUAGGUUGAGGUAGUGUUCCCUUAAUUUCCCAAGUGAGGAAAACUUCUCGGUUGGAGACUUGGAAAAUCCAAGUCACUGAGUGGGAUCGGCUAUAUGAAUCUUAGAACGCCAUUGUGUUCUGUCCUGUGUCAUGUCCUCCGUUAGAUUCAAGUACUCGAAGUCUUUUCUUAGGGUCUCUUCCAAAGUUUUCCUAGGUCUUCCUCUACCCCUUCGGCCCUGAACCUCUGUCUCAUAGUCGCAUCUUCUAAUCGGAGCGUCAGAGCGUCAGUAGGCCUUCUUUGCACAUGUCCAAACCACCGUAACCGAUUUUCUCUCAUCUUUCCUUCAAUUUCGGCUACUCCUACUUUACCCCGGAUAUCCUCAUUCCUAAUCUUAUCAUUUCUCGUGUGCCCACACAUCCAACGAAGCAUCCUCAUCUCCGCUACACCCAUUUUGUGUACGUGUUGAUGCUUCACCGCCCAACAUUCUGUGCCAUACAGCAUCGCCGGCCUUAUUGCCGUCCUAUAAAAUUUUCCCUUGAGCUUCAGUGGCAAACGGCGAUCACACAACACGCCGGAUGCACUCUUCCACUUCAUCCAUCCAGCUUGUAUUCUAUGGUUGAGAUCUCCAUCUAAUUCUCCGUUCUUUUGCAAGAUAGAUCCUAGGUAACGAAAACGGUCGCUCUUUGGUAUUUCUUGAUCUCCGAUCCUCACCCCUAACUCGUUUUUGGCCUCCAUUUGCACUGAACUUGCACUCCAUAUAUUCUGUCUUUGAUCGGCUUAGGCGAAACCUUUAGAUUCCAACGCUUCUCUCCAAAGGUUAAGCUUUGCAUUUACCCCUUCCUGAGUUUCAUCUAUUAACACUAUAUCGUCUGCGAAAAGCAUACACCAAGGAAUAUCAUCUUGAAUAUGGUCCUGUUAACUCAUCCAUUACCAACGCAAAAAGGUAAGGACUUAAGGAUGAGCCUUGAUGUAAUCCUACAGUUAUGGGAAAGCUUUCGGUUUGUCCUUCAUGAGUUCUUACGGCAGUCUUUGCUCCUUUAUACAUAUCAUGUAUAGCUUGGAUAUAUGCUACUCGUACUCCCUUUCUUCUCUAAAAAUCCUCCAAAGAAUGUCUCUUGGGACCCUAUCAUACGCUUUUUCCAAAUCUAUAAAGACCAUGUGUAAAUCCUUUUUCCCAUCUCUAUAUCUUUCCAUCAAUCUUCGUAAGAGAUAGAUUGCCUCCAUGGUUGAGCGCCCUGGCAUGAACCCGAAUUGGUUGUCCAAAACCCGUGUCUCUUGCCUCAAUCUAUGCUCAAUGACUCUCUCCCAGAGCUUCAUUGUAUGACUCAUUAGCUUAAUACCCUUAUAGUUCAUGCAAUUUUGUACAUCGUCCUUAUUCUUGUAGAUAGGCACCAAAGUGCUCGUUUCGCCACUCAUUUGGCAUCUUCUUCGUUUUCAAAAUCCUAUUGAAAAGGUCAGUGAGCCAUGUUAUACCUGUCUCUCCCAAAACUUUCCACACUUCGAUUGGUAUAUCGUCUGGACCUACUGCUUUUCUAUGCUUCAUCUUCUUCAAAGCUACAACCACUUCUUCCUUCCGGAUUCUACGAUAAAAAGAGUAGUUUCUACACUCUUCUGAGUUACUUAACUCCCCUAAAGAAGCACUCCUUUCAUGUCCUUCAUUGAAAAGAUUAUGAAAAUAACCUUUCCAUCUGUCUUUAACCGCGUUAAUGACAAAAUAAAAGGUAAAAUAAAUAGUAUCAGGUUUGACUUUUUAGUGUAAAAAUAUGAUUUUUUGUUAAAGUAAACAAUACCGCGAGAUUUUUGUUAAAACUUUCUUGAUAAUAUCUAAAAUAAAAUAAAAAAACCAAAAAUCAAGAAAAACAAAAAUAAAAUCUAGCAGCCUCCAGCAUCCCCAACCUCGACGGCAGCCCCUACUUAACCACAGCAGACAACCACCAUACCCCGCCUUCGUGCUUCCUCUGCUCCACAUCGCUGAACAAGGCGUUUCUCUCUCUCUCCUCUCAAAAUUGCUACACCAUAUUUAGGAUUUAGAUCGAUAUCGUUCGAACACAUCACCACCAAAUCAAACAAAAUCGUUGAUGUUAACUCAGUUUCCUUCCCUUCAGUUUCAAAAUCGUACAUUUCUAAGUACGGAUCGGCCGCCGAGGUUGAUCUCGCAGCAGUGUCCGAAGCCAUGGCCUCCGAUUUUGGCACCUUAAUGCAUACAGAUUACAUAGCGAGGGGAGUGAGAGAGGGUAGGGCUUUGAUUUUGGGGUGGCUUUGAGAUUGUAGGGUUCUGUGCUCAUAAACUCACCGAUGAAAAUUUCAAUGUGGAAUCUAUGGAUAUGCUCGCCGACAGUGACCAGAGAAAAUGACUUAAAGCAACUAAAUGAUCAUGAAUUACAGAAAAAAAUUCGCAGUAAUUGAAAAAUCGAAAACAGAAACGCUUGCAAUAAGAGAUCUAAGCAAGCAAAGGCCGCCGGUGCUGAAUGUAACCACCCCAAACAAAUACAAACAAAUAUCCGUAGUUACGAGCAACAGAAACAUUAAUAAACUAAUAAAUUUUCAGCUUUUUAGACUAAAUGGUCUUUUAGUUUUAUUUGAAAUUUAAAAUUAAUAGAAAUAAUUUUUAAAUUUGUUCACUAUCAAUUAUUUUAGUUUUUUUGUAAAAAAUUAUAUUAAAUAAAAAUAAAAUGAUAAAAAUAUCAUCAAUUUAAUAAAUCAUGGGUCAAAUGAUUUGAUAAAAAUUGAGACUGUUUUUAUCAUUUUAGCUUUAUUUAAUAGAAAUUUUUUAUGGAAUGAUUAAAAUGAUUGAUUGUUCACAAACUUAAGAACUAUUUCUAUUAAUUUCAAAUUUCAAAGAUUAAAAUAAAAAAUUACAAAUCUUGAUCAUUUUAACUUUUUAAUUUUUUAAUUUUUUUUCUGAUUAUGACCAAAUCUAAUCACAAACAUAUAACAUGGACGGCUAAUAUCAAUUAAUCUAGGAUCCUCACAAAAAGGAUUUUUAUCCGCCUCACUCGACUCCCACCUCCCACACCGAACAAUGCGGAUCCAGUUUUUCUCCUACUUUCCGAAUUCAAUCCUAUGACGACAAACACAACACGCUAAUACAAACAGUAUGCGCAGUACGCGUCUCCCUCCCCCUAUCUUACGCACCCCCCCUUUCCCUCCCCCUCCUGCGCACCUCACUGUUCCAUUGCCGCCAUCUUCUCCGCCACGAAAAACACUUUUUUGAAAAUCCGACAAAAUCUGCCCGACUUUUUUUUUUUCAAAUAAGUCGGCCGCAAUAAGAUCUAAGCAAGCAUAGGCCGCAAGUGGCUCAAUGUAACCACCCCAAACAAAUACAAACAAAUGCCCUUAAUUACCAGCAACAGAAAUAUUAAUAAACUAAUAAAUUUUCGACUUUUUUGUCAAAAUGAUUAUUGAGAUUUGCAUGAUUAUCAAUUUAAUUUCUGAAAUUUUAAAUGAUACUUAAAUUUGUCCACCAUCAAUGAUUUUACUUCUUUCAUGAAAAAUUAUAUUAAAUAAGGAUUAAAAUGAAAAAAAUUCUCAAUUUAAUAAAUUUUUUCGAUAAAAAUUAAGAGUAUUUUUGUCAUUUUAAGUAUAUUUAAUGAAGAUUUUUCUUGAAAUAACUAAAAUAAUUGAUUAUAAACAAACUCAAAAAUUACUUCUAUUAAUUCCAAAUCUCAAUAACCAAAAUAAAAAAUUAUGUAAAUCUCAAUGUCUUUUUCGUCUUAUUUUUUUUAUAAUUGUGACUAAGCUAAUCACAAACAUAUAACCUGGACGGCUAAUAUCACUUGAUCUAUAGGGUCCUCACAAAAGGAUUUUCAUCCGCCUCACUCGACUCCCGCCUCCCACACCGAACAAAGCGGAUCCAGUUUUUCUCCUACUUUCCGAAUCCAACCCUAUGACGACAAACACAACACGCUAAUACAAACAGUAUGCGCAGUACGAGUCUCCCUCCCCCUAUCUUACGCACCCCGCCUCCCUCCCCCUCCUGCGCACCUCACUGUUCCAUCGCCGCCAUCUUCUCCGCCACCAAAAACACCCUUUUGAAAAUCUGACAAAAUCUGCCCGACUUUUUUUUUUUUUUUUUUCAAAUAAGUUGAUGGAUUCAGAUAAACCCAGCAGCUUAUUUCUGGGUAAGGCGAUGAAGCCCACGUGGGCAUCUCUGCUCCUCGUACUCACCAUCAUGGUUGUCUUUUCCUACCAAAACUUCUCGACCAUGUCGAGGCUUCCGACAUGGGUCGGGUCGAUUUGGCCAACUGGAGUAUCCGAAACCCGAUUGGAUGCCCCAGCCAGGAGCUGUGCCGGGUUCUUCGAGGAUGUGCCGAAGCGGAAGGUGGUGAUGUCCAUCGAAGCUUUCGGUGGCGUUGGCGACGGAACCACCUCCAACACGGAAGCGUUUAGGAGGGCGAUACUCCACAUGCAGGCUUUCGGUAAUACCGGUGGGUCCCAGUUGAAUGUCCCCAAGGGGAGAUGGCUGACGGGGAGUUUUAACCUCACCAGUAAUUUCACGCUGUUCCUUGAACACGGCGCUGUAAUUCUCGGCUCCCAGGUAAAGUAGUCUCUGUUUUUGCUUUGUUUGUUUAACUAUUUUACCCUGCGGAAUAUUUGCGGGUUAAGUCAGUUGGUCAGGACAAUAUAUUUACGAGCUUGAAUUUACUUUCUCGUAGAUUCAAACAGUAGUUAGAAUAUUGUCUUUGUAAAAGGAAAAAGAGAGUUGAUUUGUGUGGUUUGUUAGCUAAUACCAUUAUUCAUUUCCAUAUGGUGACGACGAAUACAACAACGGUUGAUUUGUGUCAUUUUUAUUCAUAGGAUCCGAAGCAAUGGCCUGUAAUCGAGCCAUUGCCUUCUUAUGGAAGAGGGAGAGAGAGGUUAGGAGGAAGACAUAUAAGCCUUGUUCAUGGGGAUGGUCUCACAAAUGUUGUCAUUACAGGUACCCAAAAAACCCUUCAUUUAUUUUCUUAUUCAUUUGAGUUGGCUAAGUAGUUGUACCAGUCUUUAAUUUAAAAGUUGAUAGAUUAUUAAUUUUGGUGGACAUAAAAGCUUUUCAUCAAUGAAUUAGUUUCUUGAUAGCAACUAACUCACGUUUUAUGCAUUGUUUUUUGGAUCCUGACGUUUGUAUGCAAUGAAUUAGUUUAGUUCAAUUUGCUUGUUGCCAUCGCUAUUAGGUUUCCAAAAUAUCUGUCCUCUCUUUGAUACAUAAUUUUUUUUUGUAAUUAUAUUUUCCGGAGGGUGCUUUGCGAACGAUUAUUUGGGUCCUUUCAGGUCAUAACGGGACAGUUGACGGUCAGGGAAAAAUGUGGUGGGAACUAUGGUGGAACAGAACAUUGGAGCACACCAGAGGUCACCUCCUUGAAAUAAAAAACUCUCGCAACAUUCUCAUCUCGAACCUCACCUUCCGCAAUUCUCCUUUUUGGACCAUCCAUCCUGUUUACUGCAGGUCUACAUCCCCUGCCUUUUUCCUCUUCGUUCUUGUUGUUUUCUACUUGUUAUCUAUUCAAGUUAAUGCUAAUCUGUAGUUUAUUGGAAAUCCAAAACGAUAAGAUUCUGUUAUAAGCUCAUUAUUCUGUGUUUGUUUCAGUAACGUUGUUAUCAAGGACAUGACAAUCUUGGCCCCCCUUAACGCUCCUAAUACUGAUGGUAUAGACCCAGGUAUGCUCCUCUUCUUUCAAUUUAACGUAACAUCUAUGCAUCUAAAUUAUUUAUUAAAUUUAACAUUGAGAAAAGUAUGAUACCUUUUUUGUGCAUAUAACUUGUGCAUGAUGUUUAUAAAUCAAGUAUGUUCUUGUUCUUCCAAUUUAGCACAAUGUGCUUCAUCUAAAGUCUAAACUAAUCAAGGAAGUUGGCUUUGCCACCAUAUAACAGGAAAGAUAAACAAAAGCCCAAUUCAAGAAGUUAGCGUAAAGAAGCAUGUCUCUUUAGAAAAUUUAACUUGUAUUUUGUGUUUCAGAUUCCAGUACUAAUGUGUGCAUUGAAGACUGUUACAUUGAGAGUGGCGACGAUCUUGUAGCAGUGAAAAGUGGGUGGGAUCACUAUGGAAUCAAAAUGGCUCGUCCAAGCUCAAACAUAAUAAUUAGAAGAGUUAAUGGCACCACUCCAACUUGCUCUGGAGUGGGAAUAGGUAGUGAGAUGUCUGGUGGGAUUUCAAAUAUCACCAUUGAGGAUUUGCAUGUUUGGGAUUCCGCAGCUGGGGUGCGGAUCAAAUCUGAUAAGGGUAGAGGGGGUUACAUAGCGAAUGUUAGUAUAAGUAACUUAAUGAUGGAAAGGGUGAAGAUACCCAUAAGGUUUAGUAGAGGGGCGAAUGAUCACCCAGAUAAAGGAUGGGAUCCCAAAGCUGUUCCCCAUGUAAAGGGGAUUUUUAUUAGUAACGUGCUGAGUUUGAAUUCAACGAAAGCCCCAGAAUUGAAGGGCAUUGAGGGGGCAUCAUUUGAAAGGAUAUGCUUUAAGAAUGUCACAGUACUUGGUCUGGCUCCAUCUGCAGUGUGGCGUUGUGAAUUUGUUUCGGGUUUUGCAGAUGGGGUAUUUCCAGUGCCAUGUCCUCAGAUGGAGGAUAUGGGCUCGUUUGACUCUUGUAUGCAGCGGUGAGUUUCUUUGGAUGGCUUUUGGGUACAUUUUUGCAGAUACGAGGUCUAAGGUUGGAGGGUGAAGUCGAAUUACUCUGCAGAAGUUGGGUCUGCUUUUGGAAAUGAAUGCGAACCACAUUGUGGAGAUGGGCAUAAUCAGCUAAGGCAUUUUGUAAGUGAGAUGUCUAGCUGCUGGUGUUCAAUUUGCACAUAGAGAUGCAGUUUUCUUGUGUAUUGGAUCCGUUGUGCACAAGCUAGAUGGGUGAUCUCCAGAAUUUACUGACCGGGUUACGUUGCUGUGGUCUUUAAUUAUUAACCUCGAGAAUGAUUAUUUAUUUAUAACUGCUGCCUGCGGUGGUGCUACACAUACAUACUGAGAAAGUAGAGAUGAUAGCGAUGGUGAAAACCGGAGAUAAAGCUGAACUGAACUUGUAUAGAAAUGAUACAAGGGUAAUGUAACAUUGUUUUGUGAACUUCAUAUUCAUUUCGUUUAUGAUUGAUUUAUGUUAAGAAUUUACAAGAUAUGUGAGUGUAUAUCCAGUUCAUAUAUCGUUCAAGAUACCAGGUAUUCAACCAAAGGUGAAGGAUCGUCGAAGCUUUUCAAUUAACAAGAAAUUCAGCUAGAUAGACACAUACAGUAUUGCAUAUUUGCUGCGUACAUUGUAUGAUUUAAGGUUGAGAGAAAAUUAAUAGAUUUGGACGGAUGGUUGGUUGUCCAUUUUGUCUGGGUGAUCACCAUUUCCAGAAAACAUUGGAACCACACUUGUACUUGUCCUUGCCUUCGCACUCCAAACUCAGAUCAUCAGAGAGAAAUGGUACUUUCUGCAUCCAUACGUACAUAACACCAAGUUUAAUUAAUUAACCAAAUUCACUAAACAUUGGUGAAACCAAAGAAUUUCAGCUCGCUAAUAAAUCGAUUAAAUAAAAUAAAACUAAUUUUAAUUAAACUGUAUUUAAGCAAGUUAAUUGUGAGUUUGAAGAUACCUUUUGCUUGGCGAGAUCUUGGCAGCCAGUGAAGUUCUCUGGGAACUUGCAUGUUCCAAAUUGAACAGUAAAUGCUCUUGCAAAGUUUGCACCGCUCGUUGCCAGCCUCUUCUUGUCAUUCAGUUCCUACAUAUAUAGAUACAACAAUAUAAUUCAUAUACAUAAUCAAAUAUAUUAUACAUACAUAUAUAUACACACACAUGUAUCUAUAUAUGUCUGUUUACAGAGGUUGUAGUUAGUUGUAGUUACCUUGUUGGCUUUGCUUUUUUCGAGGUAAUCAUCAAUGACACCGGCAUUGGCAGCGGAGUUGGACGAAACAGCGGUGAAAGCAACGGCCGCCAGGGAAAGCAGCGCAGCCCUUCUUCCAGCAGCUGCUUGACUAUUUUGUGUGCUAGGCUGUUGGGCCCUGAUUGCAACUACUUUGGUCUGAGCAGCUGAUUCAACUGAAGGCAUGCAAGUCGUCUUUGCUUUUGCAAGUUCAGAUAUUCCGGCACCGGAGACGGCAUAGUUGCAUGCCAACACACUAGAGUUCAUCGCUGCCAUUUGUUCCUCUCCUAGUUUCCUCUAUAGUUUUUGAGGAGAAGAAUGUAAUCUGGAUGUAUGAUAAGGAGUGAUUGUGGUGAGAUCGUGGCGGAUAAGGUGAGAUUGCGUUGCUCACAUCCUAUUGGCAAGCUUUGCACUUUCAUGCUUCUGCUACUAGUUUGGGUCAUUAUUUGGACUUGGUUUGUGUGGUGGCUUUGUGUUCUGGACCCACUUUAAUUCUACAUUUUUUGUGUGUGCGAAGGUAACAACAUUAUAUACAUUAUUAUUGAGAGAUAUACGUUGAACUGUAUAAUGUGUUUCACAUAAUAAUUUCGUAUUAAACUUGACGUCUACAAGAUUCGAAACUUAAAACCUAUCCCUUAAAAUAUGAUUGGAAAUUAGAAAAUCACAUCUUAUUCUUGGUGUUUGUACGCCUCUCCUACUAACAAUACAGUGAGCAAGAAAGGAACUAAACAUGUUUUUGGUGACGGAGACAUAACCCUAACACAAUAUUCACAAAUUUGGAAUACUAGGUAAUUACUUUGUCAUAAAGAAAUUCACUAUAACUCUAAUGUGAAACUCCCUAAUGUCGGAGACAUUUAGGGGGGGUGUAUUCAAUUGGGAUUUUAAGGGAUUUUAAUUCUUUUAAUGAAUCUAGGGGUAUUCAAUUAGGAUUUUAAGUGAUUCUCUUAAAUUCUAGGUGUAUUCAAUUAGAAUUUUAAAAUAGUUUAUUAAAAUCCUUAGAAAUCCAAGUGUAUUCAAUUAAGAUUUUAAAGAAGUUUAUAACAUUCCAGGUGUAUUGAAUUAGAAAUUGAUUUUAAAGAAUUGAGAAAGUUGAGGAAUUAGAGGGAAUUGGAGAGAUUUCGUAGUGUAUUUUAAGUAUCCACAAAUCUCACCUCUUCCCAUGAGAUUUUGAGGGAAUUGAAUCAAAAUUUUAUAUGGAAUCUCUACAAAUCAAUUAAACUCCAUAAAAAUUCAUGGAUUUAUAAAUCCAUUAAAAUCUUUCACAUUCUCAAUUGAAUACACUCCCCUUAGUGUCGUUAUGGACCUUAAAAAUUACACAAAACUAACGUGGCUUGCAAGCCCUAAAUCUAAAACCUAACUAUUUUCUUUAGAAAUGUGGUGUGAAUGCAGGCGUGCCAAUACGCGGCCGAACAGACAAGCAUAUACUUUGUUCUAGAUAUUCCUCUCGACCAGAUCACUUUACCCCUAUGGAAACCUUUCUCAGACAGUUACCCCACGGUCGAGCCAUCGACCUGAAUAAUGAAGAUACCUCUUUCAUGGAUCAAGUCUGGGACAACGUGUGCUGAAGAUGCGUGCGUUGAUAAAGAACCCCCGGAAAAGUUUACGAUUCAAGGAGCGGGCAAGACUGUCCAGACUACAGGAUCAUAGGAAAAAUAUCAAAGAUACUCACCAAUUUCAAAAACCCGGCCAUCCAGGCAUCACCAAGAAUGGCUGGCCAAGGUCCAAGCAUGCUGACCUGAGAAAUUGCUCCAAAAGCACGCCGUGGGAACCCAUAGAGAACCCAAGGUCUACUCCAACAACCGCACAACACUUUCAACCAUUCUAUUUCAACUAUAUAUCCUUUAGAGCUUUCGUCAAAGAUCACCACACACAAAUGAGUCCUAAAACAUGCCUUAUCACACGUUAAAAUGCGGUCUAGUGCUUAAUAUAUAGGCAGGCAGUGUCAAGUAGGCGAUAUUCUUUUACAUGAGAGACAAAACGACUUUACAUUUUUUUUUUUUGAGAAGUAUGUCUCUAAUGUAAAUGAAUUUCGCCCACCUAUAUAGUAUGACUAAAAUGUCCAAAAAUCUAUAUCGUGUUGUAAAUAUUAUGUGGAUGGUCCACAUGAAUAGUUUGUUACUAUUUAUGCACAUUAUUUUCACUAUUCAUUUGUGGAAAAUUUGUAAAGUGAAUAGUGCUUUCUUUUGUUUAUAUAAAGGAAGAAGAUGAGAUGAAGUGAGGAGGGUUCACGGGAGAGAAAAGGAAAAGGAAGAAAGGAAGAGAGAGAGAGAGGAAAGAAGAGGAAGAGAGGAAGAAGAGGAAGAUGAGGGGGAGAUAAUAAAGAGAGUUAUCUUUGUACUCCUAUUAUUUCAAAUUAUAAUGAAAGCACCACUGCUGCCCCGAGGACGUACUCCAGUCACACUGACUGUAGAGGAACCUCGUAAAUUUUGUGUCUUGUUUCAUUUAUUCCACUGCACCCACAGUCGAUUUUACAACACGUUAUCAGCACGAGAAGCUCUCAUGUCAGUGGAAAGCACAACGCCACAAAUCCUGUUCACCUCCUUCAGCUGGAAUCUCACAGAUAAGAAACAAUUUUCAUUUCAUCUUCAAAUCUCAGUACAAUUGAUUUUCUUGAAGCAACUAUAUAUAUUGUUGUAUGACUGUAUAUCAUCCUUUGCAGAAGCAAAAGAGUACAUACUCAAAAUUCAUAAAGAAUUUGACAGCCAUGUAAACAGCCUCUGAACUCCAACUUGCGGACCUCGGAUUAAAAUACUUUCUUCUUGAAAGUUGUUCGUCCACUCAGUAUUUACAACAUAUCAAAAUUUCAGAAACUUUAACGGUGCGAUCGUUGCAGAUGUCUGAAAUACUAAACCAGUUUCCAAUUUCCGCAGAAAACUGGACAGCCACCUUAUGAGUACCAUAACUCUAUUUCUGUAGCUCAAAUCGAAAUUGUUUCUUCACGAAAGUUGUUUGGUAUCCUCUUAUCCAUAUCAUACUAAAAUUUGAACUAAAUCUAACGGUUUGAUCUUCUCAUAAGUUGCAGACACUCUUGACUCCAAAACUUAUGGGAACCGUUUCGACUUUUUCGAAACUCACCGGAGGAGGAACACCAAUUGGAACUUAUUGUUACUUUUACUUCCUGAGUAACUAAAAGGACUUGUUGUUGUGAAAUGAAAACAUUAAUAAAAUAAGGACAAUUUGGAUGGGUGCCCCGACAGAAGUGAAGGGAAGAAAUAAUAAAAAAUAAUAAUAAAGUUGAUAGUGGGAAGUUGAUGAGACCAUCACCAUUAUGAAAAGAAAUAAUAAAAUUAUAUAUUUAUUUAUGUGCAUGGUGUUGGUUUAAAGCCCAUGUCACAAGUUCUAUUUAUUUAAAGCAAUUUAUUUAUAGUGGGUAGAAUUAUUACCCUUUGCUUUAAAGCUUUGAUAUUUAUGUGAAUGGUGCUGAAUCAAAGCCCUUGUCACAAGCUUUAUUUACUUUAAAGCAAUUUAUUUACCAUGGACGGUUUUACCGCCUAUUGCUUUAAGUUUUGAUGGUGCUGAAUUAAAGCCCCUGUCACAAACUUUAUUUACUUAAAUGCAAUUUAUUCAUUAUGGCUGGAAUUACCGUCUAUUGCUUUAAUUUAUUUAUUGUACUUAUCUUUUGUUACAAUGAGUAUAUAUAGGAUCUAAAGUUCAUUGAUCAGAUCAGAACCUGCAGUUUCUUGAUCCUCAUCAUAUAAAAAUGAUUGGACCUGAAGUUCCAUCACGCAAAAAGAUUAGGUAUGAAGUCCCUUGAUCCUGAAGAUCAAGACAUGAAGUUCCUAGAUGAGUACCGUAAGUUUGAAGUGCCGCAGUGCCUUAACUUAAUUGUAAUAAAAGCCAUAAGAGUCUCAGUUUACAGACUAUUAAAUAAGGACAAGAAGUUCCUUAUGUCCAUACUCAAAAUGGUUUAGCAGAAGCCUUUAUUAAGCGAAUGAAAUUGAUUUCCCGCGCUCUGCUCAUGAAAACGAAAUUGCCAAUUUUCUACAUGGGAACAUGUAAACUUUACAUGAUGCAUUAUUAAUUCGGUUGAGACAUGUUACCAACCAUCAAUACUUCUUAGUACAACUCAUGUUUGGGAACCAGCCAAGCAUUAUACAUCUACGAGUUUUUGGUUGUGUUAUCUAUGUGCCUAUUACACUGCCACAACGUACUGAAAUGAGACAUCAUCGCUGAUUGGGUAUUGAUGUUGAACACUAUCUAUCAUUCAAUAUUUGGAACCCUUGACUGGGGAUAUGUCUACCGCAUGAUUUACGGACUAUGAUUUUGAUAAGACAGUUUUCCCGCCAUUAGGGGGAGAAAAUAACAUCGUUCCAGAAGAACGAUGAGAAAAUAUCAUUCCAGAAGAAUGAUGAGAAACGACCGUUCCAGAAGAACGAAGAUAAUUUGUCUUAUUCACGAAACAAACAAUGAGAAAAUGAAAUUGAAAUAAUUGAAUGAUGCAACGAAAGUGAUGAAAUCACAUAUACUUACUGCAAAUGUGCCUAUAAGAAUUGAUGUCCCUGUUGGACAAAAUAAUGAGACAGUAAAUGAUUUAUCUAUUGCACGCCUGAAGCGUGGCAGAUUUUUAGACUCAAAAGGUUCAGUUAUUCGAAAGAAGAAUAAUAUGGCACUACUGAACUAUUGCAUUCCCGAAGCAUAACUGUUGCAUGCCAGAAGCAUGACAGUCGCCGCAUGGAUACACGUCCCAGAUAGGACAAUCCACAGACAUAGGAAUAUUGAUGUCUCAUGCAUGUAGCAUGAUAGACGUAUAGGUUCCAAAGACUCAACUCCCGGAAGUGGAGAUUAAAAUCCAAGCUCUAUAAUGCUCAAGAGGAGGUUAUGAUCCACAUUCUCUAAAUUAUGACUAUCCUGGAAGAGAUAGCGUCAUGCCCUUGAAGAGGCAAUGGAUAUCCAAAGAAAUGAAAAGUUUUUAUGCAUGCGCGUGCACAUGAGAAUAUGGGAUCACGGAUUGAUGAUAACCAAUGGUAAUUUUGGUUUUUACAAGUAGCUACUAAAUUCAUCAAUGAGCUGUGUUAAUAUUGAGUCACGUUCUUUUGUUCGUCGACAAAAGAAAAAUUAUUGGCCAAAAUGGAGAAAGGCAAUUCCAUUACAAUUUUGUAAGAACGUGGGCAAAUGAACUAUAUAUAUUUGAAUACAAUACAAAUAGCCAAAAGAUGUUGAACCAAGGAGGUUACAUAUCGGCAUUUGUAAUACACUCACAUAAUAUGACACAAGGUUACUAAUUGAAACCUGAAAUUAUACUCUUGUAAACGAGUUCAUAUAAAUGGAGAAUAAUAUACGAAGGGUUGUGAGUCGCCCACAUCAUAUCUCCAUAAGUAAAUCCCUCAAGUAUACAUGGGAGCAAAUUGCUCUGUAUAAAUUCCAAAGGAAAAUGUGUCAUGAAGUGUAGAAAAUCCUUGAAGGAUUCAAAUUGCUUGAAGUAAGCCCCUGAAGGGUAAAGCAUAAAAUAUAUACUCAAUAUCAAUGGAUGAUAUAAAUUGCCUUAGUGAGUACUAUCAUUAUGAUAUUGUUGCAACAUACUAAAAUCUCUUGCAAGAGUCAAUGACAUUAAAUUAGAACUCUUGAAGAGUUGAUGAUAUUAAAUUGGGACUCCUGAAGAGUCUAGAAAAAUUAUAAAGUGUUGAAGGAAUUAUUGUCUCGAGCUGCAGAUUGAACAAUCUACCAACACGAACCUUAUCCAUGAUAUUUAUGAUAUUAAAAGAACCAUAUGGAUUGAAGAUUAUGAGUUGAAUGCUCAUAUGAUGAAGACACUAAGAAUAAUCAUUUAUCUUCGUGAGGGUAAAGAUAAAUUAAUACUUGGUCCAGAAGUACCACAUCUUAGUGAAGUAUAUGCUUUAUUGUAUUUGGCACAAUACAUUGAAUGAAAUAAAGCUUAUUUAUUAAUAUCUCCAAGAAAUUACAGAUAUGUACAUACACAUGAGUUAAAACAAACAAACAGGAUGGAGCCUUCACAAAGGUUGCUCAUGUGAAGCCUCAGUACUCGGAAGUACCCCAGAAGGGGGAGGCACUGGAGAUUGAUCAUGUGGCACCCCAGUACUUAGCAAAACACCAGAAGGGGAAGGCAUCAGUUGCUUUCGGAAUCUAGCAACGAACCUCUGGUGAUCACUUUGAAUCCGACUUUCAGAUUCCUGCAGUUGGUCGAGCUUUCUUUUCAUGCUCGUAGAGUAACUAUUUGCAAGCACGUGUAACACCCUAUUCUCGUGCUUGAGCCCUCUGAUCUCUUGUUUAAGACUUGCCAUCUCCGCCAUCAAUGAUUUAACUUCGUGAGUUUGAGCAAGUAGGCGUUGGCCCAUAUUGGAAACAGAGCCAGCACACUGAACACUGAGAGCCAAGGAGUCUUGAACGGCCGACUCUUCAGACCGUUCUGAAAGGAUCUUGUUAUCCCUUGGAGUGAGAAGAUUCCUAGCUACCACAGUAGCGGUUAUGUUAUUCUUCAUCACAGAGUCCCCAACCGUAAGAGGACCAUUAGAAGAUAAGAAGGACGGGCGCCAUAUAUUAUCAUGACGCUGCUCGUCUGUAUCACUCCUAAGACUCAAAUCUAAGCAAAUGUUAGAUGGGCAAGUCAUUUUUCAGAAAUGAUGAAGGAAAAACAGAGGUCAAAUAAAAUUUCAGAAGUGCAAGAAGGUGGAAAUUUCUCAGGCAGCAACUUUCUGAGCAUACUCUUGAACGCAAUUGAUGUCUCUAUAAAAGAAGAUGCAACAAAGCCGCUUGUUCAAAGAUCGAAGCGACACGGCUCUCCGAAUUUCAAAAAGCCAGAUUUUCCUGAAUAAAGUUCGUUGGCAGUUUUCAGACGUAAUCCCAGCUUUUCAGAUGUCGCGUGCAAUUUUGUCAAAGAUCUCUGACAAAGUUGAAAACGCGUAAAUCUUACUGUUCUAUUUACACCACAGUUGCUGACAAGAGUAAAAGCACAGCACCACUACUUGCUAUUGAGAAAUCUCUAUAUAUGUCGACCUCUGUCUCCAUAACAAGGCAAACCUGCAACACUGCAAGAAUACCUAACUCUUCCUCAUCUCCGAGAAUGCAUCUUCAACAUAGCAUCUCGAAAUACUCAGUUUUCUUCCUCUCCGAAAAUACCUCUUCAAACAUGUCACACCAGAGCAAGAUUAUCACAUAUCUUCAGGGACCAGAGCAAGAUUAUCUCAUAUCAUGCAAUCUCCCUGUCAUUUCCUUUGUCCUUGUUCUUGCCUGCAAAGACAAAGAUCAAGAAAGCAAUAUGUCGGAACCUCCACUCAAACUCCCGGUAAGGAACCGACUGCCUGGAACCUUUCCUGAUUGCUUACCUAGUAUUGCUCUCGAGUAGUCAUCUUCAACGGUUGGAGCUGGGUCUCCAGUCACUAAGAAGUGAUGAACCAUUCAAAUGCAAGGGUUUGCAUUCGUCUCCUGCAUCAGGGGACAAAUCCUACAAGAGAAGAUGCCACACAUGUAGGGGAAAAACAGGGAAAAUACCACUUAAGCAAGGGGAGCAAGUAAGACAAGUGAAAAUGAUACAUUGAAGCAUGUGGAGACAAGCAUAACAAACACGUGCUGAUUCAUCCCCGACAAAACCGAAGAUCAUUUGCCACAUGAAGCUCUUAACGGUACAAUUUCAUGUAAGAUCAAGCCUCGAAGUCCUUGAAGAAAUCACAAGUCUGAUUCAAGAUCAAGUGUCCACCACUUUUGAAUCAAAUUCCGCUCCAGAGCAAAGGAGUAAAUUCAGACCUUUGGAUGCAAGUCUAGCAGAAAGUCCUCUAGCCCAGUUCAAGAAAAAGCCUGUGGAAAGUUAACAACAAGUAAAGCAAAUCUUUCAGCAACUCUUCUUACUAAGAGACUAAAGCAGAACAAUCAACGAUCAACCUAAAUGAUUUGAAAUCAGUAGGAGAUACUCAUCAGGGGGAGCAUCCAAGACAGAUCAAGAUUUUAACGAGUCAAUCGAAGACUUGUGGCCAUCCAAGGGGGAGUGUUGUAAAUAUUAUGUGGAUGGUCCACAUGAAUAGUUUGUUACUAUUUAUGCACAGUAUUUUCACUAUUCAUUUGUGGAAAAUUUGUAAAGUGAAUAGUGCUUUCUUUUGUUUAUAUAAAGGAAGAAGAUGAGAUGAAGUGAGGAGGGUUCACGGGAGAGAAAAGGAAAAGGAAGAAAGGAAGAGAGAGAGAGGAAAGAAGAGGAAGAGAGGAAAAAGAGGAAGAUGAGGGGGAGAUAAUAAAGAGAGUUAUCUUUGUACUCCUAUUAUUUCAAAUUAUAAUGAAAGCACCACUGCUGCCCCGAGGACGUACUCCAGUCACACUGACUGUAGAGGAACCUCGUAAAUUUUGUGUCUUGUUUCAUUUAUUCCACUGCACCCACAAUCGAUUUUACAACAUAUCGUUAAUUUUCUUUCUUUAAAGGAGAAACAAACCCAAAAUUAUUUCACCUUCAAUCGGCAGUGUAAACCCAAGCAAACAAGAAAAUAACAACAUGCACGUCAAAACAUGAAAAUAAAUCAAACCCUUAGAAACGCAACGGACAGAACGUAAGGCAAUGUUGUGGAAUGGAAAGGCUCUGGAGCCUUUGGAAAUGCACUGUAAAGUGCAGACUUGGCUACAUGAAUUCCAUAAGUCACUGGGCAGCCAUGGAAGCAGCCAGAAAAUGGGUGGAUUAAAAGUAAUUUUGAUGCGGCAUGGGAUGAACAGUUAUAGAUUGGAGGAGUGAGGGUAGUGAUACGGAACGACAAAGGGGAAUUCAUGGCUGCAGUAGCAAUGAGAGUUGAGGGAAUUGGUUCUCCAUUGUUGGCGGAGAUUAUGGUAGCAAGGGAAGCAGUGAUUUUUUCUCAACACUAGCAGACUACAGACGUGGAAGUUGAAGGGGAUGCUCUGAUGGUGACCACGACACUUCAACAUGAAAGCCUAAAGGAUUCAUCUCCUUUUGGGCACAUUAUUGCAAAUACUAGACAGAUUUUAAGUGGUUUUUCUCAAUGCAAGGUUACCUUUGACCGAUGCUCGACGAACAAGAUGGCACAUAGGUUGGCUAGAUUGGGUUUAGCCCUUGAUACUCCGGUAGCUUGGUUUGAGGAACCUUUUGAUGUAAUAAUAGAACUUUACCCACUGGUUCUCUUGCCACGGUCACCCACAUUGGACAAUUUGUCUUCUCUCCCAACCUUGUGCUUGAUAAUGUUUUGUGUGUCCCAUUUUUCAAAUUAAAUUUGAUAUCCAUUAGCAAGCUCGCACAUGAUUCCCUCUAUAUUACCAUAUUCCUACAACAAUUUUGUGUUAUACAGGACCUACGCUUGGGGAAGAUGAUUGGGACAAGAAUUGAACGGGAUGGACUAUACUAUCUUGAUCCACCAAAGAAAGGAACAUGCAACACCAUUCAAACAUCUAACCAUCAUCUUUGGAAUCAACGCCUAGGACAUCCAUCACAAACUGUUUCCAUGUUAUUUCCUUUUUUUCAACACAAAUCUUGUGAUUCUAAUAAAUGUGUCAUUUGCCCAUUAGCCAAGCAAACAAGAGCACCAUUUUCAUUGAGUUCCAUAUCCACUAAAUCACGUUUUGAAUUGAUAUAUGUUGAUAUCUAGGGGGUAUCAUGUUCCUUCUCUUUCUGGUGCAAAAUACUUUCUCACUAUUGUUGAUGAUUACACCAGGAGCACAUGGAUUUAUUUGAUGAAACACAAAUCUAACACACAAUAGCUCAUUGUACAAUUUGUCCAUUUGGUCGAAACCCAAUUCACUACCAAGGUUAAAAUGAUUCGAAGUGACAAUGGUCCCGAAUUCAAACUUGACAAUUUUUAUGCCAAACAAGGUAUCAUUCAUCAAACUAGUUGUGUGAACACCAUAACAAAAUGGUGUUGCUGAACGUAAACAUCGACAUCUAUUAAAUGUUGCCAGAGCCCUCCUCUUUCAAGCCAACAUGCCAAAAUGUUUUUGGGGGGACGCCAUCCUUGCUUCAGCCUAUCUUAUUAAUCGCACACCCACACCCCUUCUUCAAGGAAACACACCUUAUGAAAAGUUGUUCCAGAAAGCACCCACUUACUCACACUUACGAGUGUUUGGUUGUUUGCGUUUUGCUUGCACUCACGCACACAAACCUUCAAAAUUUGUUCCUCGUGCUCAUCGCUAUGUCUUUCUUGGCUAUCCAUAUGGUAAAAAGGGCUAUCGAUUAUUUGACCUUCAACUUAACAAAGUUUUUGUCUCACAUGGACGUGAUCUUUUUCGAAGAACAAUUUCCUUAUCACUCAAACAUUUCCACUGCUAAUCCACAGUCCUUCACUCUAACCAACUCAUUGUCACAAUUUUAUAUGGACUAUUUUCCUGCUCUAUCUCAUACGCCACACGACUCCCCCGACCAUGACUCUACCCUUUCUCCUAUCAACUCCCCACCCUUAGACACCCCACCUUCACCUUCCCCACCCUCAGAUAUCCCCGCGUCUUCCCCGUCCCCAGCCACUCCAACCUUAACCCUACCUUCUCCAUCCACACCACAAACAGCCUCGCCAACUCCACCCCGCCGUGGAACACGACCUACCAAACCUUCUACCUUUUUGCAGAACUUUCAUGUCGAGGUCUCUUUCCUGUCCAGGCCUGCUCCUACAUCUUCUACGAACGUGGUCCAGUCCUCGUCAUGUACUUCCCAUCAUCUCUCCACUUAUUUAUCCUAUGAUCGGCUCUCACUUCACCAUAAAGCAUAUACCACUAAUCUCACCCUCCUCAAAGAACCAACAAGCUUUUUGCAGGCUGUCUGAGAUCCAAACUGGCGUGAUGCCAUGCAACAUGAAAUUGCUGCUCUUCAAGCCAAUCAUACCUGGACACUCGUGCCUUUGUCGCUGCAUAAACGUCCCAUUGGAUGUAAAUGGGUUUACAAGAUUAAGCUUAAACCUGAUGGCACUAUCGAACGGUACAAGGCACGCCUCAUUGCCAAAGGUUACAGUCAAAUUGAAGGUGUUGAUUACCGCGAAACCUUUGCUCCGGUGGCUAAGUUAACCACAGUUCGCGUGUUUCUUCUUGUUGCCGUUGUGCAAGGUUGGUACCUCCAUCAACUGGAUGUGAACAAUGCCUUCUUAAAUGGUGAUCUCGAAGAAGAUGUCUACAUGACCUUGCCUCCUGGUUUCGGACGAAAGGGGGAGACUCGAGUUUGCAAGUUAAAUAAAUUUAUGUACGGUUUAAAGCAAGCUUCGAGGAAAUGGUUCAUUAAGUUAUCCAAUGCUCUCAAGGCCGCUGGAUUUCAUCAAUCAUGGUCCGACUAUUCAUUAUUCGUCCGAAGUCGUCAUGGUAACUUCAUUGCUUUAUUAGUCUAUGUCGAUGAUGUGAUAUUAGCAGGGAAUAAUUUGCAUGAAAUUGAAGAAACCAAGCAGUUUCUCUCUCAACGUUUCAAGCUGAAAGACUUGGGGCAACUCAAAUAUUUCUUGGGAAUAGAAGUUGCAUGUUCAAAGCGUGGAAUUACUCUAUGUCAACGAAAAUAUGCACUAGAAAUAUUGGAUGAUGUUGGGUUUCUAGGAGUUAAGCCUUCACGGUUUCCUGUGGAUCAAAAUUUGUCUCUCACACAAAUGGAAGGAAAGGUGUUGAAUGAUCCUUCAUCAUAUAGACGGCUUGUGGGCAGGUUGAUAUACUUGACCAUAACAAGGCUUGACUUGGCUUAUGCUGUUCACAUGCUAAGUCAGUUCAUGGAGAAACCUCGGCAACCACAUUUUGAGGCUGCACACAAGGUCCUCAAGUACAUUAAACAAGCACCUGGACAAGGAAUUUUUCUUCCUUCCACAAGUUCAUUGCAAUUACAAGCAUUUUGUGAUGCUGAUUGGGCUAGAUGUAGAGAUACUAGAAGGUCGAUAACGAGGUACUGUAUUUUGCUUGGUCAAGCACCUAUUUCCUAGAAAACUAAGAAACAAACAACUAUAUCCUGUUCUAGUGUAGAGGCUGAAUACCGUUCUAUGGCCAUCACAUGCUGUGAAAUCAUAUGGCUGAAGAAUAUUUUGAAGGAUCUAAGAGUGAAUCAUCCAUGACCAGUCAAGGUAUUUUGUGAUAAUCAAGCGGCAUUACACAUCGCUUCCAAUCCUGUUUUUCAUGAACAAACGAAGCAUAUAGAGAUUGAUUGUCACCUAGUACGAGAAAAGAUUCAAGAAGGAAUGAUACGCACGGCUUACAUAAGGACAAGUGAUCAACUAGCUGAUAUAUUCACCAAGCCAUUGAGUUCAACGCAGUUCGAAGUCUUACUUAGCAAGUUGGGUGUCAUUAACAUACACUCCAACUUGAGGGGGAGUGUUAAGGAAGAUAUCUCUAUUAAUUAGUCAAUAUUGUAAAUUGAUAUUGUAGUUAUUUACUUCCUUAUUUAGCUUCUGAUCAAGCCUUGUUUAUAGGCGAUAGUUUAGGAUCCUAUUGAUUGUAUAUCAUUGUAUAAGGCAGUAAACCUGUUUUGAAUGAUAUAUCGAAAAUCAUAAUCCCUUUCUAUGCUUCUUAUGAGUAACUUCACUCAAAAAGCCAUUUUUCCAUAUCUCAGAAAAUUGAAAUUUCAGACAGUAUUGCACAGACACACAAACCUGCAUAUGUUUAACCAUAAAGCAAGCAUAUGCCUAACAAAAUUACCCAAAUGAAAGAUCGUACGUUUUACAACUUUUGGGGGCAUGUGGCUAGGUCAUGGUGCAGGUGGAGCGUGCUGGAACCCAGUCCUUCAAAAUAAAUAUACGAAAUUGGACGUCAAAUUAUAAACAAAGAUGAGCAAAAAAAUUGUGUACUCAAUUACACUUACACAAGUCACACUAAAACUAAGAUUAUUCAUCUAUACUUUCAAAUAAUUUAUAGUAUUCUCGAGUAUUGAAUGCUCCGUCACGUAGAGCUUUUAAAUUUAAUCCAAUAAUUGUAAAAAAUAAUGAACAGUCUUUAGAUUACAUCUAAAGAGUUUAAGUGACAGAUUAUUCAGUAUUCUUAACUUUAGGGAGUGUUCUUAACUUUAGGGUUUAGGGUAACCCUAACCCUAUACUUUUGCUCAGUUUUAUUUUAAGACCACACGUGUUAAGAGUCACAAAACUCUUAAAAUACGCAAUAAAAAUUGAUAGCCAUUAAACUUUUAGAAAAUCAAAGUAAAAAGUCAAAUUAUUACCUGUCAUAGAAUUGUAAUCAAAACAUAAAUCAGCAGCAAUUUGAUCUGAAAAAGACCUGAAAAAUUUACAACAAACAAAUUUAACCAAAUGUUUAAAAUUGUAAGAUAUUAUCCACACUAAUGACCGGAGCAAUCUAGCGAAGAUCACAAAAAGCGACCGUUUUCGUUACCUAGGAUCUAUCUUGCAAGAGAACGGAGAAUUAGAUGGAGAUCUCAACCAUAGAAUACGAGCUGGAUGGAAAGAGUGCAUCCGGCGUGUUGUGUGACCGUCGUAGGCCAUUGAAGCUCAAGGGAAAAUUUUAUAGGACGGCAAUAAGGCCAGCGAUGUUGUAUGGCAGAGAAUGUUGGGUGGUGAAGCAUCAACACGUACACAAAAUGGGUGUAGCGGAGAUGAGGAUGCUUCGUGGGAUGUGUGGGCACACGAGAAAGGAUAAGAUUGGGAAUGAGGAUAUCCGAGGUAAAGUAGGAGUAGCCGAAAUUGUAGGAAAGAUGAGAGAAAAUCGGCUCUGGUGAUUUGGACAUGUGCAAAGAAGGCCGACUGACGCUCCGGUUCGAAGAUGUGACUACGGGACAGAGGUUCAGGGCCGAAGGGGUAGAGGAAGACCUAGGAAAACUUUGGAAGAGACUCUAAGAAAAGACUUAGAGUACUUGGAUCUAACGGAGGACAUGACACAAAACCGAGCGCAAUGGCGUUCUAGGAUUCAUAUAGCCGACCCCACUUAGUGGGAAAAGGCUUUGUUGUUGUUGUUGUUUAAAAUUGUAAGAUAUAAGAAUAAUAACAACUUUAUAAACUACGGAUCUUAAGCAUCUCUAAUGGAGUAGGUAAAUGAGUAGCUAAAUUUCUUUUGAUGAGCCAUCCAGGCAAAAUCUGGAGUAGUCAAUUGAGUAAGCAAACUUUGCCUACUCCUUUAGAGUAGACAACAUUGGAGAGAUGUUUUAGUGUAGCAGGAAUUCGCCAAGUACAUCAAAUGUCCUGAUUGCAUUGAAGAAGAAAAUUUUGACAAUUUAUAUUAUGAAACUUGAUGUACCGGAACGUAUUUCGGUACACUAAAAUACUUCUCGCAACAUUGCUUACUUUUAUAUGUGUAGGCAAAACUAGAACUCAAAUAUAUAUUUAUAAUAAAGUAUUCUAUGUGAGGGGAAGAUGCCAGAAAAGAUACAAGUGAAUAUCAAAUGUGAAAGACAAUAAUAAAAUAAAACUUUGCCUAUUUAGUUUGCUUAUCCUAUAGGACUGACAUAAUAUUUUAUGAGGCAAUUUACUAAGCAACUUGCCAUGUCAAUUACUAUGGUAAAUUUUUACCAAUUACUUUUGCUUACACCAUUAAAAAUGAUUAUGGGGCAUCGGAUACCUGGAAGGUUCAAACCCGAACCAGAUGUUGUGGGGGGUUGUGGACUUAGUGAGGGAGCCAUUGGUGGACAAGCAGUGAAAUCGUUUGUGCCUGAAAAAUAAAAACACAAAACAGUAAGAAAAAAAACACCCAAACUCUAGAAACUUGACCUCAGAAUCAGCUUUUGCACCACCAAAUUCAAGAAAGAAAAAAAGUUGAGAGAUUUAAUUAGUACAUUCAAGAAAAAUAAUAAAUAAUAAAUAAUAAAUAAUAAAUAAUAACGAUCAAAUAUUACCUUGGUGGUGGUGGUUCAACGGAGAAAAGAUGGUUGUGGGGUUUAGCUAGGAAGAGGAGGUCGUGUCUGGUGGUGGUGAUCAGUGGCAUUAGAUGAAGUGUUGCAUACAGAGAUUGUGUGAGCUUGUUUACCUACCCUGUAUACAAGGUUCUAAAAGACGCUAAGCGAUAGUCAGACGACAGGUUGGGGUCUAGUGCCUAGGCUCAUAGGCGGGGCUUAGGUGGGUGCCUAGACGGAUUUAAGUAAAUUUGUUAUAUUUCAUAUUAAUAAAUGUCUGUUUAUACUUAAAAAUAUAUAUAAUUAUAUCAUAAAUUACAAAAUAGAAUGACAUAUAUAUUAUAAAGUACUGAAACAUAAUGAAAACAUGGGGAACAAGCGUAUAAUGUGUGCUCAUUUAAGUAUUCAACAAGUCUCUUACAAUUUAUUUAAAAAAAUGCAAAAUGAAAGUUAUUUAUUUUCUGUCUAAGUGAGUUGCAACCUAGGCGGGUGUCUAGGUGAGUUUGGACGGGUUAGGCGGUUGCCUAGGAGGUCUAGACGGGUGCCUAAGCAGGACGAUGUCCAACGCCUAGGCAUUAGACGGACGAUGUCCAACGCCUAGGAGCUAGACGGACAAUGUCCAACCGCCUAGGCGCUAGACGGAGAUUUUUAGAACAGUGCCUAUAUAUCUAUAAACUAGUGUGUGCGUGUGUAUAUAUAUAUAUUUUUUACAAGAAAUAUAAUAGGCAACAACUUGUGCAAGUUCUUGCCUAUUAUAUUUACAAGAGUAAUCAAUUCAUCCUAUUCAAAACUAGACAAACUUUUCCCCUUCGUAUCAUCUUAUGAAGAGUAACUUCCACAAGUCGUUUCUUAUAGGUACAUUGUCGACAACUAUUAUAAAACAGAAUUAAAAAGAGAAACAAACGUAUUAUAACUAGAUAGAAGAGAAAAAUGCGAGAUGAGGGAGAAACUAGGAGAAUAGAGAUUGUACUAUUUCCUUGGGAAAAAUCCCUAUUUGCGCUAAUUACAUGAGUACAGUAAAAGGUGUUAACCUUAAUUACUCAUCAAACAAGUGCAUAUAUAAUAAAAAAAAUUAUCAUAUAUCCCUAAUCAAUAACUUGAUUAAGGUGAUCCGUAUUUACCACAAAAGGGGCAUUUUUCAUGUGUAGAAAACUUAUUUAUUAUUAUAGGAGCGACAACAUACAUGAAACUCAUUAUCCACGUAACAAUUAAAGAAUGCCGCCAUUUGAGGAUUUAGGUUUUGCUGCCCUUUGAAGAAUUAUGUUUGGAAGCCGAGUGGGAAUUACCUUUAAGAAGAUUCUUCCACCAAUGAGCUGAGAGUUUGUAAUGUCUUUUGAGUCCGUUUUUGUAAUCCACAUAGAUGAUACCAAAUCUCACAGUGUAACCGUUAACCCAUUCAAAGUUGUCAAGCAAUGACCACGCAAAGAACCCUUUCACAUUAGCGCCAUUCCUGCUCAAUCAAAUGUUAGAUACAAUCAUGUUCGUGAAAUUAUUGGCCAAGAAAUGAGAACAAAUCAAAUCUUUGCUUAAUUUUGUCAAGCAAUCACUUACUUAAUGGCUUCUUGAACGUAAUAAAGAUGCGAAUCGUAAUAUUUAAUUCUUUCUUUGUCAAUGAGAGAUUCCUCAAGUGAUAAUUUGGGAUCAUUUGCCUCGUCAACUCCUACAAAAAAAAAAUGUGAUGUUUAUUUAGUUUCAUAUGGAAAUAUAAAUGGCAAUACGUGUAUAUAUGUAUAUAUGAUUUGACAUAACUACCGUAACUACCAUUUUCUGUGAUGUAAAUAAUUGGAUUUUUAUACUUUAUCUUUGUGUAAGUUAACAGUUCUUGAAGUCCUUGUGGAUAAAUAUAAAGCCAAUCCGAAGCAGCCUACAGCCAACCAUAUGAAAUUAUGUGAGCUACAACAUGAUAUGAGGUAAGAGGGUUUAUAAGUUUAAUAUAUAUUAUUCAUUUUUUUGAAAAGGGGUGCAACUGGUGACGAACUACGGUUAUACACUCAUUAGGCCCACAGGAGGCUAACUGGGACUUGCAACUUACCCAUGAUCAUGAUCAAGCAGAUUCACAGUUUACGAACUAUCAAACUUAGGACUUCCCUUUUUUUUUUUUUUUCCUUUAAGAAGCUACUGUUCACAUUUUUCUAUUCUGCUAUUUGUUUUGGUUUUUUAAGUUUAAUAUAUGAACUAAUCGUGUAUAUAUAUAUAGUAGACGUACCAUUGGACCAAUGGGGACUCCAUUGCGGUUGUCUGCCACAAUAAUAUUCAUUUGUCAAAGUCUUGUUAGUGUGCUUUAAUUAAAAAAAUGAUCGGAAGCUAAUUAAAAUUAGCUAUUAAAAUUUUAAUAAAUUAAUUACUCACUUAAUGAUUCGACGUUGGAGUCGGUUGACUGGCUUGGCUGCUUUACAGACUUAUUGGCAGUAACAUCUUUUGCAUAAGACGAUGAGUAGUAAUUCAACCCAACAAAGUCAUAUGAACCUUUUAGCAUUUUGGAUUGCUCUUUGGUGAAGUUGGGCAAUCGAUUUCCAAUUAGGCGUUGCAUACUCUUUGGAUACCGACCGCUUGUCACCGGAUCCAUAAACCUAUAUUUAAAUAAAGAAUUUUAAACAUAUAUUAAGCAAGUUUUAAAAAAAUGUGAAUUGUAAAUCAAGUUAUCUAAUUAGUUUAACUGCUGUAGUAAUCUAAUUAUUUAGAAGAGAGUAAGUACCAUCCAUACGAAAAAUCAAGUGCUCUAACUGCAGCAUCUUUAUCUUCCGUUGAAUUAGAAAAUGGAACAGACCAACCUGAGUUAAGUGUUAUUCCGAUCACGCCCUUUUGUGUAGCCUGUGCAUGCAUGCAUAUUCAAUAUUAACAUUUGAUUUUAUGGAUAUAUGUAUGUGUGUGUGUGUGUGUAUAUAAGCGGCGAUCCCAAGUCAAUAAGGCUCCCCGCUUUGCGAGAGUCGGAAGAAAACCACUUAUCGUGCAUAACCUUACUCUUGCUUUGCAAAGAGACUGGUUUCACGACUCGAACUCAUGACCUUUUGAUCAUAAAGAAGCAACCUUUUAGUUGCAUCCAAGCUCACACUCGUAUAUGUUUAUAGAUAUAUAUAUAUAUAUAUAUAUAUAUAUAUAUAUGUAUAUAUAUGUAUGUAACUUACUUGAUACUUGUCUCUAUACACAUUUACAGCAGCUGCAUGAGCUAGAAGUUGGUGAUGUGCCGACAAAUAUGGCUCCGUUGCGGAAUUCCCACCCUCUUUGCAUUUUGUAUGGUUAGAGCAUCGGCCUGGAGCAAAUGCUCCAACUGUAUAACCCUGGACGCUAUAAGUUUGAGGCUCAUUUAACGUGAUCCAGUGCUUAAUUUUGUCACCAAACUCUUUAAAGCAGAGGUCUGCAAAGUCCCGAAAAUCACUCCUAUAUGAAAUAAAAUGUUUGUUUAAAUUUUGAACCUUAAUUAAUUGAGCAUUUCACGAGUUUAUAAGUGCUGAGGAAGUUCUUUCACGUACACACUGUUAGGGCUUAAGAAGCCAAGGUACUCAUCCUCCAAAGCCUGGGGAAAAUCCCAAUGAAAAAGUGUCACGAAGGGCUUUAUACCUGCAAUGUUUAAAAAUUAAUACGAUACAGAAAUAAAAAUGAUCAGUAAUUAGUAAUAUCUGUUUCUUUUUUGGGUCAAAUUAGUCUCAAAAGGGUCAUGGGCAUAACCAUUGGCUUGAAGCUCAUUGAGGAGAUUUUUGUAAUAAUUUAGUCCUUCCUUAUUCACUCCCCCACUUAGCGUUCCAUCUGAUAAAAAAGUUUUGGGGAGAAAGAAAAACAAUGUAGUACAUUAGAAGAACAGAAUACAACAACAAUCAAGUUUUAUCUCAUCAAAUGAGGUUGGUUGUAUCAUGUAUGAAUUCUAAAAUAUCAUUGUGCUUGGUUUUGCGUCAAAUCUUCCGCUUUUGCGGUCAUAUUUAUAUUAUAUAAUUAAUUAAAACAAUAGUCAAUUAAUUACAUUAUAUUGAUUGUCUUACUAGGUAACAAGCGAGACCAUGAGAUUGAAAAUCUGUAAAAAUCCCAACCCAUAUCCUUGAGAAUCCCAACAUCUUCCUGUAACAUGUCGAAGGAACCUUGUUAUUUUUCUUGUACUCAAAUUCUUAUAAUUAGUCUUCACUGCUACAUUCUUAAAAAAGAAUUAAAGGUAAAAAAAGUGUGACUUAUACCUUAUAGCGAUGAUAUGAAUCAACAGCCACAUCUCCAUUGCUGCGAUCCGUUAUUUUAUCUGAAUUAUUUUAUUUGUACAUAAAAUAUGUAAGCACCUUAUAAACUGAUUGGAAGCAAACCUAUUUGAUGAAAACAAUUUAGAUUUUGAGCGUUUUAAUCUAAUUUGCUCGGUAAAACAUUUAAAUAAAAACAAAACCUAAUUGCAAAAUACACUCUUGAAACUUGGAUCAGUCACUUUAAAAAUGAGUUUUUAUUACAAAUAGUCUCUGAGAUGAUCAAAGUCAUCAUUUUGGUCUCUCACUUUCAAAAUCAAUCAAUAUCGUCCCUGACAUUCACUAUCCCACAUCAAUUUGGUCAUUCCGUUAAGAUUUCGUCAACUCUUCUAUUAGUUUGUAUGUGAAACCCACAAUCCAAUGAAAUGGUGACACAUGGAUUAUACAAAAUAAUGGGUUUUGUUGCAAAUGGUCCCUGCCACUGAUCCAACUCCUCAUUUUGAUCUCUGAUUUUAAAAAAUCAAUAAAUUUGGUCAUUGACUUUCACUACCGCACAUCAAUUUAGUUCUUCUGUUAAAAUUUCAUCAAUAUUUUUCGUUUGUGUGCUGAUGUGGUCCCACUAAUCGAAUCAUAUGGCUCCAUAUGGAUUAACUAUAAGAAACUAUUUUUUACGAGUGAAGCAACAUACGAGUAUUUCGCGUUAACAUUUCUUGCAUCCCACAACCCUACUUGGAAAAAAAAUUCAAUCUAAAUUCGAUAAAAUCAAAUCCAAAUUCAAUUCACAUUUGAUAGGAUCAUAAACAACUAGAGAGAGUGAGGAAUGAGUUCAGGAGGCCAAGUACUUUAGUGGUGUUAUGGUGUGUUUUUUUCUUUUUGAGCAUAUCUUGAUGAGGACGACGAUGACUUUUUUUUUUUCUUUUAGUUUUGGUUUUUAGUUUCUUAUUUUACUUUUAGUUUUAAAUCUUAAAAAAAAAAGUUUCUUGUAGAUAAUCCACAUGGCGCCAUAUGAUUGGAUUAGUGAGACAACAAAUAUUGACGAAAGUUUAACGGAAGGAUUAAAUUGACGUUCGGUAUUGAAAGUAGAGAUCAAAUUUAUCGAUUUGUAAAACUUAAGGACCAAAAUGAGGAGUUGAAUCAAUGUCAGGGACCAUUUGCGAUAAAAAUUCUUAUGUUGUGUAUUCCACGUGUCACUAAUUCAUUGGAUUUGUGGGUCCCACAUACAAACUAACAGAAUAGUUGACAAAAUUUUAACGGAAUGAACAAAUUGAUGUGAAGUAGUAAAUGUCAGGAACGAUAUUGAUUGAUUUUGAAAGUGAGAGACCAAAAUGAUAAGUUUGAUCAAUCUCAUGAACUAUUAUGAUAAAAACCCUUUAAAACAAGAUGAUUUAAAAAAAAAUUCGCAUAAAACUUUAGAUUAACUAGAUAUUUGGUAGAAAAUAUGCAAGUUGUCUUUGAUUUCCGAUAUGUUAAUGUUGUAUGGAAGAAGAGGAGUAUGAAAAGUAAAAUAAUUCACAUACCUGGGUAUUUGUGAGUGAAUGUAUCCCAAACACAUGGUCCUCUACCCCCUUCCUUUGCAGCACCUUCAAACUAAUAGAAUUCCCGAACACACAACAAAUUAAACCCACCAUUCUAGUGAGAAUUAAUUAACCUUGAAAGAAAAAAAAAAAAAAAUUACGUACCUGGUAAGCCGCUCCGGCAGACCCAAAUAUGAAAUCGGAGGAAAAACUGCUCCGGUUGAAGAUGUGAUGAGCGUCACAUGAAGCAUAGUCUUUGGGAUGAUUUUGCUUGGCAGAUUUACUAGUUGUAACUGCACAGCCAAGAACAAGCAGGAGGAUGAAACCUAACUUAAUCAUGAUGUUUUGAUGCUGAUUUUUAAUUUUUUUUUUUAAUUUGAAUUCUAGGGUUAGCUAUUGGCCCUUUAUAUAUACACAUAAUUUUUCUAGCGGAAAAAAUCAUGAUAGGAUUGAAAGACUAAAUUUGAACAUAUAUUAUCUGUCUUUUUUGGUCGAAAGAAAGAUCUCAUUAUUAUUAUUUUUUUUUGAGAAAGUACGAUAUUCCAAUAAUGAGAAGAUCUUAUUAAACUCGAAUAGAAACAAAUAUUAUCUGUCAACGCCAGUUUUAUGAUUAUAUUUAUCAUCAUCACCCUUCCGUUCCAUGUUUAAUCCGUAUAUAUAUUUGACUACAAUAAGAAGCGGUCCGUGCAUACGGAAAGAUUUGUUUUCCUGUUGACGAUGUUCAACCUUCUGUUUUAGACUCAAAUAGAAUAACGGAUAUGAUUUGACGAACUGCUAAGGAAACCUAACAAAUUAACGAUUAAAAACAUUUUCACAUUGGAUAAAACAGGAUAAAUGUAAGUAUUUGAUUUUGCUGGCGACAUGUCUGUUUUAUUUUUUGUCUUGCUUUGAUAAAGAUGUCUAGCUUUUGAAAUUUUAAGAUUAUUCAUGGCUAUUUUGACUUGCAAUUAAACAUCUUCCUACAGCCUUGCAAUUAUAUUUAAUAUAUCUUUUUAAUUCCUGAAUAAUAUAUCAAAAAUCCUAAACUCUGGUAUAUAAAUUUUUAGUAUUCAAUUUUAAUAAAAAGUCUUUCAAAUUGAGUAAUGUUAUUUGUACCAUGUCUUUGUACUACAUUUUCAUAUCAUCUUAACAUUUGACGUGGACAGCCACAUCAUUUGAAUUAAUCAGAUUUUUAAAUUUAGUUAUUAUUUAAUAAACUAAUAAUUAAGAAAAACUAGUUAAUUAAAUGAUGAUUGUGGUAUACGAGGAGUCUUUCUCCUUCAUUUCUUUGGGUUUUGCAAAUUUUUCAAAUGAUGUGACUGUCCACGUCAAAUGUCACCUAAAAUAGUAUGAAAAUGUGGUACAAAUAUAUGGUAUGAAUAUCAUUACUCUUUCAAAUUACUCAUGAAAAGUGAUAUAUGCUCUUCCUUACAGGCUUACACCAAUGCGCAGAAGAAUUUUCUAUUGUACCAUCGUUGAAAUUUCUGUCCUAUCAUCACCGAAAUUUCACUCUACUUUUCCUUCUAUAUUUGCUAGUGAUUUAGCGGUUUUUCAAUGAUUAUUUAGAUAUGUGCACUCAAAUUCAAUCAUGUUUACAAUUAUUUAUAAUUAUUAGUAGAAGAAACUAUAGAGGUCGCACUUGGUGUGAUGGUAAGUGCCUUCGCCCAUGAGCGGUAGGUCUCGGGUUCGAGACUUGGGAGCCCCCUCUCCAUAAAUGGGGGUAAGGCUAGCCGACAUUCACCUCUCCCAGACCCUGCGUAAAGCGGGAGCCUUAUGCACUGGGUACGACCUUUAUUAGUAGAAGAAACUAUACAUGUAUUUGUUUGGAGGCCUUUCUAUUUGUUGUUGGUGGUACACGUGUUUGGUGCUUUUUGUAAAAAUACUUUUGGAAAAGAAAAAAAACAGUAUAAUAAUGUUUGGUAAACUUUUAUAUAAAACAGCUGUGACUGUGUAAAAUGACAAAAAAUAGUAUAAUACUAGAUGUGUUAUUAAUUUAAUUUUCUUAACAAAUAAAAAUGAAUUACUAAAUAUACUUUAUUUUUAAAAGAAAAAUAUUUGAAAACUUUAUCUUAAAUAUUAAUUAGUAUGACAAACUACUUCAAUUGAAAUAUUUUAGACUGAAUAGCUAGAAUUCAUUAAUACAAUAUUGUUAAUGUACUUGAAGGUAGUCUAAUUAGAUACAUUCAUCAAACUUGCUGCUAUUCUAUUUCUUAAUGCCUCUGUCUCAUGUGAUCCUUCAACUUGAUAAUUUUAGUUUUCUUCAUCAUCAUUAUCAUCACUACUAUCGAUCUUUUCAUAAAAGUCCUUGGGAUCAUCAAAAUGACAAUCACUUUCAGCAUACAACUACAAAAUCCAACAGCAAAUCACAAAACAAUCAAACAAUCAACAGCAAUUCACACAACAAUCAACAGCAGAACGAAAAAAUACCCAGAAAAAAGGAGCGCGACGGCAGCGAAGAGAAUCCACUGACAGCUCCGACUCGUCUCUUCGUCUACCUUAAUCAAGAGUGGAAACGUAAGAGAUAAUGAUGAGAAAUAAAAAAGGGCAGAAAAAGAGGAGGAGAUUUGGGUUCAUGGAUCUCAUGAUAACAAACAGAGCAACACCAUCGUUGCCAAUCAAACCCUAAGAAUUGAAAUUGUUUCAUGGAUCUCAUGAUAAUAACCUUAAUUCAAACCCCAAAACUGAAAUUUAGAGAAUUAAUUCAAACCCCAAAACUGAAAAUUAGGACAUUAAUUCAAACAUCAAAACCGAAAUUCCCACAACGAUGGAAGAGAGAGAGAGAGAGAGAGAGAGAGAGAUGGAGAGGGAGAGAGAAAGAGUUAUGUUUACCUAAUCAAUGAGAUCAAGCUCGGUCGUUGGUUGCCACACAAAACCCUGUUUCAGAAAACCCCAAAAAAAUGGGUUCAUCAUCAGAGAGCAGCCAAACCCUAACCUAAAAAUUAAAUUAAUUAAUUACAGCAAAAAUUUAAAGCAAAUCGAGUACCUGGUACCUGGAAGGCGACGGCGGUGUGGCGCUGAGACCGACGAAGAGAAAGGAAAAGGAGGAGGAGGAAGAGGUGCAGCGGCGUGUUUUGCGAGAGAGAAAGAGAGAGUGCAGAGUGUAGGAAUCAGGAGAAAGGAGAGAGGAGAAAGGAGGGGGCGGUAUUGGCAAAUUGAAAAAAUUCAUUAGCUUGGUACUGUAGCUCUGUGUUUUGGAUAAUAAGCAGCUUCCACUUUUUGGUUUUUUCAUGUGAAGUUUUGAAAUAAAGCUAUUUUGAGAUGUUUACCAAAUAUCAAAAUCCUUACCAGCUUUUCUUCAUUCUGUUUUUUUUUUUUAAUCACCUCAAUCCCAAAAUGCACCACAGAAUGAUUGCUUGAACCCUGGUUUGGUACUGCUUAGAUUUUUUUAAAAGUUAGGAUAAAAAAAAGUUGAGCUCAAUAUUGUGUUUGGUAACUCAAGUUGCUUCCAAAAAACAACUUUUUUAUCACAGCAGCACGGGUGAAAAAAUUAGGGAGUGAAAAAAUUAAUUGGGGAAAAAAAUUAGGGUUUGUGGAGGAAAAAAAAAUUGAGAGAGAAGUAAGAAAAAUUGAUUACUUCUAUGCCCGCAACGAAGCUUGUCGUUCGAGCCGCUCGAACCGAGUCUAUAAUCUUCUGUGAACUAUUCAGUUGGUUAGAGUGUCCGAUAUAAGAAUGUUUGGUAUAUGUUGGAAGUAUAUGCAAGAAAUGAUGAAUGUAUUGAUUGCACAGUUUAAAAUUAAUGAUACUGUAAAGUGAUUAUAUAUCAAUUUUGGUGAAUUAGUUGAUUUUAUUAGCAAUCUCAGUAAAAGAAAUUAAUUUGAUUCUCGAAUGAAUACCAUGUAGGAGCAGUUUAGGAUAGAUUUAAAGGGGUCUUUCUGGGGUUCCGAGCUCCUAAUUUUGGGGCACCACAUAUAUAGUUGUUCUUUUUAAAUUUUGUCAAGAUUUGUUCAUUAUUUUGAUUGUUUGGGAAUUGGUUUUAGAUUCCGAAGCCCCUUACUGGGAAAGUUUUGAAAUCGUAAGAUUUUGAAUCACAUUCUGCUUUACUGGUGAGUUCUUGCUUCGUGUUUUUCUUCAAUGGUGUUUUGGAUGGUUAUUGUUUGUUUGAUUUUCUUAUCAUCUGUCAUAUUAUAUGUCAUGUAUUGGAUAUUGGCAAUUAGUAAGAGUCGAUUUUUAGAUUAAUUAACAUGAAUGAUGGGUUCUUAAAUAACAACUACAACUGCAAAUGACAUGACAAUUGCUAUUUUAGUGGAAAUAAGGGGAUGUUAAAACGUAAUGGUUGUUUCUGUAAUGUCGAAUUGUUUAGAAUAAGUUGCAUAGCUACCUACAAUUUGUUCAUUGAUUUAGUCAAUGACCCUAACGAAAUAAGGUAGGUUCCUUAGAUUUAUAAGGCCUAUCGUCUGUCAUAGGGCAUAAGUUUCUAAGAGCUGCACAGCAGAUUGGGCAGAGGGGAAGGUAAGGGUGCAGGUCUGCGUGGUUACGAUGACUCGUGCCAACUUGAUUCUGGUGGUGAUGUCGAUUUGCAUGACCACAAGGCUUCAAAGUUGCUGCAUUAUAAUUCUGCUUCUGGAAUUUUAUGCUUCUACUUUUAUUGGGCUUAAGUGCGGGUUGAUAUAUUUGAAUUUUUAAGUUGGCUUCUGUAGAGAUUAGAAGGUUGCUUAACUAUCCAAAAAGGAAAACAAAGCAUAUAAGUGGCUGUGGAUAGCUUAAAUCCUUGUAUCCUAUGAUCUGGGGUUUAACUAAACUAAUGAGUCCCUGUAGAGUAUUGUGCAUUUGUGCUGAUGUUUAGCUUGUGUGUCAUUACCUCAAUGGGCAUCAUUUUAGCUUGUGUGUCAUUUCCUCAGAGAUAGAUCCACAACGUUUAUCCCUCAAAUGAGGGGUUAUUUGGGACCAUAUAAAGGUGAAAGAUAUAAUCUCUUGGAUUUUCGUAGGGGUCCCGAACCAACGGGUCAUAAAGAGGUAUUCAACCACAUGUAUUCUUCUCUUAGGAGCAUCGUUGAACGAAAUUUUGGGGUAUGGAAGAAAAGAUGGGCAAUUUUAAGGGAUAUGCCUAAUUACAUGUUCAAUAAACAAGCGAAGAUUGUCCUUGCUACAAUGACUCUUCAUAACUACAUACGGAGGUAUUUUGAACAUGAUCGUCAUUUUGAUGACCCCAAGGACUAUUGUGAAAAGAGCGAUAUCAAGUUGAAUAAUCACAUAAGAUAGAAGCAUUAAGAAAUAGAAUAGCGGCAAGUUUGAUGAAUGCAUCUAAUUGGACUACUUUCAAGUACAUUAACAAUAUUGUACUAUUGAAUCCUAGUUAUUCAGUCUAAAAUAUUUCAAUUGAAGUAGUUUGUCAUACUCAAGGUAUUAAAUAUCGGUAAUAUCGGAAAUAUCGGUAGUCCAGAAACACGGAAAUAUUGAUAGAAAUAUCGGGAUAUUAUCGAUAUCGAUAAAAAUAAUAUGGAAACCACGGAAAUUGUAAGAAAAACUUGGAAAUUUUUAUUGAAACUUUGUAGCAUGUUUAUUUAGUCAAUUAUCUAUUAGUUUAUCACAAAAAAUUGGAAGGAAAUGCAUUGCAUGAUGGAUUUAACUGAUUUAAGUUGAUUAUAUAGCGAGCUGGCAAACAUUGUGAGUUUAGAAAAUAUGUAGUAAUUAAUGAAAGAAGUUUAAACACACCACAAUCAUUUAUAUAUAAUGAAUUAGUACAAUAUUGGGAGGUUUUAUUUAGGAUAUUAAAAAAAAAGGAAGUGAAUAAAAUGAUGAAGAAUAAUGUGCCGGAUUUUACACUUUAAAUUUCUUACGCAUAAGCAUACGUCUAGGCGUUGAAGUUCCAAAUUAUAGUAUAUCAAUUAACGAUUGAAAAUCAAUACGUUGAAUAAGACUAAACUUUAAUUUGGAUGCCGAUUAUGUUUUUUCAAGUUUAUAUAAAGUAAAAGAAUUGAAUUUUGGAAGUCAGGAGUGUGUCAAUUGUUUUAUAAUUCGUCCGAAUACAUAUAUCAGGUUGCUACUCAACGUAAUUUGAAAGUAUAUCUAGUGCAAGGACUUGUCUUUUUUUGUUGAUAAGCAAAGGGUUUGUAGCUUUUUUUGCUAAGCAGUAGAACAUUUAUAUUUGUUUAAUCUUUAACAUUUGAUGGUUGUCCACAAAUAUAGGAUAGAAGGCCCCAAAUUAUCUGGCUCUUAGCUAGUUGGAGUCACAAGUUCACAUGUACCAGCCUUGCUGCAAAACGUUUUGGUUUCUGUUAUUGCUAGAGUCCCACAUUGCCCACGCGAGGGCAGUGAGCAAGCAAGAUGACCUAUAAAAGCCACAUUCCCAAGCUGAGAAAAGCAUGUCUUGCUCGGCCUUUGGGCUAUGAUCAAGUGUAGUAUGUGUUGAGACUUCUCAAUAUUUUUAAGUAUUUUUGGGUUUUAUCUCGCGAUAUUAUCGAUAAUAUCGGGAUAUAUUGCCCAAAUAAUGCAUUAAAAUGCUGAUAAUAUCGUUUUCGAUAUUAUCGCGAUAAUAUCGACAAAAAUGUCGAUAUAUUGACGAUAAUGAAGUGGAUGAGUAAGAAAAUAUCGUCCUCCAAAAAAAACGAUAUUAUCGGCGAAAUAUCGAUAUUUAAAACCUUGGUCAUACUAAUUAAUAUUUAAGAUAAAGUUGAUAAAUAUUUUUCUUUUAAAAAUAAAGUAUAUUUAUUAAUUCACCUUUAUUUGUUAAGAAAAUUAAAUUAAUGGCACAUCCAGUAUUAUACCCUUUUUGGUCAUUUCAUACAGUCACAGUUGUUUUACAUAAAAGUUUACCAAACACUAUAAUAUUUCUUUUUUUUUUCCAAAAGAACUUUCACAAAAAAGUUUAUCAAACACUCACCUGCUUAUUCUCACAGCACAGCAGAAACAGUUUUUUUUUUCAAAGCACAACAAUACCAAACUAGCCCCAGUCUUACGAAUGCAAAAUUUGAUUUGACACCAAUUCUAUUUCUCGUAAAUUAGAAGAAAAUAAAUUAGUGAUAUUUUUAAGGGUUAAUCUCAGUUUACUACUCUGAAGUUUCUUGGUUUUCAACAUUUGGUACAUGAAUUUUUUUUCAUCCCACAGUGGUACCUGAAGUCAUAAUUUUGGAACAGUUUCACAUACAUCAAUUAAAGUUGCUGUUAAAUCAGCCGUUAACUGAUGACGUAACAUCCAUGUGGAUAAUGACGAGGCACCACAUGUCAAUAUGGGUCCACAUAAAUAUUAAAAAAUUUAAAAUUAAAAAAAAAACGUCAAAAAUAAAAAAUAAAAAAAUUUGGUUGUCUUCUACGUCCCCCGUCUCCCUUGCUCGCCCCCUCCUUCUCCCUCCCUUCUCUCCUUUGCCCGAACCCACCAAACCCUCAUACCACAUCCGGUCGAUGACGCACUCUGUCUUGGGCUGUUGCUCCGAGCUGCGACAAUCGAAGAGAUCAUUGACGAAACACUGACGUUAUCCAGUUGCAAUCAGAAAAGCUUCGGGAUCCAGAAGAUCGACGACAAAAGGGUUGUAAUUUUGGUUAGCGCCCCGUGGCUUUCCACCGCUAUCAAAUCAGGUAGAUGGGGGUCGGAGGUUCGAGCUCAUGAAGGCAUUUUAAGAGAAUAGGAGGGUUGGGUGGGUGGAUGAGUGGAGUCGAAGAUGGAGGGGGAAUGGUGGAUGUAUGACGAGUCCAGAGGAGAGGGAUGGAGGGGGAUUGGGAGGAAAUCGGGGGGGGGGGGUAGAAGAUGACCAAUUUUUUUUUUAAUUAAAUUUUUUUAAAUAUUUAUGUGGACCCAUAUUGAGUGGAGUCGAAGAUGGAGGGGGAAUGGUGGAUGUAUGACGAGUCCAGAGGAGAGGGAUGGAGGGGGAUUGGGAGGAAAUCGGGGGGGGGGGGGGUAGAAGAUGACCAAAUUUUUUUUUAAUUACAUUUUUUUAAAUAUUUAUGUGGACCCAUAUUGACACAUGGUGCCAUGUCAUUGUCCAUGUGAAUGCCACGUCAUCAGUUACAGCUGAUUUAACAACAAUUUUAACUAAAAUAUGAAAGUAUCCCAAAAUUAUGACUUCAUGUACCACUCUGGGAUGAAAAAAACUUCAUGUACCAAAUAUUGAAAACCAAAAAACUUCAGAGUAGUAAACUGAGAUUAACCCAAUUUUUAAUCUCUCAUUGCCUUGUACUUUAGAUGAGUGCCAAUUUGAUCCUUUAAUUAAGAAGAUGAAGUCUAGGGUUUUGAUUAGGAUAGGUUAUAGGUUUGAUCGUUUAAUUAAUUAGAAGAUGAAGUCUAGGGUUUUGAUGAGUGCCAUACUAGAAGCCAUUCGAACUUCCAGCAAAAGGACUCGGGGUGACCUAAUCGAGUCCAUCUUGUUCCCCCGUACCAUCCCAAGGUGAUCAAGAUCAAUCCGAAGCCCAAACGUUUUGAGCUCUGUCUCGAUCAGAUGCAUAAGAAAAUCCAUUGAGCCGAGUUUCAGACAAAGAAGAUAGAAAGGACUGGACACUAACACUGAAGGCGCCAUUGGUGGUGUGCUGCCAAAUAGGUUUAUCAGGUCUGCAACUUUCAAAUAUCUUGAUCAAAUCUUAUCAUUGACCAAUUAUGUCACAAGAAAUACUGAAUGAGUUUGCUAUUUUGUUAAUUGAAAGAGAAUUGAUUGAAAUUUUUGAUUAUAUAAACUUAAUUAGUACAUUUGCGCCUAAAAAUGCGACACAUGUAAUAUGCAACUAAUGUUUUCAUAGGUUUCUUCCAUUGUUAUUAAUUUUUUAUGACAUUUGAUAUAAAAAUAGAUUUUUUAUGUAUUUACAUUAUUUUUUUUAUACAUAUCAAUAUACAAAUAGUCGAGUUUCAGAAAAAUCUAGAACCCAUGUUGAAGACUCGACUAGAUAGUAGAUACCCUAAUUUCUCAUGGCCGCCCUUUCCAAACUGUAUAGAAACUUAACCUCAAAAUCAGCACCUGCACCACCAAAUUCAAGAAAAAUAACGUUGAGACAUUUAUAUAUUCAAGAAAAGUUAAACUUAAAAAUAAAUAAUCAAAUAUUACCUUGGUGGUGGGGGUCCAACGGAGAAAAGAUAGUUGUGGGGUUCAACUAGGAAGAGGAGGUCGUGUCUGGUGGUGAUGCUGGUGAUCGUGGAAUUGGAUGGCAUCUUGCAUAGAGGAUUGUCUGAGCUUGUUUUCCUCCCCUUUAUAACUAUAGCUAGUGUGUAUUUACAUAAAGUAUAAUAGGCAACGACUUGUGCAAAUUCAAUAAUUUACAACAGCAAACCAAUUUAUUCUAUUCAAAUUCAACAAUUAGAUAACAACUACCAUUUAGUACUACGGUCUAGUAAUAUUUCUUUUCACUUAUAAGUGAGAAAUCUUAGAUUUAAUUCUUACUAAAAACGAAUUUGAACGUGUUAUUAUGUCUAGCCUAUUAUGAGGCUUAACUCAUUAUUACAAUCUAGUGUUGAUAUCGUAUUAUAACAUAGACACGAGAAAGAAAAUAAAAGGUGAGAGUAUCUCGCAUGGAGAUGUAAAAAAAUAAAAAAAUUAAAAAAAAUAAAAUAAACCAAGGGCUAAAUAUUAAUUUGAUGGUUGACAUGACAAUGUUAAAUUUUAUCUUCUUCCAACCCAUAUGUUUUUUGUUAUAAAGGAUAUAUGACCCAUUUUUAAAAAGAAAUAAAUUAAAAUAAAUUUUCAAGAUUUAUAAUUGGUGCACUAAUGAGAUCCAUACAAUAAAAUAAUUAAAAAAUUAAUUAAUAUCACCUUUAUGUCAAAUUUGACAUCAAAAGAUUCAUAUGUCAAUUCACGUAGAAUUGAGAAAUCGGUUGGUGCUUUUAAUACUUUCAAAUUUGAUUACGUGACAUUCCACUUAAGAUUUGAAAUCUCCUCCGGAGAUGGUCUGAGAUUAAGAGAGAAACUAGAAUGGAUCUUAUAUUAUUUCCUUGGGGAAAUCCUUAUUUGUGCUAAUUACAAGAGUUCAAUAGAAGGUAUGAACCUUAAUUACUCAUGAAACAAAUGCAUCCUAAUCAAAGGGAGCAUUUUUUUCCCUUUGCAGAAAACUUAUUUAUUAUUAUAAAAACGGCAACAUACGUGAAACUCAUUAUCCACGUAGCGAUUAAAGGAUGUCGCCCUUUGAGGAUUUAGGUUUUGAACUGGUGCCCCCUGAGGGUUUGGUGUUGCUCUUUGAGGAAUUAUGUUUAGGACCCGAGCGGGAAAGAAGAUUCUUCCACCAACGAGCUGAGAGUUUGUAAUGUCUUUUGAGUCCGUUUUUGUAAUCCACAUAAAUGAGACCGAAUCUCACAGUGUAACCGUCAGCCCAUUCAAAAUUGUCGAGCAAAGACCACGCAAAGAACCCUUUCACAUUAAUGCCCUUCCUGCUCAAUCAAAUGUUAGAUACAAUCAUGUUUGUGAAAUGAUUGGCCAAAAAAUGAGAACAAAAAUCAAAUCUUUGCUUAAUUUUGUCAAGCGAUCACUUACUUAAUGGCUUCUUGAACGUAAUAAAGAUGCGCAUCGUAAUAUUUAAUUCUUUCUUUGUCGAUGAGAGCUUCCUCAAGUGAUAAUUUGGGAUCAUUUGCCUCGUCAACUCCUACAAAAAAAAAUGUGAUGUUUAUUUAGUUUCAUGUGGAAAUAUAAAUGGCAAUAAGUGUAUGUAGUAUGUAUGAUUUGACAUUUUUAACGAAACUAAAAUUAUUGAAAUCACACAAUUAAUACGUAAAACCGUAAUUACCAUUUUCUGUGAUGUAAAUAACUGGAUUUUUAUACUUUCUCUUUGUGUAACUUAAUAGUUCUAGAAGCCCUUGUGGAUAAAUAUAUAGCCAAUUUGAUGCAGCCUGAAAAAUACCAUGUCAAAGUUGUGUGAGUUGCAACAUAAUAUGAGGUAAGAGGGUUUAUAAGUUUAAUAUUAUUUCUGUGUAAAUAAUAUUGUUUUUGUUGGAAAAAAAAAUUAAUAUAUAUGAACUUGCCAUAUAUAUAUAUAGUAAACGUACCAUUGGACCAAUGAGGACUCCAUUGCGGUUGUCUGCCACAAUAAAUUCAUUUUUCAAAGUCUUGUUAGUGGUGCUUUAAUUAAAAAAUUAUAUAUCGGAAGCUAAAAUUUUUAACUAAAUUUACUCACUUAAUGAUUCGACCUUGGCGUCGGUUGACUGGCUUAGCUGUGCAGCCUUAACAGGAACAUCUUUUGCAUAUGACGAUGAGUAGUAAUUCAAUCCAAUAAAGUCAUAUGAACCUUUUAGCAGACUGGAUUGCUCUUCGGUGAACUUGGGCAUUCGACUUCCAACUAGCUUUACCAUAUGCUUUGGAUAUUUACCCCUUGUCAACGGAUCCAUAAACCUAUAAUUAAAUCGAAAUUUUCAAAUAUAUAUUAAGCAAGUUUAAAAAUAUGUGAAUUGUAAAUCAAGUGAUUUAAUUAUUUAACUUCAUUAGUGAUCUAAUUAUUUAGAAGUGCGUACGUACCAGCCAUACGAAAAAUCAAGUGCUCGCAUUGCAGCACCUUUAUCCUCCAUAGAAUCAGAAAGGGGUACAGACCAACCGGAGUUAAGUGCUAUUCCGAUCACGCCCUUUUGCGAAGCCUGUGCAGGCAUGCAUAUUUAAUAUUAACAUUUGAAUAUAUAAUAUAUGUACGUUUGUGUAUAUAUACAUGUAUAUAUUUAAAACUUACCUGAUACUUGUCUCUAUACACUUUUACAGCAGUUGCAUGAGCUAGAAGUUGGUGAUACGCUGCCAAAUAUGGCUCCGUCGCCGAAUUUCCACCCUCUGUGCAUUUUGUAUGGUUAGAGCAUCGGCCUGGAGCAAAUGUUCCGACUGUAUAACCUUGGACGCUAUAAGUUUGAGGCUCAUUUAACGUGAUCCAGUGCUUUACUUUGUCACCAAAUUCUUUAAAGCAGAGGUCUGCAUAGUCCUGAAAAUGACUCCUACAUAUAUGAAAUAAAAUGUUUGAUUCAAUUUUCAACUCUUAAUUAAUUAAGCAUUUCACGAGUUUACAAGUGCUAGGGAAGUUGUUUCACUUACACACUGUUAGGGCUUAAGAAGCCACGGUACUCAUCUUCCAAAGCCUGGGGAAAAUCCCAAUGAAAGAGUGUCACGAAGGGUUUUAUGCCUGCAAUAUAUAAAAAUUAAAACAAUAUUACACAAACGAAAAAAAAUAAACAAUAAUAGUAAUAUAUUUUUCUUUUUGGAUAAAAUUAGUCGCAGAGGAGUCAUGGGCAUAACCAUUGGCUUGAAGCUCAUUGAGGAGGUUUUUGUAAUAGUUUAGUCCUUCCAUGUUCACUCCCCCACUUAGCUUUCCAUCUGAUCCAAACGUUUUGGGGAGAAAGAACAACAAUGUAAUUGCAUUAGAAGCAUACUAAUCAUCACCAUAUUUAUUUAUUUUUCUUUAAAAGGAGACAACUAGUGACGAAUCAUAGUUAUUCCGUAACCAUAAUUAAACAGAUUGACAACUUAUAAAGUAUUGAACACAGAACCUCCAUUUUUCUCUUUAGGGAGAAGCUGUUCGAACUUUUCCACAAGGCAACUUGUCGGGGUUAUGAUAUAUAUUAAUAUAAUUAAAUAAAACAAUAGUAAUUUACAGAUUUUUACUAUAUUGAUUGUCUUACUAGGUAACAAGCGAGACCAUGAGAUUGAAAAUCUGUAAAAAUCCCAACCCAUAUCCUUGAGAAUCCCAACAUCUUCCUGUAACAUGUCGAAAGAACUUGUUAUUUUUCUUGCACUCAAAUUCUUAUAAGAUCUUCAUUGCUAAAUUCUUCAAAAAGAAUUAACGGUAAAAAAAUGUGACUUAUACCUUAAUGCGAUGAUAUGAAUCAACAGCCACAUCUCCAUUGCUGCGGUCCUUUAUUUUAUCUGAAUUGUUUUAUUUGUCCAUAAAAUAUGUAAGUAUCUUAUAAACCGAUUCGGAGCAGACCUUUUUGAUUAAAAAAAAUUAGCUUUUGAGGUUUGCUCUGCAGAACAUUUAAAUAAAAACAAAAAACCUAAUUGCAAAAUACACUCCUGAAACUUGGACUCACUUAAAAAGAAAAAAAGAAAAAAAAAGAUGAUUUAAAAGAAUUCACAUAAAAUUUCACUUUUAACUAGAUAUUUGGUAGAAAUUAGUGCUAGUUCUAUCCUUGGUUUUCACUAUGUUAAUUUUGUAUGGACGAAGAUGGGUAUGAGAAAUAAAAUAAUUCAAAUACCUGGAUAUUUGUGAGUGAAUGUAUCCCAAACAGAUGGUCCUCUACCCCCUUCCUUUGCAGCACCUUCAAACUAAUAAAAUUCCCAAACACACAAUAAAUUAAACCCAUCAACCUAAUUAGAAUUAAUUAAACUUGAAAGAAAAUAUGUAUAUAGAGAUGCGUUACGUACCUGGUAGGCCGCUCCGGCAGCCCCGAACAUGAAAUCGGGCGGAAAACUGGUCCGGUUGAAGUUCUGAUAAGCAUCAGAUGAAGCAUUAGGUUUGGGAGGCUCUGGCUUGGCACUAAUUGUGACUGCACAGCCAAGAACGAGCAGGAGGAUGAAACCUAACUUAAUCAUCAUGUUUUGAUGGUGAUUUGUUUAUUUGAAUUCUAGAGUUAGCUGUUGCCCUUUAUAUAUACUCAUACUUAAUAGCGGACAAGAAUCGUGAUAGGAUAUCGAAAGGCUUAAUUUAGACAUAUGUAUGUAUGUAUGUAUGUAAUGAUGCCAGUUUUAGAAUUUGUUUUAAUUUGACUCCAAUAAGCGCGGUCAUUCCGUUGCAUACGGAAAGAUUUGUUUUACUUUUGACCAUGUUCAACCUAGAAACAUCACGUAUGGUAUAGCGAACUGUUAGGGAAACCUAACAAAUUAACGAUUCAAAACAUUUUAAUAUUGGAUAGAACAGGAUACAUGGAAGUGUUUGAUUUUGCUGGUGACAUGUCUGUUUCUUUUUUUGUCUUGUUUUGAUGCAGAUGCCUAACUUUUGAAAAUUUAAGAUUAAAUAUUUAAUAUGCCUUUUAAUUCCUAAAUAAUAUAUCAAAAAUCCUAAAACCCUAUAGAUCAAUAUUGUAGUAUUCAAUUUCAAUAAAAAAAAAAGUCUUCCAAAUUAUACAUGAAACGUGAUAUAUGCUCUUCCUUCUAUAUUUGCUAGUGAUCUAGCGAGUUUUUAAUUUUUUUUUCCGCAAACAGUACGAUAUUCAUUGAUAAGGUAAUAUAAUACAUACAAUUGAGGAUAGGGUGCAUACAAUGAGCCUCGAUAAAAACCUUGUCGGGGAUUUCAACCCAGUCUACAAUACUACGUUUAACUAUUUGCGCGACGAACAAAAGUUGGUCACGUAAAGUGUCAUUCCAUUGCACAAAUGUCUGCUCGAAGAAAGACUUUGAGCGACAAACAAUAGCAUUGGUGCAAAAACAAGGCGCGACGGUUUAGCCUUCGUCGCACAAAAUACCAGGAUAUAAAUGUGGGACGACUAAUAUUCGUCUCUCGAAACUUUGCGCGACGACAAUUUAUAGUUGUGCAAGGAAACCUUGUUAGUCACUAGAAUUUUGCAAGACGAAGGUAUUCGUGGCACAAAAAUAAUUUUUAUUUUUUUUAAAUUUAAUUUUUUGUUCUGUUUUUUUUUUUUUAAUUUUGUAGUAAAAUUAAAUUGCAAUUAAAAAAAUGUAUGUACAAGGAAGAGAAAAAUAAUUUAUUUAAAUAAAUAUAAAUGUAUGUACAAGGAAAAUAUUUAAAAAGUAAGGGAGUAAAAAACUAAGAAAAUAAUGUGGCGUAAUCUACGGGGUCGUCAUUAGGAGACGUUUGGAAGGUCUCAAAAUUGGGGACGGGCUUGAAGGUCAAAGGGGCAGAGUUGUGGGCAUGCUUGGCUUGAGGGGCUUGGAUGUCGACGAUGGACGAAGAUCCGGGAGACGAAUGCCGGACUAACUGAGGGCCUGUACAAUCUGUGAUAUUUCACUCUUAUACGAGGCGAGCUCAGUCCUAAGGUUGGCCACCUUUGUUGUCAAAGUUGUCUCCUGACUCUUUGACUAUGAUGAUGAAGAGGCUCUAGGUUCCCGUUGCCGAGCAUUCCUCAUCUCCCUACAAUACGUCCCCAGCCUCCGCCCGAGAGUCUGAUCUAAGGUCUUUGUAAGGAUCUGAAACCCCGCAUCCUCUAGGGGAUCCAUAGACUUGAGCGGAGUCUUGGGAGGAAGUUGGGAGGCAAACUCCUGAAGAACCAACUGCCUAUUUUCCAUCAUCGUCGCCUGUGUAAUAUAACAUGAAAAUAUUAAUAAUAACAUUCAAAUAAUAACCAUGAUACUUGAAUGCGUAAGAUAAUAAUUAGAAUUGAAGAAUACUUAUAUGAAGUGACUCAACCAACUCAUCCCUGGGUCGAACAUAAACGUCGCUGAAGACAUCAAUCUCCGGGAAUUGUGAACCCCCUGAAUAGAACAAGAUAGAAAAAUUGUUAGUACGAAAAACAAUAUUAUUGGCAUAUUAAAAAUUGAAUAUGAAAAACUUUAUUAUUACAUGCCGUCGCGCCUCCAUCUAUACGAGAAGGGCCUCAAAUCGGAAGGUGGAGAAGAGUCUUCUUCUCCCGAUUGCUCUUGUUGGCUUUCGCCUUCUUCUGUUAAAAAAAAACAAAACAAACGUAUUAGUUCUAAUUUAAAUGAAAUAUAAAAAAUGUACCACAUAGCUGGGCUUUUGAAAAUGACUGCAGAGCCACACCUAAUUAUAUCUUCCCGGUCCUCAAACUCCUUCAGGCAACCCUUCUGAAGAGCGACCUGCGGAUCAUCAAAUGUCUCAAAAUAUUGGUGCAGGUCGCUCUUCCAUUGACACGCCCCGAUCCCAAUAUUCCCCUAACACUAGGGUAGGUACGUGCUAGCCAAUACCCGAAGGUGACGCAAGCCAUUUAGAAUGCAUGAGAACAAGAAUUAAAUAGGACUUAUAAAUUUAAUUAUGAUUAAUAUGCAAUUGAGGAACGUGUUCAGAGCAUACAACUAACUAGAACACUAAAAGAAAUAAUAUAAAAUUGAAUAAUAAAAGAAUGGGUCAUACACCGAGAGGAUUCGAAGAUGCUGAUGCCGAAGUGCCUUGACGCCAGGAUUGUACGCCUCGAUUCUAAGUCCUAAAGGGACGCAAAACAAACAUGAGUGGACCAAGUAGAUUGAUAUAUAUAUAUUAUUGAAACAGUUAUCAACAUAUUAAACCCCAGAGUUUUAUAAAACUAAUAACAUAAUAUGAAAUAGGUUUCUCCGAAAACCCUAGCAUGACAUAAAACAUCUCAUAAAGCAUAUCUCGUAUAUAGUGUGCUAAAUAGUGGUAUCCAAACAUAAUAUCUCCCAGCCUAAUGCUAGAACCAUGUCUUUCUCGACUUGAAGCCAAAUAUUAUUUUCUCCUAGCCCAUUGCCAGCUCCAUGUCCCUCGGCUCGAAGCCAGGGAUUAUUUCUCUCGGCCCGCAUCCAACACCAGAUCUUCUCCCAGGUGAAAUAGUGACCACUAGAUACGCACAAAACAUUGAACAUAAACUUUCCAAACAUAGGUACAUAUAUCUCAAAAUCAUCUUCAUAGUAUAAAGUCAUCCAUCAUCUAUACUAUAAAGAAGUGUGUAAAAGCAUGUUCUAAAUAGUAUAUCGCCAUCCAUCAUUUACCCUACAAGAAUAUGGGUUCAAUAGAAAAUAUGGUAUUCCAAAAUAUUCUAAGUAAGCAUAAUAUCUCAUCAAACAUUUCAUAAAAUGUAAUCAAUAAAUCAUGCUUUUUCAUAUAUGAAUUUCUACUAUUAAAACAUGCAUUUUAUAAGGGGUUCACUCACAUACACUUCACCGCCGAAGAGCCACGCAAACUAGUGAAGAUGGAAACACCACAAUAUAUGCACCUAAGCACAUAAAGGGUCCAAUUAAUAAAACUAUAUUAAAACGAUUGAAUUUAGGAAAACAGACAUCAUAAACAGGUCAAGGACGUUGAAAUUAGCCUAGGAGGGGUCCUGGAUGAAAACUUGAAAAGUCAACGUUGAUCGUUGACUGGUCAAAGUCAAAGUCAAAGCUGAUCGUUGACCAAGUCAACGGGUCAGUUAAACCGGGUCAAGAGUAUUGGGUUGGACCGGGUCAAUGGGCUAGAGGCCCUAGGUUCUUGGGCUUGGGUUCUAAGGCCCAAAAGGUUUAGGGUUGUGGGCUUAAAAGCUUACGGGCCGAAUCCCUUUGGUCUUUGGCUGAAGACCUGGCCUAACAAAAGGGUUUUGGGUUUAAAUAAAAAUAAAGGGAAAAUAAAUAGGUAAAAGGAUUUUGAGUUUAUGCUUAAGGGUUAACGGGCCCAAGGCUCGACUCUUAAACGGCCCAAAUGGCCUGGGUUCAUUGAGUUUGGGUCAUUCGACCCGUUACUUGUGGGAAAGAGGCCGGAGAUUCUAGAGCUCUGAUCGUCGUCGUUUGGUCACCAUAACUUACGAUCUACCUAUGAAAUUGAAGGCAAAGGUGAGAAGAAGAAGUUGGUACAAGAGGUUUGCCGUGAAAUGGUCGGAUAUGGCCUAAUUUGGGCUUGCACAUCUACGGCUUGCUGGACUUGGGUUUGGUGUUCUAUGGGCACCUCGGAGCUUCACGAAGACAGUGGAGAGGGAAGGGAGAUCCUUGCGAUGGUGAUGGUUGUGGUGCCGUCGCUGGGAAGCCUCUUUGGGUGUGUGGGCAUGGGUGUCGUCGGGUUUGGGAGAAGGAGAGUGAGAGUUGAAAUAAUGAGAGAUUCGAGAGAGAUCAGGGAAAGAAAGUGAGAGAUAAGUGAGUUAAGAGGCUGCCACAUGGCAGCAUGAGGGAGAAGGGAAAUCAAGAUAGAGGGUCCGGAUUAGAUAGGAAUAAAGGGACCAAAAUGAAAACUUCAAAUGCUUUCAAGGAAAAAGUGAAAUUACAAAAUAAAUUUGGGGAUGGGUUUUACAAUCUACCCCUCUUAAAAGAAUUUCAUCCUUGAAAUUUGAAAUAACUUACUACACCGAAAAACUCGAAGAUAGGAAGAAGACAAUAUAUAUACGUAACGAAGAAAUCACGUCGAAGUGGUUGCACGAAAGGGAAAAUGCCACACCGUCAUGAUCGGGUUGCAAUGAUUCCAUCUUUCAUGCCUUCAGGCUUAUACCUUAUUACUGCAUCAAUGUAAAAGUAGAAGGCAUACGUAACGUCAUGUACUUCGAGAAUAGUUGUGUUUGGGUCGAGUCCUAGCAAUAACAAAUCCGUAACAACUGCCGUAGAUGGGUCUACCUACCCAAUUGCUUAACAAACCCAACGAAUAAGCCAUCAAUAUCACAGUCUGUAGCCCACAAUAUCAACAACACAUUGUUGUCUCGAUAAACAAGUAAUAAUUUCCCAAGGGUGCACAAUUACCAUUUUUGCCCCGUAACGAGAGAGUGUACAAAGAUCGUCCGAUUCUCGCCUCGACCAUGCUAUCGUACCAUUCCAGAGUGCACUAAACAACUAUGCUAGAAGUGUUUCAACAUCCACGAAUUUAUGAACAAUAAGGUUCCGAAGUAAAGUAGUGAAAAGAUGCGUUGAGAUAAAUAGAUGUCGUUGGAAAAGAAACAAUGUGAUGCCUAUGAAUUAUAGCAAGAUGGUGAUACAAUCCGCUGACCUUCUGUACUAAAACCUUUAUCCAAACCCUUACUAAAAGAUGGUUCAAACCUUACACCCACGUGCUCGCGAACCAAAGGAUCCUGGUGUGAGGUAGUGGAAAGUUGCAUUGAGGUGAACACAUCACAUCAUUAAAAAGGUCUACUAGAGUACAAUAUGAUGUCCAUGAAUUGGAACAAGAUCAUGAGGGGUGUUUAUUCAAUUCUGCAUGAAGAUAGUGAUGCAAUAUGAUGAUCACCUGCACUACAAUCUUCACCAAUCUUUACUAAAAGACGGCUUAACCUCACAUAUACAUGGAACUCUUCCUGGUAAGUCUGGUAAACUUGUGAAAAGGUUAUGCACCUAACGGUCAUGUCCAAAUCGAUAAGAACUGGGCAUACACUUCUGUUGAAAUGAUCGAUCGUGAAUUCCUUAUUGAUUGAGCGAGAAACCAUGUUGAGAAGGCUAAAAGAAUACUCAAGAAUUUAAGGAUCAAAACAAGUCCAUCAAAACUAGAGUACAAGACCAAGGAUACUUCUCAUUUCACGAUACCUUGCGAGGAUUUCCAAUUUCCAACGAUCGCAACCUUUUUGGAAAUUGAUGAGAAUAACGUCUGUUACCGAAGAGUCUCCUAAGACAAGUAUUUAGAUGCCAACAAAGAACCCAUUUGAAAGAUGUACCUUAGGAUUCAAGAUAAGUGGCUACCAUGUUAAUAGUAUACCUAAAAGCUCGAGCUAAACAAGUAGAAAACGAAAAGUCACCUUCCCUAAUAAGCAAUAUCUCUUGGGAGCUGUUGUAGUGCUCAAACCACCUCUCCAUUUUGGCUUAGUAGCAGAUUUCUAGUCAAACAAGGUCAAUGUUGGUAGAAAGAAGAAGGACUCGUAAAUGAUCAACCUAAAAACCCAAAGAGAGCAUACACCUUUCGAGAGAAGUGUAAAUUGUACACGUGCUUAAGCCACAAGAUGAGUGAACACAAAGCGUCCUCCUAAGGAAGUAUUAAAUCUAAAUGAGGUCAACGCUAAAAAAAUUUAGGGUGAAACUAACAGUCGAUGGUUAGGGAACUUGACUUUGUCGUUGGAGUAGGCAAGAAGGUUAUCAAUAGAACAAUUGCCUAGAAUUGUUCUAAAUAUCCACAUGAAUUUCCUCGACAGGAAUGAGUCUCAGAACAUUAAUUUGAUCUCACCAACUACCACUUACACAACUUCAUGACAGCUAGCGCUUACUCGCCUUCUCCAACACGCACUUCGAAUGUUUCGAGUAGUUUGAACAUAGAUGUGACUAUGCCCGCCAUUCCUAGGGAACACAUGUUGCAAAGUAUCGGUCUGAUGUCGAAAGUUGUUCAACAAUCCAUUUCAUCAUCGAUGAGGCACAAUCCCGACACAAAUUUUCUUUCUUUUUUUUCAAUACGAUGUGACUAUUUAUGCAAUAUGAAGGUUGCACAAUCGUGUCGAAAGACAAAAAAUCUGGAAGUCAUGACAUCCAAAUGAUGUCAUUAUCGACACACUACUACAGUAACAGAAGAUCCUAAGUAUACUCUGAAUAAACCAUGCUCUGAUACCAAUCUGACAUGCCCCGAUCCUGAUAUCCCUCGAACACCAAGUUAGGUACGUGUUGGCCAACACCCGAAGGUGAUGCAAGCCAUUUAGAAUGCAUGAGAAUAGGAAUUAAAUAUAACUUAUAAAUUUAAUUAUGAUUAAUAUCCAAUUGAGGAACGUGUUCAGAGCAUACAACUAACUAGAACACUAAAAUAAAUAAUAUAAAAUUGAAUGAAUAAAAGAAUGAGUCCUACAUCAAAAGGACUCAAAGAUGCCGAUGCGGAAAAGCCUUGACGUCAGGAUUGUACACUUAGAUUCUAAGUCCUGAGGGGGCACAAAACAAAAAUGAGUGGACCAAGUUGAUAUAUAUAUAUAAUAAUGAAAUAGUUAUCAACAUACUAACCCCUAGAGUUUUAUGAAAACUAAUAGCAUAAUAUGUAAUAGGUUUCUCCGAAAACCCUAACAUACCAUAAAACAUCUCAUAAAGCAUAUCUCGUAUAUAGUGUGCUAAAUAGUGGUAUCCAAAUAUAAUAUCUCUCAGCCCAAUGCCAGCACCAUGUCUCUCGACCUGAAACCAGAGAUUAUUUUCUCCCGGCCCAAUGCCAGCUCCAUGUCCCUCGGCCUGAAGCCAGAGAUUAUUUCUUCUGGCUUGCAGCCAAUACCAGAUCCUUGCCCCAGGUGGAAUAGUGACCAUUAGAUAUGCACAAAACAUUGAACAUAAUCUUUCCAAACAUAAGUACAUAUAUCUCAAAAUCAUCUUCAUAGUAUAAAUUCAUCUGUCAUCUAUACUAUAAAGAAGUGUGUAAAAGCAUGUUCUAAAUAGUAUAUCGUCAUCCAUCAUAUACCUUACAAGAACAUGGGUUCAAUAGAAAAUAUGGUAUUCCAAAAUAUUCUAAGUAAGCAUAAUAUCUCAUGAAACAUUUCAUAAAAUGUAACAAUUAAAUCAUGCUUUUUCAUGUAUGCAUUUCUAAUAUUAAAACAUGCAUUUUAGAAGGGGUCCACUCACAGAUACUUCGCCGCUGAAGAGCCACACAAACUAGCGAAGACGGAAGCACGACAAUAUAUGCACCUAAGAUAAUAAAGGGCCCAAUUAAUAAAACUAUAUUAAAACAAUUCAAUUUGGGAAAACAUACGUCAUAAACGGGUCUAGAACGUUGAAAUUAGCCUAGGAGAGGUCCCAGACGAAAACCCGAAAAAAUCAACAAAAGUCAACGUUGAUUGUUGACUGGUCAAAGUCAAAAGUCAACGUUGACCGUUGGUCGGGUCAACGGGUCUGGUUAAACCAGGUCAGGGGUAUUUGGGUUGGACCGGGUU